Molecule: long non-coding RNA, 92605 nt
Filed under: Cucumis sativus (cucumber)
Lineage: Eukaryota; Viridiplantae; Streptophyta; Magnoliopsida; Cucurbitales; Cucurbitaceae
Description: long non-coding RNA (CSAT_LNC001556)
Source: RNAcentral
UUUUUUUUUUUUUUGUAAUUUAACUAAAUACUGCUGUAUGUAUAUAUAUAUAUAUAAAUUAGUUAUCUUUUUUAGUCCUAUAUUGUAAAAAAAUAUGAUUGUUUGUUAAAAAAAAAUGACAAAACAAUGGACCAAUGGACCGCUAAUAUGAGUCGGUGAAUCGGAUACACAAAAUUCUCUAAAUCCAUUUAAGCAAAAUUAAAAAAUAAAAUUCUAAUAAAAACCGUACAUGUACAGUCUCUCUCAUUUCAAAUUUCUUUCUCCUCUUCUCUAACGGCCAAGUCUCCCUCUCCUCCUCCCUUCUCUCUUGCUCUCUUGUCUUCUUUGGCCUAUCUCUCAAUUUCCGUUUCUGUAAGGAAGAAACCCUAUCAUACCCAUUUUGCGGAUCCAUCUCCAUCUUAUUCUCUUAGUCGCAGAUCCAAUCUCCAUCUUCUUCUCUUAGUGCGUCCUUUCCAUUUCUUCGUACACUCCAUUUUGAUAGAACUAAGUCAUGCACAGCGGAAAAAGAAUCGAAUUUCUACCCUAAUUGCCACAAUUAACAUGUAACCAUAAACUAAUCAAAUUAGGGUUUUAAGAAAUAUUACCUUUGAAGCUUUCAAAAGGUUUGAUAUCUUCUUACCAAUUCUAACCGAGACCACCACUAUUACUCAACUGCUAUCCUCUAGACAAAGAACCGGGUUGUGGGACCCAAUUUUGGUGUAGAAAGUAAUGGAGAUAAAAUGGGAUUGGGAGGUUUCUUUUUUUUUUCUUUUGUUGAGAUGAUGAAAAUGAUAAAAGAGGCAAAAGUUUUUCAACAUUUGAAAACACCUAUAUUUAUAACCUAAUUACAUGAAAAAAUGCAUGCAAUUCAUUUACCAAAUCUAAACAGUUAAUGUUCCACUAACAAUUAGUGGAACUUAGUGAGCUAGGUGUCUAUAUCUCAUAUAGGGAUAUCCCACUAAGAGUUAGUGGGAUUAUCCAACAAAAUGUUGGAUUUUCCCACUAACUUAGUCCAAGGGUAAAAUGGUCAUUAGAUAUUUCUAGUCAAAAGUCAAACUUUGACUUUUCUUAGUCAAAAGUCAAUAUUUUGACUUUUUUACCAUUUUGUCCGUCUUGACUAAUUCCAACCUCCCGAGCAUGAAUCCGCAUUCAUUUUUCCAAAAUUCAAAUCACAUUUGAAUAUAAGGCCGGUCAAAGUUUGACUUUUCAAAGUCAAAAGUCAACAUUUUGACUUUUUACUAUUUUUUACCAAUUCCAUCAAUUCCGAGCUUCUUAGUAUGAAUCUGCAUUCAUACUUAUAGUAUGUAAAACAUAAAGCUCUAUUUCUAAUUAGAAGACCGACGACUAUAUCACUAUAUUUGUCGGUUUCCCUUUCUUCUCCCAAUUCAAACAAUUCGACUUAUUUCAUCACACUGUUCUAAGUUUAAUCCAUAUGAGCUAGCAGAGGAACCUAAUGGACCUAUAGAUCAUGGGCUCCAACGAUUCAAGAUUAACUAGCUAAACUCUUUUAAACCGAGUUAAUCAACAUUCGUUAACUAACGGGUCAUUCCACUAAAGUCCCGUAGUUGCACUCCCCUCACUAUAGAUAUAUUUGUGUCCAUUUGAUAAAACCAUAAUCAGUAAGUUAAUCCUUCACAGGUUGCUCGUAACCUUGGCUGGGUCAAAAUACCAUUUUACCCCCAAGAUUACAUCUUGCUUCUUAAGUCCCACUAAUCCACUAUUGAACAAUUGGUUUAAGGUUCAACCUAUAAACUUAAUCCCUCUCGGGCCAAUGAGAGGGUGGGACCCCUUGUUCAAGACUUGGAUUCAGUGCUUAAGAGAAUAACCUAUCUACUAACUCUAAAGCGGGUAGGAGUGAAUUCCAUCUUGUACCCUAUGUUCCCAGCUAUCCACCGGAUCUUACCCCUGAAAUGAGAGGCUUAUUGGGCCAACGCUGAUGAGCUGCCCUCACCUAUGCAGAUCUAAGGAUAAUCUCGCGUGAACAGGAGUUCAUAAUUAACUCAGGAUUAAAACUAAGUUACCUAGGUCAUUAAUAAUUGAGAUAGUCAGUUUUAAACAGUAAACGGUGUUAUAACGUAAAAAAGACUAAUUCAUGGUUCAGUCUUAUGUAAACAUUUUACAUAGGAUGCCCCCACUUUCAUGUCUCUACAUGAACGAUUAGGAUCACCUCGUUUGUACUACAAAGUAGGCCGCAUCCAUAGUUUCUCUAAAUAAGGCGCACAACCUUUAUUUCAUAUACUAUAGACUAAUUCAUGGUUCAGUCUUAUGUAAACAUUUUACAUAGGAUGCCCCCACUUUCAUGUCUCUACAUGAACGAUUACGAGCAUCAUAACUUCUUAGAUCUUGCAUAAAAGGCAUGACUGUCAACCCUUGAGCACUAAGCUCGGGUUUGUGACGUGAGAUUCUGAAUUUAGAGAAUAAGCUUAUGUCCUUUUUGUUUUUGCUAAGUUUCAACUAAUACACUCAAUAUUUAUCUUUGUGCUUAUGUGAUAGAUUUGUUAUGCACUGUAGUGAUGUGGGGUGUUUCCUUAUUUUUUGCAUCUUAACUACCUUAUUUUCUGCAUCUUAAAUGCCUUAUUUUCUGCAUCUUAAAUGCCUUAUUUUCUGAAUCUUAAUUGGUACUGAAAUUUGGUUUGUUUCAGUGAUAGAGGCACUAUCAGCAUUGACAUGUACAUGUGAUUUUAGGCAUGAACCAAGAGAGUGAGAGUUUUAGUGUGCCGUGUUUAGAAUUUGCCAAUAUCUUUUUCCCGUUCCAACAAGUAUUACUGAUUUUGGGGGUAACUCUCAAGUCUGCAGUCUUUUCUUCAUGAAAUUUGUAGAUUAUCUAAGAAUACUAAUAUCGUUUAAUUGUGACAUUUUUUUAACAACUUUUCUUAACCCCACUUUCUGAAUUUCAUUAAGUUUACUCUUGUUUAAGUGACAGAUUCUUCCAGUAAUGCUAGAUAUUGGUACUAACAACGAGAAGUUACUUAAUGAUUCUCUUUGUAAGUAAAAGGGAAACCUUCAUGUCGUUUAUCUCCAUAUUUUCCUUGUAAUGUAUUGUGCUUAUAUUGAUCUGUUUCUAUUGUCAAUGGCGAUAUAUCUGGGUUUUUUGUUGUUGUUGUGGUGGUGGUGGUGAAAUAUUUUAUUUAAGCCUCUAGAUAAUAUUUAUGCUUACUUAACAGAAAAUUUGUUGCUUGAGCUUGCUUCAUUUGGUCCUUUUACUUGUUUAAGUCCUCCUCUAACUAAUUAUACAUUUCGUCUUUUACUUGUUUAAGUCCUCCAAAAAGUAUUGAUUACUUUAAUAAAUUCCCUCACCAGCAUCAUCACCUCUUAUUCAACAAACUGGUUUUUCCCAAAAGCAAAAAAGGAAAAAAAAAAAGAUAAAGACAAUCAAGAACAACCAUCAACUACAUGAAAAAAAAAAAAAAGAGAAGAAAAAGAUAGCUACUGAAAAACAUUACUACCCAUCUGAAAAACGAGAAGGACCACUAAAUUUUCAGAUAUAACAUUUUCUCUAACUCACUCCGUUUGUGUAUCUGAAAGUAUCUCUCAGCCCUAAACAACCAAGAAUCAGGAUCAUUUCCCACAAAACUGGCAUUUCAAUUUUUUAAAAUUUGCUUCGGUCGUCCGCAGAAUCUUCACCCUCCAACUUGGUAUGUUUUUCCUCAGAUUUUCCCCCCAUCAUCGUUGAAUCACUGACAUCAACCAUGCUGUCAACUUUACUUGAUGAUUCUUCUAGUACUUCUUCCAUCGUUGUCUUCCCUUUGAUCAUUCCUUCAAUAUAUUUCAAUAGUGUUUCUGGUAGAUGUUGUAGCUUCUCAGCCUGUACUCCUAACCUCUCAAUACUCUUCGCCAAAGAUGAUAUGUUUUCCUUGAUUGUUGGCAGAUCAUGUAAUUCUGCUCGAAUGCCGGAUAUUUCUUGAUCUACCAUUUCCAACUUUUCCUCAAUUUUCUUUUGAGCCAUGAUAUAGAACUUCACAUAUUCGAUUUCUCUGAUGCCAAAAUGAUAGAACACCAAAUAGUGUGUUCUUCUAAUUUAUUAAUCAACCAAACUUUUAAAGAAAACAUGUUCUAACACAGUCUUGAAAACAAAGUACAACACAAGAACUAAUACAAGGAUAAACCAAGUUCAACAUAAAACAUCAAAACAGUAAAGUACUUCACGAUAAUGGAAAUAACUUGCUCCAGACUACAGAAACUGAACACUUUCUGCAUUCCCUGCUCUCCAGGAAAUUAGAGCCCUCUACUUCCAGAAACCGAAUAACCACCCCUCUCUUCCCUCCAUUCUUUCCCUUUUAACUCUCUCUCAUGUAACUAACCGUGGUCCCCACCAAGGUGGUUUCCACUUCUUUUUCCACUUCUCUCCAUUUCCCUUCUCUUGUUCACGUGCAACUGCUCCCUUUUUCCUCCUACUAUAUUGUAAAAUAAUUGGUGGUCUAUCACAUUACUUAUGUGAAUGUGAACCAUUAUUUUGUUUGAAUUUGAAACUGAUCCUCUCUUUGUUUUUUGUUUCUUUGGUUACCAGCUAGUGCUUAUGUGCCUGCCUGGUGGGCCUUCAAAUGUUUCAAGUAUGCACUUUUUCUAAUUCCAAUUGCUUCAUGUUUUUUUGUUCUUGAAGAGGAGGGAUAGUGUGAAGAAUCAAAUUCAAGUUUGUGGCUGUACAGGAACAACUAUGUGAAAGAGACCACCUAUUCGCGAACUGGAAAGGAGAGUAGAAGAUAAAGAUAGAGAAUUGCAAUCAAUUACAUUAGACAACGAAGCGGUCUGUUGUUUUUUUUCCUCAUGCUUGAUUUGCUUGCAUAAGAAUGUUUUUAAAUGAUUUGUUUUUUUCUUCACUAACCCUUUUAUUCUAUAAUUUCUUCACAGGCUUGGGUCAAGGAUGAUCUUCUGUGGGAAAAAGAAAAAGAAUUAGCAACUUACAAGUUACAUUUUUUGUUGAAGUCUUUCAAUUUUUCUCUUCUUUAGCCAUUGAUUUUACUUUUUGCUUACACUCACAUCCUAACACAUUCUUUAGUAUUUUAAUUUUAUUGCAGUACAUUAUAUACAAUCUUCAUUUUUCUUGGCUCUGCUGUAAAUGGUGUUUAUUUUAUUAUGGAUUUGUAUAUUAUACAACACUGCCAUAUUAAGUCAUAAAGUUAUGAAAAUUAGAAACACACCCUUUGUAGGAGAGAACGUGAACCUUCCUUUGAAGAAAAUUGAGAGAUUUUCCUUCGAAGAACAAGGAUGAAUAAUCAAUGAAAAAGGAAUGAAGAGGCUUAUCCAUGCAAGCUUCAAAACAAAGUCAAGGAUGUUGAUCCUUCUAGGGGAGUCCACCGUUCCCCCCUUAUUUUUCUCCCUUUACUUUGAUUUUCAAAAGCUUUGAGGACGAAGCAAUUUUUUAAGCGGAGGGUGGAUAAUAGCUCGCUUGUUUUGUCUAAACUUGAGGGAUUACAAAUUUUGCCCAAAUUUAAAAAAAUUUCAGAAGUUUUUCAUUACAACAAUGAGCAUUAUAGCUUCUUAAAUCUUGCAUAAAAGGCAUGACUGUCAACCCUUGAGCACUAAGCUCGGGUUUGUGACGUGAGAUUCUGAAUUUUGAUGAGUAUAUGUACUGAAAUUUGAGAAUAAGCUUCUGUCCUUUUAAGCCCUUUCACAACUUGUACAUAUCCUUUAUUUUUUUAGUUAGUUGGGGUUUACUCCAAUUUUGUUAGUUGGAUGAAGCAAUUUGGAGUUUCAAAGUUCUUGAAAAGGUUAAAUUUUUUGUUUGAAAUUGGGCUCUCGGUACUAUUGAUACAACAGUCAAACAGUAGUAGUUGAGACGUGAAACCUCGUGAUUACCUGCAUUCUAGUGUUUGCAGUUUAUGAAAAAGUAGAGAACUGUUGACAACUCCUUUUUUUUUCUUCACUAGGGUAAUAAGAAGCAUUGGAACUUCCCUAUUAAACGAUAGUCUUACUUGUUGUCUCCACAUGGUAGUAAAAUAUUGUUUACUUCAUCUCUUUAGCCGUCUGCAUCUUAAAUGCAAAAGCUCACAAUAUAUGGGUGACAUGAGUCAAAGGGAUCUAAGACAAGUAGACCCCCUGUCCCCAUCCUUUUUACCCUCCGUGGUGAUGCUUCCAACAUAUUAGUUUACUUCUAUAUGGAGAAAUAAGCUCUUGAAGGUUGGGAGAUCAGUAGAAAAAAGGUGGCUAUCCUUCAUCUUCAAUAUGCUUAUGACACUUUGGUUUUUUGUCUAGGGGAUGUUCAUUCUUUAAUUUUAAUGUGGCGAAGUUCUUCCUAAUUGAGAUUAAUGUUAAGGAGCAUAAAGUAUUUAGGCUUGCAGUUGAGUUGGGUUGUAAGAUGGAGUCUCUCUCCUUAACAAAUUAGUUUACUUCUUUAUGGAGAAAUAAGCUCUUGAAGGUUGGGAGAUCAGUAGAAAAAAGGUGGCUAUUUUUCAUUUCAGUAUGCUGAUGACACUUUUGUUUUUUGUCCAGGGGAUGUUCAUUCUUUAAUUUGAAUAUGGCGAAUUUCUUCCUAAUUUGGAUUAAUAUGAAGGAGUAUAAGGUGUUUGAUGGAACUCCAAUUGGUAUUAACGUAGGAAUUUUAUUGAUAGUAGCAAGGGAAUGAAUUCCCAAAUACAAGCUAACACUCAUACCUUCUGCAACCUAUCUUUCAAGGGAACAGAAAGGUACUCUUUACUUGAAUCUCUAACUAACUUUCCCACCUUUCUAUUUCAUCUAUUUAUACUAGUCUCUCAUUCCCUCCUACGAACUAACUCACACGUGCUUCUCACGUAUUAAUUAUUUUUCUUCUCUCUUCUACUAUAUUGAUAUAAGAUAGGAGGUUUAUCAGUGUUUAGGCUUGCAGUUGAGUUGGGUUGUAAGAUGGAACCUCUCACCCUUAACUCGCUAGGCUUUCCUUUGGGUGGUAAGCAUUGCUUUCUGGCUUUCUGGCUUUCUGGGAUGUCGACAAAAUUAGAAGUAGGAUUGCUAAAUGGAAGAAUUUUUUUCUUUCCAAAGGUGGCUGGUAAUCAUUGAUUGCUCCGUUGCUCAAUGGGUUGCCUUUGCAUUUCCUUUCCCUCAUCAAAGCUCCUUACAGGAUGAUUAAAAGUAUGGAGAAACUGUUUAGAUAUUUCUUCUAGGGUGGUGAAGACUACAACUCAGGGAGUCAUCUUGUUAUAGGAAAGUUCCAGCACUCAUUGAGAAAUGGAAAAUUCAUGGAAUCAGUUACUUGGUUCUCUGUGAAUUAUAUGUUUAAAAUUUUUCAUUCAUAAUCUAUAAUUAUGUACCCCAUAUAUGGUUCUCAGAUUUUAGCAAGUCAUUUGAUUUAACAACAUAUUGAUAAUAACUUUGACUUUUAUUUUGCAGCCUUUCUACUCUAUGCAGCAUCUGUUAUGACAACUGUGUUUAUUGUGGUUAUAUUGCUUUUUUUUUGUUGUCAAUGGCGAUAUAUCUGGGAUUUUUGUUUUUGUUGUUGUUGUUUUGGUGGUGAUGGUGGUGAAAUAUUUUAUUUAAGCCUCUAGUUAAUAUUUAUGUUUACUUAACAGAAAAUUUGUUGCUUGAGCUUGCUUCAUUUUGUCCUUUUACUUGUUUAAGUCCUCCUCUAGCCUUGUUAGUUUAUUAGACAAGCUUGAUGCUUCAUUUAUUUCCUGGAUUGAUGGCUAAUGAAAAACUUCUUGUACUCUUCUUCAAUCAUCUUUAAGUUGUUUAAGAGACGUUAGCUUCACACAAUUUGUACAUUGAGAUGAUGGUCUAUUAAUUUGUGAAUUAUAUACAUAGCAUAACAAAUAUUAUUUCUUUCAGCAACGGGAUAAUUGUUAUGCUUUAUAGAUAUAUAUAUAUUUUUGAAGUUCAUUGUAUUUUCUUCUUCCAACUACAGGUUGACAUGAUUGUCUUGACAGAUGGAAGUCGUAUUCUUGGCCUCGGUGACCUCGGAGUUCAGGGAAUAGGAAUACCUACAAGAAAGCUGGAUAUGUAUGUUGCUGCUGCUGGCAUAAACCCUCAAAGAGUAUGUUUUUCUUAGACAAACUCAACGCCCUCCCUUCAUCCAAUGGUUGUUUAUCAAACUUGAUUUCAAUCAGUUGUGGCUAUUGUUUUAAUUGUUUAUAGGAUCGCCUGCAUUCAGAUUGUUUUAUCUUCUCAUGUUGGGCUACUUCCAAGAAAUUUUUUAAGUGAAGGGUGGAUAAUAGCUCGCUUGUUUAGUCUAAAGUCGGGGGAUUUCAAAUUUUGCCCAAAAUUUCAAAAUUUUUCAAAAUUUUUUCAUUACAAUAACGAGCAUCAUAGCUUCUUAGACCUUGCAUAAAAGGCAUGACUGUCAACCUUUGAGCACUAAGCUUGGGUUUGUGACGUGAGAUUCUGAAUUUUGAGAAUAAGUUUAUGUCCUUUUUGUUUUUGCUAAGUUUCAACUAAUACACCUAGUAUUUAUCUUUGUGCUUAUGUGAUAGAUUUGUUAUGCACUGUACUGAUGUAGGGUGUUUCCUUACUUUUUUGCAUCUUAACUACCUUAUUUUCUGCAUCUUAAAUGCCUUAUUUUCUGCAUCUUAAAUGCCUUAUUUUCUGAAUCUUAAUUGGUACUGAAAUUUGGUUUGUUUCAGUGAUAGAGGCACUAUCAGCAUUGACAUGUACAUGUGAUUUUAGGCAUGAACCAGGAGAGUGAGAGUUUUAGUGUGCCGUGUUUAGAAUUUGCCAAUAUCUUUUUCCCGUUCCAACAAGUAUUACUGAUUUUGGGGGUAACUCUCAAGUCUGCAGUCUUUUCUUCAUGAAAUUUGUAGAUUAUCUAAGAAUACUAAUAUCAUUUAAUGGUGACAUAUUUUUAGCAACUUUUCGUAACCCCACUUUCUGAAUUUCAUUAAGUUUACUCUUGUUUAAUUGACAGAUUCUUCCAGUAAUGCUAGAUAUUGGUACUAACAACGAGAAGUUACUUAAUGAUUCUCUUUGUAAGUGAAAGGGAAACCUUCAUGUCGUUUAUCUCCAUAUUUUCCAUGUAAUGUAUUGUGCUUAUAUUGAUCUGUUUCUGUUGUCAAUGGCGAUAUAUUUGGGUUUUUUGUUGUUGUGGUGGUGGUGGUGGUGAAAUAUUUGGUUGCUUGAGCUUGCUUCAUUUGGUCCUUUUACUUGUUUAGGUCCUCCUCUAACUAAUUAUACAUUUCGUCCUUUUACUUGUUUAAAUCCUUCAAAAAGUAUUCAUUACUUUAAUAAAUUCCCUCACCAGCAUCAUCACCUCUUAUUCAACAAACUGUUUUUUCCCAAAAGCAAAAAAGAAAAAAAAAAAAAAGAUAAAGUCAAUCAAGAACAACCAUCAACUACAUAAAAAAAAAAGAGAAGAAAAAGAUAGCUACUGAAAAACAUUACUAGAUUCGUCAUUUAACCAUAAGACUUUAUAAUUUUAAAAAUAUAUUUUUUAACAACAUUAAAGAGUUUUUAUUUGGGUUCUAUUUCAAAUAAAUUUUGAAAGUUUAAAAGUAUCGAUAACAAAGAAAGUUCAUAAAAGUCGUUCAAUCACGAAACCCAAAACAGUCUCAAUUACUAAAGAAAACCAAAAAAAAAAUAAAUAAAUAAAGCAGAAGCAAUUUGAAGGACAUUUAUCACAAAAUCAGUUGAUACUGUAACAACACACCAGACAGUCAAGAUAUAUAUAUAUACAUAACACCUUUCUCAAUUCACAAAUACAUUAUCCAUCAUAUCUACUUCUAUAUGUGUGUGUAUAUAUAUAUAUAUAUAUACCAGUCUGACAUAAUAUACAUUUGUCAUCAUAUCUAGUUCUGCAUAUAUUGGUAAACCAUACUAAGUCCAGAGAUCCAAACAGUCAACACAUUUCAAAACUUUCAAAGAGUCCAGUAGUAGAAACCCCCUACUUUAAUGUUACUCAAACUUCUUGAACGAAGGAAACCUAAUAAUAAGAAUAUGGAACUCAAUUACUUUCACAAUACUUUCUUUCAUUGAAUUUCCUCAAUGUAAAUUCUAGCUUACCAAAGUAUUGGCGAAUCGAACUCCAACAAAUCUACAAUUUAGUUGUGAAUCCAAAGAACUCAAACGCUACCUUCAAGAAUCAAUUAACAAUUUAACUAAUUAUCCAAAACUACAACCCAAGGAUAAUUACAAUGUAAAACCACCACAUUCACCAAUACAACUUACCACAAAAAUCCCAAAAAUUAGAGUAAAAUGGGGGCAACAACUUCGAAUAACUGGAAUCGACGUGUGUAAUAGAUCAAAUCUAAUCAACAAAUGAAAAACAAACUUCAGCAUACAACCUAUGGCUGGAAGGUGAAGAGUUGCGUGACGGCACUUCGACAGACGCGACGGGCUCAGGUCUGGUCGAUGGCUGCUUCAACUAAGUAACAACGUCGGUGAGAUGAUAGGUCAAUCGGUGACGUUCCUCAUCACCUGGAGCAGAAUGUGGCGGCGCGAACGUCGAAAGAGCUACACGCGAAUGAAUCACAACUUGGCUGGAAAACAGAGGUGAGAUGCGAUGCCGAGAGUUCGAACCCACGACGAACGGUGCUUCGGCUUCAACGGAGACGAAGCGAUCGGUGACGUCCAAGAGUAACAUAAAAUGGCUAAGGGAGGCAGGUAGCGGUGGGCACGGGGAAGAGGAAGAGUGAAGGAGAAAGAGAUGGGGUUGCACGUGAAUCAAUAAAGAAUUGAUAUUUUAAAUUAAUAAUAACAUUAAUUCUAUUAUUAUUAUUUAACCUUUAGUAUUAGUAUAUUUUUUCAUAAAAGCCCCCUUCACUUCCUGCUAAAUCCACACCACAACCAAAUUCCUUAAAAUCUUAAUAAAAUUUUGAAAAUUUAGCUUGAGAGAAAUACCUUAAUAUUGGGGGUGUUACAUAGUUUCUCUCUAAUUUUUUUUUUUCAUUCCAAUUGUUUUCCACAAACUAAUCUCAUCUUAGAAGAUAGGAAGGUCUCCAACGGGUGGUGUCCCCAAUUCGGUGGAUUGUAGAUUCAGAGACGUCAACAAGAGUAAGUUCUAUGUAUCUUUUAAUUUAAAAGCACAUUUAGUUCUUUAUUUAGAACUUUAAUUCUAAAUAUUGUCAAUGUACUGGUAUUUUGGAAUUUUCAAAUUAAAUUGAUGAAUGGUUCUGUAAAGUCUUUCACUGCGAAGAGCUUUUAUCCCUUUAGGGCACACAUACCAAUUAAACUAAUGCAAGACCUUUGACAGUAGUUAAUGGUAGCAUCUCACAAAGUGGAAGUGGUUGGCUUACCAACGAAAGAUUUUUCAAUUAUUUCUAGCAAUCCCUUUUCUGUUUGAGUAUGACCUUCCAUAUUUUCUGCUAUAUUACUUAUAGUUAAUAUCAAAUGUGCAUCUUUGCCAUCUAUGCUAAUAUCACUGCCUGACUGCUCUUGAUGUUGAGGUGUUGUUCAUUUUUGUUCCCUACACAGAAAAGAAAAAAAUUAUUGUUGUUUAUUUAUAAUCUAAGCAGUUUUAAACAAUAUAAAGCAGUAACUAAUGAAUUAAACACUAACUGUUGAGUUUCUACAAUAGAUUCUUGAGGAUGUGACUCUUGAACAGAUGGAUUCUCAUGGAUGAUCACAUGUUUGUUAUUUUGAUGGUCAUCAUUCUUGUCCAGAUUGUGAUGACUAGAAUCAUUACGAAGAUCAUCAUACAUGUUGUUAAUAUCAUCAAACAAUUGAUUUUGAUUAUAGUAUAGAAAGAAAAAAGGAAAAAAAAUAGUUACAAAAUGAUCGUGUAUCCUUAAGCAAACAAUCGUGUAGAAUAUCUAAACGGUUGUUUUACCAAGGGUGACCAAUAUUUCAUAUGGGAUAUGCGAUCGUUCAUAUGUGAUAUGCGAUCGUGUAAAGAUAUAUCAAACCUUUGUUUUGUCAGAAGUCAUGCUAAGAAUAGUUGAAAGCUUGUAAUAAGAUCCAUCAAAACUGAAAGAUUUUACAUCAACACGUUCCUAACACAGUAAUGCAGUAUCAAUGAGCAUCAAAUUACGUGAGAUACGUAUUAGAAAAUAUCUAACUGUUCAGUUAAUUUUUUAUGGACAUCAAAUCACCUUUUUUCAAGCUUAAGGAAGGAAAUGUCGGCACUAUAUAUGUCAGAGUUGUGCAUUGCAAUGGAAGUGCCAACACGAGGUGAUACAUGUGUGUCUUUCUGGGAUGUAAAUGCCACUCCCCGACUAGGACCAACAUAGUCUUGGGGAGAAAGCAUGCUAGGAACUAGAGUUGUGUCCUCAAUUUCUUCUUACACUGGAAUGUCUCCUGUUCAUAGAGUUUAUAGGAUUUCUCAAGGCCAUUUUUGUAUACUUAACCGCUCUUGACAACGGUAGAGAGUCUAAAUCUACACUUUCAGGGGGUUCCAACUCCACCACUCGAUGAACCAAAGAUAGAGACGAAUCAUUAAUGAUCUAGUAAGCAACAUGAAACCUUGUAAUUUUGGGGCCAACGGUAGUCCAUCCCAUCACUAGCUCAACAGUCAAACGGAGUCUCCUGUAUAAAAUAUAAAAUAAUACAUACACAAAUAGUGAAUGAAAUCUUGUGACGUAACAAACACAAAUUUUAUGUAUAUUGCAAUUUGACUAAAUAUUGAACAAGAAAGCCCAAGGGAAUACACAAAAAUGCAACGUUUUUACGGGUCAUUUUGAAAAAUGGCAAAACUACUUUUUCUUUUCAAUUUUAGCAAACAACAUUUUUUGCACGUGCAUGGUAUUUUAUAAAAUAAGAAAAUAUUCACCUUCUCCAACUAUAAUUAUUUUGUUUUUACGUUGUAAUUAAUUUAUGUUAUGUAUUAUUCAACUUUUUAAAUUUUUACUUGAAAUAGAUACAUCAACUCAUAUCAUAACUUUUCUCUUAAAAUCUCGGGACUGAACUAAUUGAUUCAACAUUUUAAUAACAUUAUUCAAUCUUACUAAUUUCAAAAUAACCUAAUUGAAUUUGAAUUUCAAAAUAACCAAAUUGAAUUUCAAAAUUACAAAAUUAUUAUUUUUUAGAAUUUGAGAAUCUCAACGAUAGAUUUUAUAUUAAAAUAACAUUAUCUCAAAAUAAUUUUAAUGACUUGAAUAUCAAGAUAAUUAAAUUAUUAUUUUAAAAUUGGAAGAAACGGACAAAAAGCGCACACACCCACUCACGUACACACGCACGCGCGCAUAUAUGCACACACACCCACACACACAAACGUGCACACGUGGACACUCACACCCACGCACACGUAGACACACACACCAACACACACGUGGACACACGCAUACGCAUACACGCACAUAUGAACAAAGAUGUGUAAAUGAAUUAAAAUUAGAAAGACUUUUAAACCAUGUUCAUUUGACUUAGUAACGUUAAUUAAAUUAUAAUUUCUAUCAAUAUUGGUUUAAAAGUAUCAUUAGUGUAAUUAUUUCAAUAUAAUGCAGUCUUAUCCAAUUUUACGAACAAAAAACAAGUCGAAUAUGUACUAGUAGAUGCACACUCUUUGUCAUAAGAGAUAUAACAACGUUUUUAUGGAUCAUUUUGAAAAAUGGCAAAACUAUUUUUUCUUUUAAAUUUUAGCAAAUAGAAUCUUUUGCACAUAUGCAUGAUAUUUUAUAAAAUACCAAAAUAUUCACCUUCUCAAACAGUAACUAUUUUGUUUCUACGUUGUAAUUAAUUUAUGUUAUGCAUUUAUUAGUUUUUAAUUAUUUUUUACCUGAAAAAGAUACAUCAACCCAUAUCAUAACUUUUUUCUUAAUAUCUGGGGACUCAACUAAUUGAUUCAAGAUUUUAAUUUUAUUCAAUCUUAUUAAUUUCAAAAUAACUUAAUUAAAUUUCAAUUUCAAAAUAACAAAAUUAUUAUUUUUCGGAAUUUGAGAAUCUCAACGAUAGAUUUUGUAUCAAAAUAACCUUAAUUGAAGUUCAAAAUUAAAAAAUAUCAACUUGUACACUAUCUUUAUCUCAAAAUAACAUUAAUGGCUUGAAUAUCAAGAUAAUUAAAUUAUUAUUUUAAAAUUGAGAGAAACUUUACAUUAAAAAAUAUCAACUUGUUCGCACACGCGCACACGUGCACAAUGCACGCACAAAGACGCGCACACACGCACACCACAGGCACACACACAUAUCCACCAAAAUUUGUAAAUGAAUUAAAAUUAAAAAACAAUUAAAUUAGUUGUGUUUAGAAAGACUUUUAAAUCAUGUUGAUUUGACUUAAUAACAUUAAUUAAAUUAUAAUUUAUAUCAAUAUUGGUUUAAAAGUGUCAUUAGUGUAAAUAUUUCCAUAUAAUGCGGUCUUAUCCAGUUUUACCAAUAAAAAACAAGUCGAAUAUGGACCAAUAGAUCCACACUCUUUGUCAUAAGAGAGAUGACAACAUUUUUAUGGGACAUUUUGAAAAAUGACAAAACUACUUUUUCCUUUGAAUUUUAGAAAAUAACAUUUUUUGCACGUGCAUGGUAUUUUAUAAAAUACCAAAAAAUCCAUCUUCUCCAACUGUAAUUAUUUCGUUUCUACGUUGUAUUUAAUUUAUAUUAGAGAUAACUGUGAGAAUAGCAAAAUUUAGUAUAACAAACUGAAAAAUAGCAAAUCUGAAACAUAUUAAGAAUUUUGGCAAAAUUAGUGGUUACAAAAAAUUUUGGAUUUUUUUUACCCGUUUAUACCCUUUUAAGUAGAAUAAUACGUGUUUUCAGAUACAAUGUAUUUGUCAAAUAACACACAAUCACAGGUACAUUGUAUUUGCAACCUACAAUUAGUUUUGAAAAAUAUUAACUAAUUUGGAUUAACAAGAUUUCCCCUAUAUCCCCUAAAUAUAUGUCUAUAAUUCAUAACAAAUGUUUGGAUUUUUAGUAUUUAAAUCAAAUUAAUUAACAUUUAUUUAUUUAAUUCAUGUUUAAUAAAGAUUUCCUCUACAAAAUUGCUAAAAGAUUUUCAACCGUUCCUCAUUCAUUAGAUUUCAUAAUAUUUUGAAUUCAAAUAUUAUAAAAUCUAAUCCCUAAAACAAUGACAAUCACUACUUCAUUAUUUUCAUAUGAUAAUACAUAAUACAUAUGGUUAAUAAAAAAAAUGGUUAUGAGAAUUUCAACAAUUCCCAAAUCAUUAUAUUUCAUAAUAUUUUGAUUUCAAAUAUUACAUCAUAUCCCUAAUGGCAAGCAUAAAUUAAACAUUUUGUAUUACUUAUAUUUCAAAUUAUUUAAAGAAAAUUAUCAGAUAAUACAUAGUACGUAUGGUUACUAAUAAUUUAAAAACAAAGUUUUAUCAUCACUACAAUUGUGUUAAUUAUGAUUAUACACUUAUUUUGAUUGAUUUUUAUUCAAAAAAUAAUUUACUGUGCCUCUUGUAUCGAAUAAUUAUUUUUUACGUUGUGUUUUUUAAUUACGUUAAUAUUCAUAUUUAUUUUAAUUAGAUGUUUUAUUUUGUAUGUGAUGUUUUAUUUCCAUUCAUCCUUGUUAUGCAUGUGUAAUCAAGAAGUAUAAUACGUGUAUGUAUGAUAAUACAUGUUUUACUUGUAUUUGCAUGAUACAAAAUAAUGAGAUCAAAUAUCAUACCAUUUAGUGUAUUUGCAAACUUUUGAAAAAUAUUAAUUAAUUUAAGAUAUUUUCAAUAUCUCCUAAAUAUAUGCCUAAAAUUUUUAGGGGUCAUUUUGAAAAAUAGCAAAACUACUUUUUCUUUUGAAUUUUAGCAAAUAACAUUUUUUGCACGUGCAUGGUAUUUUAUAAAAUGCCAAAAUAUCCACCUUCGCUAACUGUAAUUAUUUUGUUUAUACAUUGUAAUGAAUUUAUGUUAUGCAUUUCUCAGCUUUUAAUUAUUUUUUACCUGAAAAAGAUAUAUCAACUCAUAUCAUAACUUCUUUCUUAAUAUCUCGGGACUCAACUAAUUGAUUCCACAUUUUAAUAACUUUAUUCAAUCUUACUAAUUUCAAAAUAACCAAAUUGAAUUUGAAUUUCAAAAUAACCAAAUUGAAUUUCAAAAUAACAAAAUUAUUAUUUUUUUAGAAUUUGAGAAUCUCAACGAUAGAUUUUGCAUCAAUAACCUUAAUUGAAUUUCAAAAUUAAAAAUAUCAACUUGUUCGCAAUCUUUUAUUUCAAAAUAACAUUAACUGCUUUAAUAUCAAGAUAACAAAAUUAUUAUUUUAAAAUUUGGAGAAUCUCAACAUUAAAAAAUAUCAACUUGUUCGCACACACGCAUAGACGCACACACACGCACGGACGCACACACCCACGAACACACACAGAUGCACUUACACCCACACACACAUGCACACACACACACGGAUACAAGCACAAACGCACACACACGCACACGCACGCGCACAUAUGCACACACGCACAAAGAUGUGUAAAUUAAUUAAAGUUAAAAAAAACAAAUACAUUAAUUGUGUUUAGAAAGAGUUUUAAACCAUGUUCAUAUGACUCAAUAACAUUGAUUAAAUUAUAAUUUCUAUCAAUAUUGGCUUAAAAGUGUCAUCCGUGUAAUUAUUUCAAUAUAAUGCGGUCUUAUCCAAUUUUACCAACAAAAAACAAGUUGAAUAUGGAUUAGUAGAUCUACACUCUUUGUCAUAAUCGACAUAACAACGUUUUUAUGGGUCAUUUUGAAGAAUGACAAAACUACUUUUUCCUUUGAAUUUUAGCAACUAGCAUUUUUUUGCACGUGCAUGGUAUUUUAUAAAAUACCAAAAUAUCCACAUUCUUCAACUGUAAUUAUUUCGUUUCUACAUUGUAAUUAAUUUAUGUUAUGUAUUUAUUAGCUUUUAAUUAUCUUUGACUUGAAAUAGAUACAUCAACUCAUAUCAUAAUAUUUUUCUUAAUAUCUCGAGACUCAACUAAUUAAUUCAACUUAUUAAUAACUUUAUUCAAUCUUACUAAUUUCAAAAUAAGCUAAUUGAAUUUGAAUUUCAAAAUAACAAAAUUGAAUUACAAACUAACAAAAUUAUUACUUUUCGGAAUUUGAGAAUCUCAACGAUAGAUUUUAUAUUAAAAUAACCUUAAUUGAAUUUCAAAAUUAAAAAAUAUCAACAUGUUCACUAUCUUUAUCUCAAAAUAACAUUAAUGUCUUGAAUAUCAAGAUAAUUAAAUUAUUAUUUUAAAAUUGAAAGAAACUCAACAUUAAAAAAUAUUAACUUGUUCGCAUACAAGCACACAAGCACUACGCACACGUACACAUGCACACUUACACACACACGCGCACACGCACACCUACACACAGACACCCACAGACGCACGAACGCACGCACACACACACACACACACCUAUCCACAUGCGCACAAGCUCACACACAUGCACAAACGCACACACGCGUACACACAUACACACAUACACACACGUAAACACAUACGCACACGCGAACAAACACGCACGCGUGAGCACACCUACACACCCAAGCACACAUGCAAUAGCCCGCGCACACACACACACGCACAAACACACACAAACAUGCACACAACCACACACACAUGCACACAGACACUCGCACGAACGCACGCACACACACACACCUACCUACACGUGCACACGUACAUACGCACAUAUGCAUAAAGAUGUAUAAAUGAAUUAAAAUUAAAAAACAACUACAUUAAUCCUGUUUAGAAGGACUUUCAAACCGUGUUCAUUUGACUUAAUAACAUUAAUUAAACUAUAAUUUCUAUCAAUAUUGGCUUAAAAGUGUCAUUCGUGUAAUUAUUUCAAUAUAAUGCGAUUUUAUCCAAUUCAAUUAGCAACAAACAGGUCGAAUAUGAACCAGUAGAUAUACACUCUUUCAUAAGAGAUAUAGCAACAUUUUUAUGGGUCAUUUUGAAAAAUGGAAAAACUACUUUUUUUUUUAAUUUUAGCAAAUAACAUUUUUUGCACGUGCAUGCUAUUUUAUAAAAUACCAAAAUAUCCAUAUUCUCCAACUGAAAUUAUUUUGUUUCUAUAUUGAAAUUAAUUUAUAUUAUACAUUUAUCAGCAUUUAAUUAUUUUUAAAUAAAAAAGAUACAUCAACUCAUAUCAUACUUUUUUCUUAAUAUCUCGGGACCCAACUAAUGGAUUCAAGAAUUUAACUUUAUUUAAUCUUACUAAUUCCAAAAUAACCUAAUUGAAUUUGAAUUUCAAAAUAACAAAAUUAUUAUUUUUUAGAAUUUGAGAAUCUCAGCAAUAGAUUUUGUAUCAAAAUAACUUUAAUUGAAUUUCAAAAUUAAAAAAUAUCAACUGAUUCACUAUCUUUAUCUCACAAUAAUAUUAAUGGCUUGAAUAUCAAGAUAAUUAAAUUAUUAUUUUAAAAUUGAGAGAAACUCAACAUUAAAAAAUAUCAACUUAUUCACACACAAUCACACGCACACACACACGAACAUAUGCACACACACGCACACACACACAAACGCACACACGCACACGCACACCAACCCGCAUGCACACAAAUGCACACGCAAACACGCACACACCUACUCACGUACAUAUGUAUGUGCGCGUGCACACACCCAAGCACACGUGGACAUGCGCACACGCGAGCGCACACACAUGCACACUGAUGGUUCAAUUUCGUCGAUAGUUCCUAUUUUUGCUGACAGUUUAUUUUUUGCCAUCGAUAGAGGAUCUUCCGACAGACCUACGUGACGGUGUGUGUUGAUAGCUUAAUUUGGUUGGCAAAAGAAAAGCUGAUGAGUUUUUGAAGAUUUACUGACGAUAUUUGUCAUCGACAAAGGGUAAAUUUCUUGUAGUGCAUGUACAUCAAACGUAUCAAAUUUGUUAAGUGUACCAAUGAAGCAUAACAAGUUUAUUAGUGGUGUAUCAAGUGUAUCAAACUUAUAAGUGAAGUCUUUAAGUGUAUCAAACUAAUCAAGUGUAUCAAGGCCUCAGGGGUAUCAAGUGUAUCAAGAAGAAUCAAGUGUAACGAGAAGUAUUAUGUGUAACGAGAAGUAUUAUGUGUAUGAAGAUGUUUCAGGUGUGUAUCAAAAAGUAUCGAGUGUAUCAAUGAGUACCGAGUGCAUGAAGUGUAUCUAUCAAAUGUAUCAAGUGUAUCAACAAGAAGUAUCAAGUGUAUCAAGGGAUAUUAUGUGUAUCGAACGUGCAUAAGGUGUAUCAAAUGUACAUCAAUAACGAUGGCAUUUGUGACAUUUUACCUCUUGAUGUGUGAGCUGGUCUUUGUUUUUGUCAUUUUCUCAAAUAAUAAAGUAUGGGUUCUAUGUACUUAAUUAUUAUAACUUAUUUUGCCAUUUUCGCAAGUGUCCCUUAAUUGUAAUACAUGUAUAUGCGACAUAAUCUAAUCAAACUAACUCAUAAAUGGACUUAAUCGAUCUCAUGGACCACAAAUUCUUCAAUUACUUGCAAAUUUGGUGACUUCCUUCAAACGGUGGGUGUAGAGCUUAAUUUUGAGAGAGAGGAAAAGUCGUGAAGAGUAUUUGCGAGAGAGGGGGGAACGUCGCCAGAGAGCAUUUGCGAGAGAGAAAGACAGCGAUGAUGUGGGAUGAAGUAAGGUUUUUUUCGGUCGUUGUUCACAAGUGGGAUGAAAGCUUCGAAUUAUUUGUUUUAAAUCAGAAAACGUAUGAUUGAAGGAAAACAUUGAUUGUUUAUUAGGGUAAUUUUUAAUGACACAUAAUUUAUGUCAUUAAUUAACAAUGCAAAAAUUUUGUCAAGAAAACUCAAUUUGUGUCACGAAAAAUUUUGUAUUUUUAUUUUUAACGACACAUUUUAUUCCCUCAUAUCCAUUUGUCUUGAUUUCAUGUGUCAUUAAAACUUGUAUUUCUAAAUAAAUUUAUUCGACGAAAGUGGCUAGAUUGGUGGGUUCAACAGCGAAGGCUUGUUGUGGCAGCAACGACAACAAUGGUUGGAGUGUGGAAUCGACGGCGGCAAGUGGCAAAAAAUUGGAAGGCAAGGGUUCUUCAUAACGACUCGGUAGCCCACUUCGUUCGACGAGAAUUUUUUUGCGUUUUUGGUAGAGUGAGAAAAAAAUUGCAUUAAGACUUCAUUCGACGACAUCGUUUUUGCUUAAGAGAAAAUUUGAGGUUUUUACUUAGUUCUAAUUGCGAGAGAGAGGGAAAUUAAAAAAAUUUGAAAUUUGAGGUUUUUUCAUUUGAAAAUUUUUUUAAUGAAAAAAAAAUUGUCGUUAAUUAAUGACGCAAAAAUUGUGUUGAAAUAAAUUAAAUUGUGUCAAUAGAAUUGUUUUAAGAAAUAAUCCAUAUUUUUAUUUUCAACAACACAAUGUACCUCAUCCCACCUCUUUUUUCUUUUAUUUUCAACGACACAAUGUCUUGAUUAAAAUCCAUUUUUCUAGUAGUGACUGAAAGGAAAAAUUGGACAAAAUCAUAAUAUCUUUGAUAAUUAAAUCACCAGUUGGUUUGACCAUAUAUAAUCUUGGAUCUAUUCUAUUACGAUAUGACCAUGGUACAUCAUGAACAUACAUUGACUAAAAAACUUAAAUUGAUGAGUGAAUGUAAUAAAUUUAAUAUUAAUUAUAUGAUCAAUACUUUAACACAUGUAUAUUGGUAUAUCAGUCAAUAACAGUAGUAAGACAAAUUAUAAAAUAUAAGGGAUAAAAGUUCUACACAUGCAUGUAUGGUAUACUAUCUUGAUAGCAAAAAGGAGAUCAAUAUUCAGUAAAAAUACAUAACAGAAACUGGAGAGGAAAAAAGCUAAAAUAGAAUAUCCGGGGAAGGCUAGCUAGGAAAUGCAUACAUAGUAGAGAAUAUGGUUUGAAGGAGGGUGAGAAGAAUGAAGAAAGUUGUAGCUAGCAAUGAUAACUUUCACCUUGUUCCAAUAACCUUACUUUGCCUUGCUCCUUAGUCUCUUGCAAUGUACACAUAAAGCUUUGGCGAUUUUACCAAAGUGGGAAGCAGUUAAGGGGACGAAGGUAUAUUCGGAGAUAAAAUUCAGCCACCUCUCACAUAGUAUUUCAAAUAGUCUAGCAACUUCAACCAUUUCCCUCACAAAGAAGAAGAAGACCAUAGCCACUCGAGGCUUUUGCACAGACAAACACCAAAAAGAUGGUGUCCGAUUCCGUAUAUGUGCUAAGCGCGUCGUUGUUGACGCCAGGCAUCACACCUUGGAAAGGCUCUCUUCCAUUAUAUAUAGCCAAAGAACUUCCGAAUUAUUGAAAAUAAAUAUUUUCAACAAUUUUAUAUUCUCCUUUAAUUUAUGUUCACUUUUGUUCAAAGCUAUUUCCUCUUCAUUUUUCUCAUGAAAAUCACAUAAUUUAUUUACUGUGCUUGUUAAUGUGUAAUGAUUAUUUUAUCAUUUCAUGUGAACAAUAUGAUUUUGUUACAAUUUACUCUGUUUGCUUUUUACUAUUGAAAUAUCCCUAACUAUAAACUAAUUGCACAAUUUUGCUCAUAAUAUACGAUCAUGUAGCAACCAUAAGCCAAGAGUAAAAACAAGAAUCAAUUGAAGAGGGAAUAAGUUGAUAUAUAUCACCCUGGAAGAUGAAAUAUACAGGAAAGAGGGAAUAAGUUGAUACAAAAACUAAUCUCACCAUUCAUCAUAUAUGAACAAAAUAUGUAAUGAAAUGCUUGCAAUGAGACAUGAUGAAAUAAUUUUCAUUAGAAUAAAAUAAAGGGUAAGAAAAUGUAUCCAUACCUUCGGAUGGUAUUCAGAAACAAUCACCAUAGGCAAAUUCUGGGUAACGGCACCAAAAAACUGAACUACAUUAGGAUGUCGGAUCUUUUCCAAAAAUGUCAACUCAUGUUUGAAUGCAUUUCUGUAGGAAAUUCAAUAAAAUAAUUAAGAAAACUUGCAAUAUGUGAGAGAUAUACGAACUUCAAACAAAUUUUACAAGUUUCAGCAAAAAAUUUCAAACAAGUUUUAAAGUUUAAGCAAAAAGUAAUCGUAGGUAGAAAGGGGAGCAAAAGUGGGGUCUUGAAUUAAUUCUGCAAAAUUAGUAGGCUUUCAAAAUUUAGGUUCUAGAAGUAGAAUUAUUGCAGAAAAAUAAAUAAUUGCAUCAUUCAAACUGAAUCAAACAUAUCAUGAUGUUAUAUUCUCCGCAACGUAUAAUGGAGUAUAAACAUAAAGUUUCUAUAUACAAAGCUAUGUAUCUCUACCCUUGACUUCUCUUUCUCUCUUUCUACCUUUUUUAUCCUUUCUUUCACCCAUUCACUCAAUACACUUGCAAGAACCUUCAUUUUUUUUUUUUUGUAUUUAAAUGUUCUUGGCACCAUCCUUUUUUUAAUUAUCAAGGCUUUGUUAUUGUGUACCAGUAUUGUGUCGUGCCUCCUUCACUUCUCAUCAUCAUUUUCAUCUCACAUCUCUACCUUGUCAAUUUUCGUUUUUCACUCAGCUUUCUUUCUUCUUUUGUCUUCACUACUUUCUUUGCUCCUUCUUCUCAAGCUCUAACUUUUGCUAUUAUCAACCAGCCUCAAAUGACCAUUGGAAAACCCAUAGCCCACUGAGAGAUAGCCAAUAUAGUAAUGACUCUAAUGAUAAACUCCAAUCAACCCAAAAGUUCUACUUUAAGAUUUGAAAAAUAUAUUAGAUAAAGCAUAAUUAGUUGAAAAAGAACCUCAAAAUUCUGUGCUAAACGACUACAAUUUCAUCGUAUAAUAUGCCAUAUUGACAUCAUAUUUUUCCUACAAAAACAUAUUAACUAAAAUAAGCUCAUAAACACGAAAAUGCAUUAAGUGUUGGUUAACAUACACUACCUUGAAAUAUGACAAAGACUUUAUUUCUCCCAACCAGACAGCAUAAUCAGAAGGUAGCUUGGGAGCAAACGGAGUUGACUUAAUGUCCACUAGCAAUAUCCUAUAAAAAUUUCAAAUUCUUGAAAUAUGAAAACCAAUGGAAGUUUCAGGGGAAUGAAGUAUAACCUCUAAAUACAGAAGGACGACAUAAAGGGGAAUGAAGACUCGAAAGAAGGACGGCGUUUUCCGAGAGAAGGACGUCAAUUUUGAGGGACAACGGACGAUGAUUUCAGAGUAUUAGGGAUGGCGGAUGGCGGAAGUCUUAGGGAUCUCGUACUCAGUCGAUGUUGAACGACCGAAAGCAAAGGAUCUAAUAUGCAUUUUUGGAGACAGCAUGGUGAACGCAGACGGACAGAAGUGAGAGAUCCUUAGAGAGAACUUGGCAUUUUCGAAUGCGGCAGAGACAAAUCUAGGGCUUCGAAGGAUUCAACCCAAUAUUUUCUUAUAUAUAUAUAUAUAUAUAUAUAUAAAUAUAUUUAAUAACACUUGACGUUUUUAAAACGUCAAGAAAAACGAUCUUACUUGACGUCUAACAAACAUCAAGAAAUUUAAAAAAUAACUCUUCUCCGGGUUUUUAUAAAAAUUCUUGACGUUUUAAAACAUCAAGAAUUUUUAAGAUAUUUCUUGACGUUUUUAAAAUGUCAAGUAAAAGUACAUAUUACUUGACGUUUGAAAAAUGUCAAGAAUGUUGAAUAUAUAAACAUUCUUGACGUUUUAAAAACGUCAAAAUUUUUAUAGAUAUUUCUUGAUGUUUUUAAAACGUAAAGAAAAAAUACAUAUUAGUUGAUGUUUAAGAAACGUCAAGAAAUCUGAAAAUUGACCUACCCCGCAUUUUCAUAAAAAUUCUUGAUAUUUUAUCUUUGGAACUACCCCUUUCUUGACGUUUUUUUGAAAAAAACGUCAAGAAAGAAAAACAACAAACGUCAAGAAAGGUCUUUUUCUAGUAGUGACAUACAUAAAUAUAUAUAUACAUACAUAAAUAUAUAUACAUACAUAAAUAAAUAAAUAAAUAUAUAUAUAUAUAUAAUGAAUUAAAAUGGUUUUGUUGCUUUACAGUUUUACUCUAUAAACGAAGAGCAUUAUAAAUAUAUUAUUGAGGAAACAUCUUUCGAAAUGACUGGUUUUGGAAGUGUCAUUAGAUUUUUGGUUAGUUAAGCACAUUUUCCUCCCAAAUAGUAGUCGAAAUACAACUUUUUUUUUAAGAAGAAGAAACCGAAUCCUUCAAACUAGGAUAAACCUAGGAUAAGAGUCAUUAUCUAUUAACAUAGAGUUAAAGUUACAAGGUUGAAGGCUAGAGGGAAGCCCAGAAACAACCUAAUCUAACAAACCUUAAAGUUAAGAGUUGGUAGUAGCAUCAUAUUAGUUACAAGAUGAAUGACGCCUAGACCAAACUUCGAUCAAGUUACAUAUGUCUUCCCACAAGUUAACAAUAAACCUUGAUUUAUCCUUAAAAAUUCUAUUGUUUCUUUCUAUCCAAACAAUCAAAAGUAAGCCAGUUAUGGAGGGAGGAAUACACAUUAGAGAGCUCAGUUAUGGAUGGAGGAAUACACAACUUUUUCUCGUGGUCAUUUUCCUCGUGGGCAUUCUCUUCAUGUUUCUUCUUAUUCCGACUAAAACACAAGCAACAAAUUAUUCUUCGCGUUCGUAUAGGUUUGUUUGAAGAAGAUUAAGAAAGUCCUUAAUUUAUCUCGACACUUCCAAAACCAGAAUAUAAUACCCGUGCUACAUAAAUCCCUCUUUCCAAAUAGUCGAACAUGAACUAUCCAUGCAUAUCUUGGAAUAAACAAGAGAAACCCUAACUAAACCCAAAUAGAAAAUACACUGCAAUCUAAAAUAUACAUAAAGAAAUAAAAAGAAGUUUUAAUGUUGUGGGUUUUUUACUGAUCUUCUUCAACAACAAAAUAACUCAACGCCACACUUCAAUUUUUCCUUCCACGAAUUGGGUUUUUAAAGAGUUUUCACCGCGAAUUUAUCUUUUUUGGUUCGACAAGUAACAACAUGUGAAUCCCCAAAUGCAAGGUUUUAUUAAAAAUUUAAAAUAUACUUUUUUAAAAAAAUUAUAAUACCUAAAAAAUUUUUUUUUUUAUAUUUAUAACCUAAUUGUCUAUCAUUGCAUACUUGAGAGAAAUAUAUUUUUUAAUUAGCAUAAUAAUAACCUUUAUAUAGUAAAUUAAAUUUUGUAGAAUGAGAAAAGACCUUAGAUCCAAAAAAGUUAUUUAUUUAUUAUUGGAGUGAAUUGUCUAAUUAAUGUAGUUAAUGGAUGGUUUUGUAACUAUAAAGAAAAUAAUGAAAAUAAUUUUCUAAAAGAAUGAAUGAAAAUUUAGAAAGUUAAAAGGUUUUAGGAAUUAAAAAUAAGGGUGUAACAUUAUAAAAGACUACCAAAUAUACUGUAAGAGACAUGCAUUAAAGGAGCUGAGGCAUGCAUACUACCAAAUAUACUAUAAAUAAACCAGAAUUCUUUUUUAAGAAAUUAAACAACUAAAAAUAUAAAGAAGAAAGAUUAGAAAAUGAAUGAUCAAACAAAGUAUGACUCAUUUAUUUUUGACAGGUUCGGCCAAUAUCACCUGACAAUUCAUUUUCACCAAGAGAAUAAGCAUGAGUAGCCUUGGAAUCAAGUUCCUCUGAUAAUAGCCAUGGAGUUGAUGGGUUAGAGACAGAACCAAAAUUUGAGUUCGACGAUAAGGAUGGAAAAUUCUGAAACUAGCAGCAACAGGAAGUUAAGACAACGAAUUAUUUUCAAUAUAGAAAGGCUAAUUGUAAGAAGUUGUUAAUGAAGUGUCCAAAUGCAUUAUGGUAAUAUUGGGUGCAGAAUGUUUGGAAGUUUUAUCCGUGUGCUGUGAAGCACCACAGAGUUGAAGCAUAUGAAACCAGUGUUUAUCUGACAAAAAAUAGUGUCAUGAUCAUUGCCUUUCCAUUCCAUAAAUUUAUGCAUAGCAGAAGAAAAAGAACCCUCAACACUUGAAUUACCAUAUAGCACUCUACAUCCAGGUGGUGCCUUGAUUUUUGAAGAUUUAGUUAAGAGCAGUGAUAAAAUUUGUACAGAAAUUACAAUGCAUUUCUCGAUAUGCAACAACAUUAAGACCAACUUAAAGGCAACAAUCAUCAAGAAAUCUGAUAUUUAAAAUGUACAAAGAGCAGUAGUAAACAUAUGUAUUUUAUGGCUGACUUUAUCCAUAAUAAAUGUUGGAUUAAAUCAUCAAAAUAAAACACAAACAGAUAAUUAUCGAGUUUUUCAAUGGAGGAUAGAGAGGAAGACAUGCAUGCACAACUACUAGAUCUAUAUGGUGCCAGACUGCCAGUAAAAAUUUAAAGACACACAUGACAACAUUAUUUUGGAUGAAGUUCUAAUAUUGCAACCAUGGAGGAAAAAUCAGCAAAUCUUAAAUAGAUGUAGUAGUCCAAAUGAUAAAAGUUUGUCUCAAGAUAAUAUUUCAGUAACUGCAGAUGCAUUGUGCUGAACCUAACCUCUUGUGUUUCACGGUAAUGAACAAGGACAAUGUGUUCAAAGGUCCUGAACAAAAAGCAGAAGCAAGUCAUAAAUUAUAUAAGUAGAACACGAUAUACUGCCACUGUCUAAUUUCAUUUUUCUUUGCUUGUGGCAUGAUGGGGAUAGACCCCACUGAAACAACUGGUAGCAAGCAAUUUAACAAUUUUCUUUCAACCAUAACAUACUUAUCUAGGAGCCAACAACACCGGUGAACAAAGGUUGGGCUAUCUAGUCCAUGGGCACAGUAUACAUGUAUCCUUUCUACAUUACCAACCUACCGAAGAGAAAGAAAAGAUUAUCAAAGCACACCUUUUCUUGGUUACUAAGGCUGUAAAAGAAUGAAAAUUACCAUAAAUCUAAACAUAGUCAAUAUUAGACCAUUGAACAACCAAUAGAUUCAAAAGGAAAGACUCAAACCACCAAUAGACUGGUUAAUCAUUUAAAAUGAUCUCCAACAACAUUGCUCCCACAUGUGGACUCCUAUGGUAAUUUCAUUGAUGAUAUGCAGCUAGUAGGCAAGAUUAUGAAAUGAAGACGGUAUGUGAGAAGAUUGAAAAGAUCAACAUGAUAAAAUUAUAGGGAUUUGAAUUUAUAUCUUAAGAACACCAGAGUCAAAUGCUUAAGCUGAUUAACUGUGUUAAAUUUAACUCUAUAAUAUAUUUUAAAUCUGAACAGUCAUUAAACAACUACAUUUUGAAUAAGCUUCAGAGAAUAUUAGCAGAAAUAGUAGAAAUUACUUCAAAUUUGUAGAGGAACAUAUAAAUUAUAUUCUAGAGAAAGAGCAUCUGAAUUAUAUUCUACAGAAACACGAGCCCAUAGCAUGUCUACUGAGUAGCAAUGAUAGUGAAAAAGGGAAUAGUAAGUAACCAAUCUCAUAAACCUCUUUCUCACAUCUAACCAAGUUCUUUCACAACAUGCAAAAGCAUCAAAAUAUUUAAGAAAACUUCCAGUAUUGCAUUUGGAACUCAUUGAUUGACUUCAACGUUUAAGAGUCAUAAAAGACACAACUUACUUUCUCACCUGUCACCACUAAGCCUACGGCAACAUCUUUUUAUAAGAUAUUCAGCUAAUCUUUAGAUUGUUUACCGAAUAAUCGUCUAUUGUUUUGUAAUUGAUCCCACCAAGCGCUUGCGCCACCUUGAAGUUUGAGAGCAACUAAUCGAACCUUCUUGUGUUCGGGUGUAUUGGCAUAGUCGAAAAAAAUUUCUACGUUCUUGAUCCAAUCAAGAAACUUCUCCACGUCCAUUCGACCAUUGAAGGUAGGGAGAUCCACUUUCAUACGUAUUUCUUGAUCUUCUUGAAAGUAUGGUCGAAGUCCAAGCCUUUGUUGAGGUUCUUGAUGAAUGUUCAGUAAGUUGUCUUCAUCGGAAUCGUUUAAGAAAUUUCCAGGUACGUUGUUUCCAUACAAUCGAUUAUUGUGGAUGUGAAUAGGUUGAUUUCUUAGUAGUUCUUGGUUUACAGCAGGGUUUCUUGGUCUUUCUUGUCUUUCUUGGUUUGCUGCAAUUGGGUUUCUUGGUCUUUCUUGGUUUGCUGCAAUUGGGUUUCUUGGGGGCUGAAUUCCUUCUUCUAAAGGUUGGACAUGAAAUCGGAUAAAAAGGUUUGUUAAUUCUACUAACGAUUACUGUAUAUCUGACUGCCCUUUUCGAAGUUCUUCAACAGCUUGUUCUACCAACUGCAAGCGUUGGUUGAAGGAGGCUUCCGCGUCCAUGGAUAAGAGUGGUAGGAUCCAAGUUUUUUGAGGGAAGAGUGAGCUAGGAUCACACUCCGAUACCAAUUGAUGCAGUAAUUGCAAAGCUAGAAACCUUUAUGUAUAAUGCCUCUUUUUUUUUAUGUCUUAUUAAUGAAAAUGAGAAGCCUUUUUAUAGGCUGGAGAUUACAAGAGUUGUUAAACUAACUUGGGGUUGAGUUAGUUAUAACUAACUCAAGAUACAAAAUUGGUAAUUCAAAUAACUAAUCCUAAACUAUAAAAAUGGUAAUUCAAACCCCUCCUCUAGGAUAAAACUCAAGAAACAUCAAGAAGGGAGAUGUUCUACAUCAAAGUGUAGAGAACGAUUCAUAAUCCUUGGUGAAAGGAAUGAAUGUUAACUAAUGUGUGUUUAUGUGAAAUUGUUAUGUUAUGAGUAUGUUAAGGAUAAAGAAAGGUUUAUGCGAGAUAAAAUUAUUUGAUGUUGUUUAUGCGAAAUGAUGUUUAUGAAAAGGUAUUGCGAAAAGGAUUUCAUAAAACCUUAGUCUUUUAGACAUUCUUUCAAAAAUUCAUCUUCCAAGAUGAGGUGUUUAGGCCAAGUAGAGAAGAAGGUUGAAGGAUUUGCAGCGAGAUGACCAGACGUUUUGAAAAUAGUUAAGCAUUGGUUGUUUGGUCAAAGUGUUGUAAUUAUGUAUCAAACACAUGUUAUUAAUAAACAUCUUGGUAGGUAUUUAUUAUACUUGCUGUUUAGGUUGACCACCGUUGCGUUUUGAGUUUUAUUAAUAGUAUAAAAGGAGUUGAGAAUAAUAUUUUGCGAUAAGAAAAUUUCAAACUUGUAACAAACUCACAUCCUAUUUCUAAUACUUUGACAUUUUCGUUGCAGUACGGUUUGGGAUGUGACAUGUACACAUGACUGCCUAGCUUAAGUCAUCUCGUUGAGUAAAGCCAUCUCGCCUAAGCUCAAAUGGCCGCUCAUGACAACUCUGUAUAUAGAGGUUUUCUUGCCUACACCUACAAAUCUUCAUGCUUGGCGCCUUGACAUGUUCUUGGAGGUUCUUACCUUACUACUUGGCCACAUAAUUGAAUCCUUAGAGGUUCUUUUGCCUUUCCUUUGGCCGCCUAUUAUGUCCAUCUUGCCUAGCGUUCCUUGUGUGCUUAGAGGUUAUCUUGGCAACACCACACCUCUCAGCCAUACACACACACAUACAACCUUGGCCAUCCAAUACCUUUCUUUAGAGGUUCUCAUGCUUUUCUUAGUCGCCUAGAAAUCUUGCACGCCUACUCUUACAUUUAGCCAUAUGUUGUACUUUGUUUUCCACCUUGACUUUUAAUGACACACAAACCAACUUUCCAAGGAAUUCCCUUUCAUUUUCUUAUUAACUCAUAUUCUCUUUUUUUAUCAAGUCCUUGCUAGAGAAAGUGGACUUUGAGUUGUUGGACUUUAGUAUAUGUCCAUGCAUGGACAUACAAUUUUGAAUGAAAAAUCCUUAUAAAUGGGGCAUUUGAACUCAUUUGAUGGGUUAACUAUUGAAUUUGGGCUUUCACACCAAAUGGAAUUUCUUUUUCUUAUUUACUUUUUUUAAAAAAAGAAAAUUUACCACGCCCAUUUUUUUUCAUCUAUUUCUCUCAUCUGGUUCUUUCAUCCAAUGGGUCCCACAACUCGAUUAUGAGUCUAGAGGAUACUAAGUCAAACUUAGUGGUUGUUUGAAUAAAACGCAGCUUCGAAUGUAAGUAUUCUAAAAACCUUAUUUUUUGGUUUAGUCUCGUUAAUUAAGCCCAAUUGGGAUAGAAUUUCGAUUCUUUUUCUGCUGUGCAUGUCUUAGUUCUAUCAGUAACUCCCUUCAGGGUGAUAGCUCUCAUCAGUAGACUUUCCAUUGUUGGUUUCUUCCUGAGUCAUCACUGUAUUGUUGUUUUCCACAAUAGGUAGGGUGAGUUGCAGUUUUACAUGAAACGCACUGCUCAACCCACACUCUUUUCUCACUAGUUCCUUAUUCUCAAUCUUCAACGCAAAUUUCAUCAUCUGGGCCAACCCAAUCAGUUCCACGGUUUCCACUUCCAUUUUUAUUCAUGGGCUAAGCCCAUUCAUCAAAGUCUCCUCUAACACUACCGUUUGAAGAAAUGCUACCAGAGCUAAAUAGCGAUCAAAUCGGUUGCGGUAUUCUUCUACAUUCGUUUUCUGUUUGAUUGAGAAAAAUCUUCCAACCAAAGUUCCUUCUCGAAUUGAUCGAAACUGUACAAGCAUUCGUUCUUUCAGGUCAACCCAAUUCUUCAAAACUUCCAACUCUUCUUGUGCUUGGUACCAACCCAAUGCCAGAUCAUCAAAACUAAUAACGCCUGUGGUUAAUUUCUCUAAAUCAGUAAGAUCAUGUAUCUUAAAGAAGCGAUAGGCUCUAAAUGUGAGACCCAUUUCUAAUUUGAGUAAUGAAGUAAAAUUUGGCUAGGUAUUAAGAAUUUGGCAUUUGAAUAAAUCCACGAAAAGGAUUAAGCGAUAAAAAAAUUUAUGGUUAAGUAUACGUUAUUGCGAUUCAGUGGGUAGUUAGCGAAGGAAGUUGUGCGACCCAUUUCUAAUUCGAGUAAGGAAGUAAAAUUCGGCUAAGAAUUAAGAAGUUGGUGUUCGAAUAAAUCCAUGGAAAGAUUAAGUGAUAAGUUCUUUUACGGUUAAGUAUACUUUUUUGCGAUAAGUGGGUAGUUUGCGAAAGAAGUUGUGCGAUAAGAAGCGAAAAAGUCUUUGCGUAAGUUAAGAAAUGAAAGUUUUGAGUGUUAGACUAGGAGUUUUGGGUGGUCUUCGUGAGAAGAACCAAGUGUUUCGUGGAGAAGAAGUCUACGAGGAAGGCUUGGAGUUUAAGUUCACGAUAAGAGUUCUAUGGGAGUAAAAGUGGGUUAGUUCACGUGGAACGUUUCUUAUAAUAAAAAUAUAAUCAAGAGAUAAGGUUAUUCACGAGAAAUGUUAAGUGGUUGAAUUUAUUCAUGGUUUGGGUUAGGCGGGAAGCAAGGUCUGUAAAGAAAAUGUCAAAUCUGAUUUGACAUGGGUUAACAUGUAAGAUAAAGGAUUUGAGCAUGACUAGGUUAAAUAUUAAGGAUUUGCAUGACUAAGUUAGUAUAAGGGAUCUAUAAAAUAAGAGAAUUUAGGUAACUAAGGAGGGGAUGACGAGAGUUUUGUUGAAAUGUUAAAGUGUUGUUGGUUUAGCCAUGCGAAAAAAUGGUUGUGAGAAGGACUUCUUUAGUAAAGUUUGGUGAGUGCUUUUCAGUCAAAAGAAUUUAUGUUAAAUAAACUUUAUUACGAUUUCUCUUUACUCAUUUGAAAGAAGAAUUCAGAUAAGAAUGUUUCAUAAAGAUUUCUAUGAAAAGUUAUGUUUUUAAGCAUUAUUUAUAAUGUUAAAGCUUGAUUUGAUGACUAUGAUUUCAAUAUUAUGUUUCUUUGAGAUGAUGCUAACUUUUUAUGUGCACAUAAAGAGUGAAGGCCACUAUGGAGUGUACGAACUACAUGGUAAUAAGAAGCUGACUUAUGCAUUGAAAUGAGCGUAUAAAGCUUAGCGGUAUGAGCAACAAAGACGAAUUUGUAUGUUCUCAGAUGCUGUUGAUACAGUAGUCUAAACGCGAGGUAAUGGGACCAAGCGUAGAAAACAAUUCGGGAUCCUUGACAAAAUGAAAUGAUUUUUUAAGCAUAAACAAAUGUUUAUGCGAAAUGAAAUAAUUUUUCGGUAUAUUUAAAUGAUUUGAUAUUAUUUUUACAAAAUGAUUAUGAAAAGGUAUUGUGAAAGGUUUUCAUAAAACCUUAAAGGAUUUAAAAAAAAAGUAGACCAUUCAACUUAAUUCCCAUCCACUAUCCUCUUGUCCAACAUGAAACUUUAUCUUAGUAAAACUUCUUGAUCCACUAUUUUACAAAAAUAUUCAAAACAAUACCAUACUACACCAAAUGUGAUAUUUUGGUAACACUUAAAAUGGUCAGAAAUACCAUUUUCCUGACUUUUUUUUCAUCGACCAUUAAAGAAAAAGUAUAGAUGAUGUUUCACAAAAACUUCCAAACCAUUGUGUUAGUUAUCGUUUUGGAUGAGGGUUGGGCUAGAGCAUCAAUACUCAAAGGUUGUUAAGAAUUAAGAACUAAGACUUGAAAAAGAAACCGCCUGCCUGGUUGACAACAACACCAUCCCACUAGAGUGCACAAUGAUGAUUUAUUGCAUUAAGAACAAGAUGGCAGUUAACCUUAGCGCCAUAAUCAGAACCUCAAUCCUCCCUUUGAUGAAAGCACCUAAAGGUGUCAUGCCUUUCCCCUCUACCACAUUGAAGCUCUUUGUCUAACACUACAAGAAAUGAGGGCUCUCUCGACGCAUAAAAUCAUUGGGAGAUAUAUAAAAAGCGUUAAAAAAGGCUUUUCUGACGCAUAAAUAUACGUCGGAACACAAGUCAGGAAAAAUGUAUCGGGAGAGGAACUCCCGAUGCACAAUGUUGUGCGUCGAGAGUUUCCAGACAUCUUUCGACGUUGUAUGAACGUCAAAGAUGUUGUCAAUAUAGCAUCGAGAGAUGUCUAGGAACCAUGCGUCAGGAGAUCCUCUAUUUUUUUAAAAAAAAUAACUUCAAUUAAUUCCUAAAUUCAAAUCGAAAAUUUUAAAUUCAAACUCAACUUCAACACUUCAACCUCAACUUCAACACUUCAAUCUUAACUUCAACACUUCAAAUUUAAAUUUCUAAAACCUACAACUAAUUCAAAAUUCUAACAACACUUGAAAUUCAAUUUCAAUACUAAAACCUACAACUAAUUCAAAAUCUAAAUACUAAAAAAAAUUUGAAAUCUAAAAUCUAAAACCUAAAACAAAUUUGAAAUCUAAAUACUAAAACUAAUUAACUAAAAUAAAACAAUAACUAAACUAAACCACUUACCGAUGGCGGCGACGACAAUAGGGACGACAAUGGAGAUGACAAGGCCCUCUUCUUCUCAAUCUUCCUCUCGGUCUCCCUCUCCCUCUCUCGUUUUCUUUCUCUUUAUGUUUCCUUUAUGUAAAGAAUGGAGUUAAAAAAGACAGAGAACUCCUGACGCACAACGAAAACGUCGGGAAUAGCACCCUAUUCUUGACCUGAUUUGUUAAACGUCAGAAAUCCCUAAACAUAUUCCCACACGAUUAAUGAUACGUCGGGAAUCCCUAAAUCUAUUCUCAACGUUGCUGCCACCACGUCAGAGGAAGCGUAACAUACAAUUAAUGAUCUGUCAUUCCUCCAACGAUUCCUAAGCUUUUAGCUUUUCUGCAAUCACCCCUUAUGCAUGUUCUCAGGCGAAUUUCAACCAAACCAUAACACUCCAUCAAAAUAAAGAAGAAGAGAGACACCUCAAAACCUUUAAUAAAGUUAAGGGAGAAGAAUGGAAUGGCAGAGAAGAAUAAGAGGCUUCUCCGCUGCCACCACUGCUCAAGAGGAGAAAGGUCCACGAUGACGCGUCUAACUCGUAUAAAAAGGAAAAAAGACGAAAGCUAGACGUGGCCAUCGACCCUAAACCUCUUGCAAUCCGACCCCUAACUCUCUCAUCGCCUCCUCCAAAAUCCAAAUCCUUCAAUUCUAGUCCUCAUCCAAAAAUUGAAACUCCCCCUCAUCAAUCUUACCCAAGUCUUCUCGCAUGUCUAUUAUCCUCUCACCACCAAAUCCCCCAUCAUUAUAACAACAUCCUUCACCUCACGACCUGACCGAACAAGCCCUUACCCGAUCAAAAGGGCAUUGUUAGCGAAGAAGAAUUCCUUAGGGUUGAGGAGGAAGACCUGCAUCACAUUCCUCUCCCUCCGCACACUACUAUACGUAAUUCCAAGGAGGAAGACUUACAUCUCGCGUGUAAACCCCGAUACCCAAUAAUCCUUAAUUCAUCUAAAGAACUCAAUAGGACAUUAGGGGUUGAUGUUAGGAGAAAGAUGGUUUAAGAUUGGAUAGUUUAGUUGAAGUGUUAUGGAAGACGUGUUAAUCUUUUUAAGAUGACAAAAAGAAAAGUGUCAUCGUAACAAAGAAAGGCCUAAAGGGUGUUUGAAAGUUGGCUAAGUGUUGGCUAGGGCAUGUUGCAUACUCUAGGCGGCCAAAAGUGUCAAGCGAACCUCUAAAGAGACAUGUUGGGUGGCCAAAGGUUGAGAUGUGGUAUGGCCGAAAGGUGUCAAGACAACCUCUAUAAGACAAGGCUAUAUGACCAAGGGUAUGCGCUAGGCAAGGAAGCUAAGCAUCUAGGAAAUGUCAAGAAACUCUAAAGAAGUUAGAACGUGGAUAAGGAAUGUCAUGCAACAAAGAGGUGGGCUAUGUGGACAUAGGCCAUGCGGCCAAUGGGGCAAUUCAACCAAAUGCUAGUCAAGAUGGCAUGGUUUGUUGAAGGCAUUGAGGGAUGUUUGGGAGAUUAGGCGAGAAAAAAAAGUCUUAGGCAUUCUUGGCAGUAAGAAUUUACUAAAGAACCCUCAUAGAAAAAGGGAUAUGCGUCCAAGGAUGACUUAAGCAAUAUGAGGUAAGAUGUGCGGUAGAGUACAAGUGGACAACAUACAAGAUACCUAAGUUUUGCCAAAUAAGUGUCUUGCAUGAGGUGGAAAGUGGCAAGUAUGGGCGUAAGAGGUGAGAAUAAAAGUGUCAACCAAAGAGCAUGCAAGGAUCACUAUAUGUACAACUUUGGACGAAUUAUGUUAACAAUCAACUUGUGUUAAUUGGGUAACUCUACUUCGAAAAUCUCCUAAAUUGAGUCUAGUAUCAGGAGAAAGGCUGCCAGGAAGAAAGGCAUUGAAGUGAAGAAAGACUCAAAGGUCAUUUUCAGAAAAAAAAAAAAAAAAAAUUGAACAAUGUAAAGUAUUUUGGAGCUACAUAACUCAAUACUUGGAAUUUGUUAGUGACACUUUGUGGUAAGCUAAUGAAGAUAUUCUAAGUUUGUAGAAGGAAGCUUAUUGAUUUAAGCUUCAAAGUCGAGUUAAGUUUCUGGUAGAAAAAUCAUAUUUCUAGGCAAGGCUAAGGGUGGGUUGAUUGCCAGGAUGACAAGGUGAGAUGAGCGUGUGUUUUGAGCGAAAGAGGUUAUUUAGGCUUGGGACAUGCAAGAAGCAUGUCCUGGCAUGAUCAAGCAGCCUGAGCCACGCGUCAUUACACACUCUAUUAUGAAAGUUGAGUAUAUUGCUACUUGUGAAGCAGCAAAAGAAGCAGUUUUGCUGAGGAAGUUCUUGCAUAAUUUGGAAGUUGUUCCAAACAUGAACAUGCCCCAUCACUUUAUAUUGUGAUAAUAGUGGGGCAUAUUACUAAUCCAUUUACAAAGACUCUCACGGCUAAAGUGUUCGAGGGUCUUCUAGAAAGUCUAGAUCUGCGAGUUAUGUACAUUAGGUAAUCUAGGAAAAGUGGCAGAUGUGUAAUGGGUAUGAGGAUGCCCUAGUUUAUUGUAUUUGUAUAUACACAUUUUAUGUAAUACACUUGUACAUUUUACCAUUUUCAAUGUUAGAGGAUUACUUUAUUAUGAACAUCCCAAAGAGACUAGAGUUUUAGUCCAAGUGGGAGUUUGUUGGAAUUUAUGUCCUAAAACUCGUAGAUUGUAAAUAUAAUCCAUUGACCAUUGUUAAUAAAGUGUUAUUAUUGUAAUAAUUGUUAUUGAUUAUAUUAUUAGUUUUGUCUUAAUAACUCAAAUCCAAUGAACUAACAUCCUAAACUUUUUAAUAAGUAUUGAAUAGUAUGUAGAGACAUAUACGGAUCAAUGUUCGAGAUCAGCUUAAAGGGUCUAUAGUAUAGGGAUAAGACUGGGUACCUUUAUCUUGGUAACAUUAUGAAUACGACUCACUUUGUAUUUGAUACAAAUACAAUGAUCCAAUGCAUUCGUGUAGUUGACAUGCGAGUGAAGGUAUCCUAUGCAAUGAGAUUGCAAUAGACCAUACCGUGAAAUAGUAACCACUUGGUGUUACUACGUUAACUAGUUAGGUUUCUAUUUCACUAGGAUGACCUAGAUAACUUAGUCUUAAUCUUGAGUGUAUUAUGAACUCUUGUUCGCGAGAGAUUGUCCUUUGAUUUGUACGGGUGAGAGUGGAUAGAUCGUCGACUCAAUAAGCUUAUCAUUCACUACUACAAAAAUAGACUCUCUUGACGUUUUUAAACUAUCAAGAAUCACUAUUCUUGAUGGUUUUAAAAUCGUCGUUGUAUACUUGACGUUUUUAAACUGUCAAGAAUCACUAUUCUUGAUGGUUUUAAAAUCGUCGUUGAAGCCAGCGUCAAGAAAGUCAAAGUUCUUGACGGUUAAUAAAACGUCAAGAAUAGCGAUUCUUAACAGUUUAUAAACGUCAAGUAUACAAAUAUUCAUGACAACUAAAAAUUGUCAAGUGAAUGAGUAUUCAUGACAUUUAAAAACUAUCAAGAAUGUAAUUUAUGACAUUUAAAAACGGUGAAAACAUAAUUGUUUAUGACGUUUAAAAAACGUCAAGAAUUUACUUGUUAAUGUCAUUGAAAACUCGUCACAAAUUUAUUUGUUUAUGACACUUAAAAAACGUCAAGCUUGUUUCAUAUUUUUUUCUAAAUUAUAAUUUAUUUAUAUUUUUGUUCCUGUAUUGUCUCUAUAAUUCCUGUAGUGUGGUCCAACAAUCUCAUAAAUAUGCACGAGUACAAUUCCAAAACUUUAACAUAUAUUAACAUUUGAUCAUAUAUGUAUGAACAUUUCGAAAACUUUACAUGUUUGUUCGAUAUUGUCAUAUACAAAACACUACUUCAGUCAACCCCAACCUAAUAUGAUAAUCCCAAAAUUACAAAACCAAUCCAACUAUGCUAUUCCAAAAAUCACAAGACUACAAUUCUAAUUCAAUAAACAAAAUCUGAAUUAAAGAAGCUUUGAAACUCAAUGAUCUUGGAUGAAUUUGGCUUCAAGUACAAACUUGGAUUCCACAACCUAAACCAAAAUAAAAUAAUAUAUCAAGUUAAGAUGGAUUCACAUAGCAACAUUUUAUCAAAUGGUUGCAAUGUUUCAAAUAAGCAACAAUUAAAAUUCACAUAUCGAUUUGGCAUCUAUAAAUAUACAAACUAAAAAGUACCUAAAUGUCAAUUAUUUAUCCAAUAAGGCUAACUAAGUAACCAACCUCUAAUAUGUUUUGCAAUGAAAAAGGUUGCCAUAUUGUUAAUUUCGCCAUAUUGUGAAGGCAACCUCUUAGAUGUGUUUGUGAGAAAGGAAAGAAAUACCAAAAUAAGUAUGGACUAAGAUAGUAUCAAAUAAAGUUAAAGUUGAAUUUUAAAGCUCUAUUUUUUUCAAGAUAGAGAAAUUUCAGCUAAAGAGAAAACACUAAGGACAACCAAGCAAAAGAGUCUAACAAGUAAAAAAAAGAACAUGCAGGAAAGGAAGAAUGUAAAUAAGGUUUUAUCAGCACCAAGCAAAAAAGUCUAACAAGUAUCAAAAGCUUUAUAAGUUGUACUAGAAUUCAAAGCUCUAAACUCUAAAGAAUGUAAAUUUCUUUGAAAAAAUUUGUGUAUAAAGGUCACACAGUUGAAAAUUCAAUACCUUUUCAAGAAUGUUGUUGAGAAGAUUAUUGAUGUAUAGACAGUAAUAAUCAGAAAAAAAAAUAGUAAAGCUUUAAGAAUAUUAUUGAUGAAUAUUGUGUUUUUGAGCCCGUUAACAAGGGUCCGAAUUCCGUGCUUUGUAUGAAAUAGUUUUUUCUUGAUGGGCAAUAGCUAUCAAGAUAUCAUUUUUUUAAGGGUCAUGUCCAUGAUCUUAUCCUAAACCCAGAAAUAUAAAAAAAAAAAAUCUUGAUAUUCUAAACUCAUCAAGAAAUCCAAAACAAAUAUAUAUUAUUUUUUUUUCGAUGAUGGCCAUUGCAAAUCAAGAAAAUUCAUUCCUUGAUGGACCUUGUCCAUCAAGAAAACCUAUCUAACUUGAUAGACAUUGUUGGUGUCAACUAAUAUAUUUCUUUGAUGUUUAUUGUCCAUCGAGAAAUAGUUUUCUUGACGUUUGUGGAAUAUCAACAAAACUAAGGGAACUUUGCCCAUCAAGAAAAUAAAAAAUCCACAUUUUUUUAAUGUUUUUUUUGUAUUUCUUCAACAAAAUAAGGAGACUUUUCUUGACGUACAUGACCGUCAAGAUAAACAUUGUAUCAAGAAAAAUAUUUUUCUUGAUGGUCCUUUGCCAUGACCAUCAAGAAAUCAAAAAUUUUUAGUGUCAAGAAAGACCAAAUUUGUAGAAGUGUAAAGCUUGAUUUGAUGAUUACAAUUUCAAUGCUAUGAAAUAGUUGAUUCCUUAAAAUGAUGCUAACUUUUAUUUGCAUAUAAAGAGUCAAGGCCACCAUGGGAUGUACAAACUACAUGGUGAUAAGAAGUUGGCUUAUGCGUUGAAAGGAACGUAUAAAGCUUAGCAGCCUGAGCAACAAGGACGAACCUGUAUAUUCUUGGAUGCUAUCGAUACAGUAGUCAAAUGCGAGGUAAUGAGACCAAGCGUUGAGAACAAUUUGAAAUCCUUGGUAAAAAGAAUGACGAUUAACUAAUGUGUGUUUAUGUGAAUUUGUUAGGUUAUGGAUGUGUUUGUUGAGCAUAAAGAAAGGUUUAUGCGAAAUGAAAUGAUUUGAUGUUGUUUAUGCGAAACUAUAUAUUUAUACGAUUUGAUAUGUUAUCUUGUUCUGCUGAAUCGAUUUUUGAAAUGAUGUUUAUAAAAAGGUUUUGCGAAAAUGAUUUUUUUCAUAAAACCUCACUAGAACAAGAACAUGAAUGUGUUUGAUAAAUAUUUCUACUUCUUGUUUCUUGAAAAAAAAAGACGCAAAAAUCGAAAAUGUGUUUGAUAACUGUUUCUUAUUUCUUGAUUUUAUUUGAGAUUUAUUUUUUUUAUUAUUCAUGUUAUUUUAUUCACAUUUAAUUCAAUUAAACAUUACAUCACUCAAUUUAUCAAACCUAGAUAGGAAGGUCUUCUAGUAAUCUUAUGGCGAUCAAGAUGAAGAUUGAGAUCUGAAGGAUCUAAGUUGGCGAGGAGGAAGGCGAAAACCUACGAUGAAGAGGAGGAUCGAAAUCCACGACAAAGAGGAAGACAAAAACCCACAGAGGAAACACAGAUUUGGCGAAAACCUAGAUCUGCGCAAAAGAGGAGGGGAAAACCCAAAUCUCGCAAAGAGGAAGAUGUCAUGUAGAGGAAGACGACGAAGACGAUGAGAGAAAGAGGAAGAUGAUGGUUAUUUUGGAAAGAUUAUAGAGAUAAUAAUAGGAAUAAAAAGGAAACUAGGGGUGUAAAUGGGUUGGAUUGUGAGGCAUUCUCAACCCAACCCAUAUUUUUGAGUUGGUUGGGUUGCCAACCCGAAUUAAGCCUUCAACCCAAUCCAACCCAAACUCGUAAAAUAUGAGUUGGAUUGGGUUGUCGAGCGAUAUUCUUUUAUCUUUUUUUUCGUUUGUAAAUUCUAAUGUUUAUAAAGUUCAAAAUUGUUCAUUUUCUAAAGAAAAAAAAUCAAAAUGAGAAGAGAAGAAUGCAUCGCGCAACUUCAAAGUGACAAAGUUAACCUAAUUAUUUAACUUUUAUUAAAUAAUAUAUAUAUAUUAGUUCGGGUUGGAUUGAACCGAAUUUUUCAACCCUUCAACCUAUGACCCAAUCCAACUAGAAAAAAUUCAAAAUUUUGAAACUCAACCCAACCCACAUUUUAAACUAACCCAACCCAACCCAUAUUAUAUGGGUUGGGUUGUUCGAGUUGUCGAAUUACUCGGGUUAUUUUUACACCCCUAAAGAAAACCAUGUGGAGAGUGAUUAUUUGGAGAAGAAGAUGGAAAUAAGAGGAAUAAAAAGGAAAUCACGUGGAAAAAUGGAAAAGGAAAAGAAAAUAGAAAAAUAAUUGAGAAAAAGGAAAAGAAAACCAAUAAAAAUAUUUCAAAACAAAGAAAAUGAAACCGGUCUUCAAAGAAGAUCUCGCCCCUCUCGUUCUACAACUCAUUUUAGCCUUUUUCACUGAUCUGAAUCUGAUCUUAACACAUUCGUAAACUCACUCGAGCCUGUCUUCAGAUAGUUACAAGCUUUUUUUCAAGUGGAUGAAAUGGGUCAAGUUUUUUUGUAGGAGAUGGGAUUUCUCGAGUUUAUGGAUUGAAGGAGAUUCAAGCUGGGGAAAUGGUGACUUUAUAUGGCUUCGAUGUACUUUUAUCUUCAACAAGCGAUCCGACGUUCAAUGCUGGUCGAAGCAUAUGGUUGCCAGGUUGGUUAAAUAUUGUUAAUGAGAAUAGUAUUUCACUAUUUUUAACAAUAGGGCUCGGAGCUUCUUGGUUCAUCAUGUUAUUGCUUUAGGUUUAUAUACAACUACAUUGAUCUUAGUAAAAGGUGCUUUAGUUGCAUGUGGUUCCAAAUUAAUGCUGGAUAAAAAGAAUUGAGAAAAAUAAAAGGAAAAAUAAAACCAAUAAAAAUAAUUGAGAAGCGGAACGAGAGAAAUUGCUUUUUUUGUUCCCAAUAACUCUUUAUAAACUGGGAAACAAUUCUAUUUUUUUUUUAGAACGAAAAAUAGGGAACGAUACCAAACACCUUCGUUUCUUAAAAAGUGAAAACAAAGAUAGGAAACAGGGAACGAGAACGUUACCAAACGGUCUCUAAAGAACUUAUAUGUGGCUGACCCUCAAUUUCUAUGGGUCGCUAUCAACUUCUAUGAGUCUCCAUCAGCCAAUGAGAAAACAAAGGGGUCUUUGUGUUGCCGACCAAAAUGAGCAAAUGGAGAGAAAAUAAAAGUUUAGGGAUUUCUUUUUCGUGGAGAGUGAGAGAAAGGGGAAGAGAAAAUUAGAAAUAUAUUAUAUUAUAUUUUAAUAAAUUUUAUUAAAAUAAAACUAUUUAAUAUUUUUACCUUUUAUGAUGACAAAUAACUGUCAUAUAAAGGUAGAAUUCGAAAACAUCAUUUUUUCCUGCCAAAAACGCGUAUUUUAACAUUAUGUGACAAUUUUUCUUUCCUCCUAUAAAUUUAGAUUAUAUUAACUGUCAUAGAAUGUCAUUUUUUUGGUAGUACGCAUAGACCCGAGAUUCAAUUUACCAGUAGACCUGAGAUUCCUUUCACCAGCAUCUCUUAGAAAUUACCUUGGUUUCAUUUCCUGUUGCUUUAGGUCAUUUGACUCCAACGCCUUUACCCAUUAUGUGGACACCACAUAAGAGUUAGCUUAUUGAUGGAGAUAAGACUAAUGGUUUGAACACAAUUUCACAUUCGUCAAUCAAGGAACAUCAAAUUAGAAAAUUUAUUUUUAAUAACAACAUCAACAAGAAUUUCAUAUAGUAAUGUACGCUAAAUACUAAGUUUCCUUCCUUUCAAAAUGCCUAAUUUUAGCUUCUUCUUCUCGCCUUGAGUUUCUCUGAGUAGCUAAACACUUAGAAGAUCCUCAGAAAACUAGCACCUUCUUUAAUCCCUUUCAAUUUUAUUUAUAUUAAUCUUAAACCAAAUUAGUUGUCACGCCCCGUCUCAAAGUCGCUCCUCCCAAUCAAGUGGAGACAUGUCGCCUAGACCUUUAUCACGUACUCCUCUCGGGGUAAAGCGUCAAACGCCUAGUAAGCGAAAUAACUUAACUCCUUUUACCCACAACUUAAACGCCAUUUUCUUUUUGAAAGGACACUAGAUAACUUAUCCUUAACUAACGUGUCCUUCAUAUUGCGUACUCUUUUAACCUUGUAAUUAAUUACACGAUAGUCACAGAUAACUAUUGGCCAUGUGCCCUAGUUUCAUAUAUAUUCUCUCACACCACAUCUCUCAUACCACAUCUCUCAUACCACUAGGAAUUUUAGUCCAAGUGGGAGUUUGUUGGAAUUUUUUGUCCUAAAACUCGUAGUUUGUAAAUCAUAUUCUAUUCAAUAAAGUUGUUAUUGAGAAAUUAAAUAUUAUAAUCUUAAAUCCAAUAAAUCAAAGUUCCAAGGCUAUUUUUUGAAUAAACUUGAACUUUAUGUGUAAACAUAAACGUGGAUCAAGUUCGAGUAUAUAGCCUAAAUAGUCUAUAGUAUAUGAAAUAAAGGUUGGGCGCCUUAUUUUGAGAGACUAUGGAUGCGGCCCACUUUGUAGUACAAACGAUGUGAUCCUAAUCGUUCAUGUAGAGACAUGAAAGUGGGGGCAUCCUAUGUAAAAUGUUUACAUAAGACUGAACCAUGAAUUAGUCAUUUUUACGUUAUAACACCGUUUACUGUUUAAAACUGACUAUCUCAAUUAUUGAUGACCUAGGUAACUUAGUCUUAAUCCUGAGUUAACUAUGAACUCCUGUUCAUACGAGAUUAUCCUUAGAUCUGCAUAGGUGAGGGCAGCUCAUCAGCGUUGGCCCAAUAAGCCUCCCAUUUCAGGGGUAAGAUCGGGUGGAUAGCUGGGAACAUAGGGUACAAGAUGGAAUUCACUCCUACCCGCUUUAGGGUUAGUAGAUAGGUUGCUCUCUUAAGCACUGAAUCCAAGUCUUGAACAAGGGGCCCCACCCUCUCAUUGGCCCGAGAGGGAUUAAGUUUAUAGGUUGAACCUUAAACCAAUUGUUCAAUAGUGGAUUAGUGGGACUUAAGGAGCAAGAUGUAAUCUUGGGGGUAAAACGGUAUUUUGACCCAGCCAAGGUUACGAGCAACCUGUGAAGGAUUAACUUACUGAUUAUGGUUUUAUCAAAUGGACACAAAUAUAUCUAUAGUGAGGGGAGUGCAACUACGGGACUUUAGUGGAAUGACCCGUUAGUUAACGAAUGUUGAUUAACUCGGUUUAAAAGAGUUUAGCUAGUUAAUCUUGAAUCGUUGGAGCCCAUGAUCUAUAGGUCCAUUAGGUUCCUCUGCUAGCUCAUAUGGAUUAAACUUAGAACAGUGUGAUGAAAUAAGUCGAAUUGUUCGAAUAGGGAGAAGAAAGGAAAACCGACAUAUACAGUGAUAUAAUCGUCGGUCUUCUAAUUAGAAAUAGAGCUUUAUGUUUUACAUACUAUAAGUAUGAAUGCGGAUUCAUACUAAGAAGCUCGGAAUUGGUCAAAAAUAGUAAAAAGUCAAAAUGUUGACUUUUGACUUUGAAAAGUCAAACUUUGACCGGCCUUAUAUUCAAAUGUGAUUUGAAUUUUGGAAAAAUGAAUGCGGAUUCAUGCUCGGGAGGUUGGAAUUAGUCAAGACGGACAAAAUGGUAAAAAGUCAAAAUAUUGACUUUUGACUUAGAAAAGUCAAAGUUUGACUUUUGACUAGAAAAAUCUAAUGACCAUUUUACCCUUGGACUAAGUUAGUGGGAAAAUCCAACAUUUUGUUGGAUAAUCCCACUAACUCUUAGUGGGAUAUGUGGCUAUAUGAGAUAUAGACACCUAGCCCACUAAGUUCCACUAAUUGUUAGUGGAAUAUUAGGUGUUGAGAUUUGGCAAUUGAAUUGCAUGCAUUUUUGCAUGUAAUUAGGCUAUAAAUAGAGAUGUUUUCAAAUGUUGAAGGACUUUUGCCUCUUUUAUCAUUUUCAUAAUCUCAACAAAAGAAAAAAGAAAGCUUCCAAUCUCAUUUUAUCUCCAUUACUUUCUACACCAAAAUUGGGUCCCACAACCCGGUUCUUUGUCUAGAGGAUAGCAGUUGAGUACUAGUGGUGGUCUCGGGUAGAAUUGGUAAGAAGACAUCAAACCUUUUGUAAGCUUCAAAGGUAAUACUUCUUAAAACCCUAAUUUGAUUAGUUUAUGGUUACAUGUUAAUUGUGGCAAUUAGGGUAGAAAUUCGAUUCUUUUUUCGUUGUGCAUGACUUAGUUCUAUCAAUAACAUAGCGAAAAGAAUACAAAACUUCUUUCUUGUUUCUCACACUAAUAGAGGGUACCUAGAGGUGUAAAUGUGGCACUUCCUCCUCUACCUAGAUUGCCCAACCACCUCUCUUAGCACAUAGCAUUAGGGUCACUCUCCUCCUGACUCAGUUUUUUGGCUCUCUAGCUCACCAGAUAAGUACUUCAACAUCUUGGGUAUUGUAAUCACUUGCCUUCCGAGUUGGGCCACUUGCACUAAGGGGUGAUUUGCUUACCAAUUGGUCCCUCAUGCAUAAUAGAAACUUUCAUGGCCAACACCCGACGUAAGACUACAGAGACACUCUGUUUUCAUUUCUUAGCUUGGUUAUACAACCUUACGACUUCAGUUUGCAUGGCUUUGACGUCUAACAACAUAUAUAGACUCAAUCCCAAUACCUUUCGUCUUUGUUUCUAGACGCUUCUCCUCCCCAACGGCUCUCUCAUUUUGUCGUUCCACCCUCCGGACCUCCUCUAAUCCUUUUCUUAGAAAAUCUCACUCCUUACUCUUUUUUCAAUUUCCCCUUUUUCCUUUGAUUUUCAGCUCUAUUUAUAGUGACCUUCUUGUCCAAAGGUUACUUCCAUGCUUUUCACUUGUCUACUCGCCAUUUUUCUGCUUCAUGUAUUUAAAUCCCACAAUGACCAUCAUCGACGAUUUGACUUCUCAUUGAGACACACGCCUCAUCUUCUUGGAAAGCCAAACUUCCUUAAAUAACCCAACCCUCAUUAUUUCCUCGAGAAGCCAUAAAUAUUUUCUUCCUCCAGAGAGUGGUCAACUCAUCUUGACAAGACACUUUCUCGCCUCCUUCCUAGGUUUAACAACUUCUUCUCACGUUACUUUGCUAAAGGCCUAACUCUUAGUGUCCAAUAUAGGUCUCUCUUUUCAUAUAGGCCUAACUCUUGGGGAUGGGUACGCGAGUUGUGAGGUUUGUGUUGGGGUGGGACAAAACAUAAAUGAAAAUUAAGGGUGUUAUUUAUGGUUUAUAUAUAUAUCCCUAAAUCGGGUUGGGUUGGGUCAUCUUGGCCCUUAAUUCCCAAACUCGGUAACUAGACCCAUCUUUUUUUCAAUUCUUUAACCCAACCCAACCCUUACUCUUUGGAUUGGGUAGUCCUGGUUGGUCGAAUUAUCAGGUUUUUUUUUACACCACUACUUUUUAAUCUUGAAUAUGAAUUCUUCAAUCUCGUUGCUCGCAAUCUCCAACCACACUUAUUGUCAAUGCAUCUAACAAAAAGAACCUCUUUUGUAGACUUUUUUACAACAAAUUGAAGAAAAAAAAUUCUUUGUCAAGACACUUAAUCUUAUUUACAUCUCUCUUGCAAAAAAAUAUAUGUCAUGCAUCCAACUCCUCACUUGUAGAGCUUUCUUUGAACCAAUCACUUUUUUUUUUUUUUUGCCUUCAACUUUCGGCUAGUGGAGCUGUAGUGAAUUUUAUCUUUUCCUUUGCAAUUUUUUGUAGGAGCAUCUUUUUGUUGUGGGAUGUCAAACGAUUCUUUGUUCAUCUCAACUGGCUCCCGUGUAAAAGUAUCAUCUUUUGAAUCAUAUGAUUCAUAUGAUUCCCACAUAGCCAAAGUGGUCCCUAUCAUGUUAUCACACAAGCUUACCUAAACUUCACAAACAUGAACUUCAUUCUCAAUCUAAUGUAUCCAUUGCAAUUAGAGGAUAAAGGUUUAAGUUAUGAACUUGGUUGCUCCCAGAUACUGAAUUGUAACACAUGUUUAACCCUUUCUUGCUUUGAUUGCUUCUAGGCUAAAAUGAGACAUAUAGAGGGCCUUCAAUGAAUUUUCACUAAGAAUAUAAAACUUCAAAUCAUGGUCAUUGAUUAACUCAACUCAAAUGGAGGGGCUUCAUUUUUCACUUUUAUUGCAUAAAGAAGAAACACGUAGGAAAAUGAGGGGAGGUUCUUUCUAUAGGCAAAAGAGAAAAUGGAUUUGAAAUAUGGAGGUCACCGAAGGUGAAGUGGUGCAAGAUUUGUUUGUGUCGUCUGAAGAUUCUGCAGAAUGGCACCGGCAGGUGAUUUUUUGUAUAGAUAAUUAAAAUUAUAUAGAUAAUAACCAAGAAAAGGGAAAAGAGCGUAUUUUGUGAGGAAUAUAUUGAGAAUAGUUUUAGUAUUACAUAAUCUGAUUCUGAAUAAUAAAUAAUGGAAAUGGAAAUCAUAUGAGAUUUUUGAAAAAGGAAAGUGUAUAUAUACGGUGGUUAAAAAAUUAUUCAAAAAAAGAAAGUUUCCAUAUGAAUGCAAUUCUUUUUAAAUUAAUUGUUAGAGUAAGGGUAUUGUGUCUUCUCAACCUUAAAACAAAAAGGCAAAAGAACAAUACUCUGUUCCCUUCGGCUUCACGUUUUUUUAUUAUUCUUUGUGUACUGCUGCGUUGCACCACACACCACAGUUCUAAUUUUAAUAUAUACACACAUAUAUAGGUAACAAAUCUCCUAUUUCUCUUCUCUAACUUCUAAUAUUCUUUUUUUUUUUCCAUUCUAAAUUCUAAAUUCACGCAAUGAGUUUCAUGUCAAUCAUUCAAUUCCAUCUCUUGUUUUGAUUCUGCAUUAUCAGUCUGUAGAUUAGGGAUAGUUGCAAUGUUGUUCAUAUAUUGAUUACACUUUUAUUUGUUUAAGAAAAAAACACUCCAUCAUUAUCAAUGUGUUAUUUGGAGUCCUGAGGUUCAUUUCACUGAAUCCGGAUCCUUAAAAAAUGUCCAGACUGCUCUAGAAAGGGGAAAAUUCUUAAAGUGCACCCAUUGUAAGAGACGUGGUGCAACCCUUGGAUGUCGAGUUGAACAAUGUCAAAAAACAUACCAUUUGGUUUGUAUUAACUGAACUAUUAAGUAUUAUCUAUCUCUUUAAUCACUUCAAUAACAUUAAUAAAAUCUUCUCUUUCUUUUUUCAGGCUUGUGCACGUUUCAAUGGUUGUAAAUUUGAUCACAAACAGUUUCUCAUGCCUUGCACUGAUCAUCGCCAUAUCUUCCAACUUGAAACUCGUUUGAAUUCACGUGAAAAAACAGAGUUCAAAAUGGGAAAACAGUACUCAAAGGAAAAUCACAAAUGUAUUGAUAAGGAUGAUGAUAGUAAUCAUGAAGAUGAUCAAGAGGAUAUUCAGCCCAUAUUUAUUGGUGGCACUGCCACACAUAGUAAUAGUAAUAAUAGUAAAAAAGAAGUGUUAGUUAUGGGUGGUUGGGAAUCUGUUGCUGGCCUUCAAAAUGUCAUUCAAUGCAUGAAGGAAGCUGUAGUGUUACCUUUGUUGUACCCUGAGUUUUUCCAGAGACCUGCUAUAACCCCACCAACAGGUCUUCUCCUUCAUGGAUAUCCUGGCACAGGUAAAACACAUGUUGUGCGAGCCUUGGUUGCUUCGUGUGCUCGUGCCGACUGCUUAGGAAAGUAUGUUGGUGACUGUAACGACCCAACUUUUCUAAGUAAGUCGAGAUCGUUAAUUUUUAACAAAUAAAGACUUUGAUUAAUAUAAAACAAAACGUAAGCAAUUUAAAAAAAAACAUCUUCAAGUCAGGCCUGAUUUUUAAACAUUCAAGAAAACAUAAAAUAAUAUUAUUUACAACAAACGUUUGUAAACUAAAUUUCAAUUCAUUUUAAACCUCACAAGAACCCAUAAGCGGAAGCAAAACACGUUUCCUAUGGCAUCACGCUUCCUUCCUGCCCCUCGCCGGUUUGCCGCCUUUAUUACCUUUGCCUGAAAAUUAAACAUAAGAAGGGUGAGUAUUUAAAUACUCAGUAAGAGACCCUCUACUGGUCCCGUCAGGGGAAAAUAAAUUGUUAACGUUCUAUUGGGACACCCUGUACAGUCGCAGUCUUGAGAUCCCAUAGGAUACACAUCUCAGUCUAACGCCCCGAGGGACAUACAUAUCAGUCUAGUGUUCUGCGGAAACACAUAUCAGUCUAAUGCUUCCGAAGGUGCACAAUAAAUUGGUGAUCCCGUGGGACACCUACAAGGUACACAUCCCAAUACAUUCUAACAAUUUUCCCCUCAAUACAUUCUAACAAUUUUCCCCUCAAUACAUUCUAACAAUUUUCCCCUCAAUACAUUCUAACAAUUUUCCCCUCAAUCCAUUCAAUCCAUCUUUCAAUUACUUCAAAACACAAAGUUCUUUCUUUCGACGUCCUAACAGUCAACUUAUUUUACUUUAGUCAUAUGUCUAUCAAUAAUAUGCUAAUAUAUCAGUCAAUCAAACUAUACAGUCAACACACCCCUCAGUUCAUCAGCACACAGUCAUACUUUAAACGUAACGUACACCCAAUCUAAACGAAAAUCACAAGUUCACAUCUGCAUCUCAUACAAACACAAUUUACAAUCUUCGUCCUGUCCACAUACACACACUUAUAUAUAUAUUCCAUGACAAUCACGAUAUACAUUCGACGUCAAGUCUACUUCAAUUCAUAUACAUUCAUAUAUAUUUUCAGUCAAUCCACAGUAUACAUUUAACACAUACAAUCCACAGUCAUAAGUGAAUCUAGUAGAAAAUCCCUUACCUUCAAGUUAGUUAAGCUCCUUAACCACGUUGAAGUCUAUGAAGAACGAACCUAAACAUUAAGACAAUUUCUCAAUAAUUCUCUUCAACGCAUCAAUCAUUUAAAUUCAACCCAAUGUGAAUCUUUUUACAACUUACCCAAAUCUUCGCGAAAGAAAUCGAGCAGUAGCUUUGCGAAGAGAUGAAGUGCGACGGAGAGACCGUAUACAGACGGCCGGAGAUUCGCGCGGCAGUGCAGACAACGGAAGAGAAGGGAUCGGCGGCGGCUGGCUUGGACGGCGAUUGUGAGCGGCGGACGUGGCGGUUACUGGUUCACACGGCGGCUCGGGCUUCGACGAAGACAGAACCGGCGAUGGAGAUGGCAGAUCGGCGCGCGGGACGACUGCUGCAAGGUUGCUUCGCGAAACGGAGAUGGAAACGGCAGAUCGGCGCACGGGCUGCAGCUGGGCUGCGGCGGGAAGAAAACGGAAGAGAAAGGAUCGGCGGCUGGCUGCGGCUGGGCUACGGCGGGAGGAAAACGGAAGGGAAAGGAUCGCGGCGGCUGGCUGCGGCGGGAAGAAAAUGGAAGUCGCGGCGCACGACGGAAGAAGGAAAUAGGGGUGGCGGUUGCUGCGGCUACGACGCAGAUCUGGACUGAGCAGCGGUCACGUGGGCGGCGACGGCUGCUGCGAACGGAAGAAGAAGAGGAGAAGGUCGACGGUUACUGGGCUGCGGACGGAGAGAAGGGGAAGGGUGCACGGGGAGGAAGGAGAAAAGAGAAAAGAAAAGAAAAAGGAAAAAGAAAAGAAAAGGAAAAAGAAAAACAAAAUAUAUAUAUUUCUUUUUCUUUUCUUUUUAUUUAAAUUAAAUAUAAAUAAAUAUAUAUAUAUAUAUAUAUAUAUAUAUAUAUAUAUAUAUAUAUAUAUAUAUAAAAUAAAAACAAAAUAUAUAUAUAUAUAUACCUUGGGGCAUUACAUUCUUCCCUCCUUAAGAAACUUUCGUCCUCGAAAUUAAUAAUUCUGAAAUAACUCCUGGAUAACGAGUCCUCAUCUCUUCCUCUCGCUCCCAUGUCGCCUCUUCCAUUCGAUGGUUCCGCCACAAAACUUUUACUAAUGGAAUGCUUCUAUUACGAAGCAUCUUUACCUCUCUAGCCAGAAUUUCCACAGGUUGUUCUACAUAGCUCAAAUGCUCAUCAAUCUCCAAGGGUUCAUAGUCUACUACAUGAGAUGUAUCGGCCACAUACUUUCUCAACAUCGAAACAUGGAAAACAUUAUGAACUGCAGAGAGAGAUGGUGGUAAUGCCAAGCGAUACGCCACAACACCACACCCUCUCUAAGAUCUCAAAUGGUCCAACAAAACGAGGACUUAACUUCCCUUUCUUCUCAAAAACGCAUAACACCCUUCAUAGGUGCUACCUUCAAGAAUACUUUUUCUCCCACAUCAAACUUAAGGUCUUUUUGCCGUACAUCUGCAUAACUCUUCUGUCUACUCUGCGCUGUUUGCAUACGUGCUCUAAUCUUUUGAAUAGUCUCAUUAGUAGACCGAACUAAUUCAAGUCCCAUCAACCUAUGUUCACCAACCUCACUCCAACAAACAGGGGUUCUACAACAUUUACCAUACAAAGCUUCAAAUGGCGCCAUACCGAUGGUAGCCUGGAAACUGUUGUUAUAAGCAAACUCCAUUAAAUGUAGAUGAGAGUCCCAACUACCUAGAAACUCUAGAACACAAGCUCGUAGCAUAUCCUCUAAAACUUGAUUCAAACGUUCAGUUUGACCAUCAGUCUGUGGAUGAAAGGCUGUACUGAAAUCCAAUCUCAUACCCAUAGCAGUCUGAAGUCCCUUCCAAAACUUGGAAGUAAACCGUGCAUCCCUAUCAGAAACAAUCGAUACAGGCACUCCAUGCAGUUUCACAAUCUCAGUUAAAUACAACUCUGCCCACUUACUAGCAGUAUAAGUGGAUUUUCCUGGUACAAAAUGUGCCGAUUUCGUAAGCCUGUCUAUGACAACCAAAAUCACUGUGAAACCCUUCAGGGUCUUUAGGCAGCCCUGAAAUAAAAUCCAUCGACACAUUCUCCCACUUCCACUCUGGCACACUUAAAGGUUGUAACAAACCUGUUGGUUUCUGUCUAGGUGCCUUAACCUGCUGACAUACUAGACACUUACUAACGAAUUCCGCCACUUCCCUUUUCAUAUUUUGCCACCAGUAAAAUCGUUUUAGAUCCUGAUACAUUUUCGUGCUACCAGGAUGCAUGGAAAAUGGGGAAUUAUGGGCUUCAUCUAGUAGGUCAAUCUUAACUGUACUGUUCGCUGGCACACACAAACGUCUCUCAAACAUCAACCCACCAUCAGAGGAUAUGAAGAACUCAUCAGUCUGCCCUGUUUCAACAAGGCGAUGUCUCUCCAUCAAAUAAGGAUCACUACUCUGAGCAUCAACAAUCUUCUGCUUCAGAGUCGGUUGCACCAUUAAUUGAGCUAGCUGUGAGGUGACUCUCCCCACAGACACUGCAAUCUCAGCUCUCUCCAAGUCUCGAUGCAAUGGUACCUGUCUAGUAAUGAGUGCUGCCGAAUGUGAUACUUUUCUACUAAGAGCAUCAGCCACCACAUUCGCCUUACCAGGAUGGUACAAUAUCUCGCAGUCAUAAUCUUUUACCAACUCGAGCCACCUUCGUUGACUCAUAUUCAACUCCUUCUGAGUGAAGAAGUACUUUAGGCUCUUAUGGUCAGUAAAGAUUUGUAUCUUUUCACCGUACAAGUAAUGUCUCCAUAUCUUCAAUGCAAAAACCACUGCUGCCAACUCCAAAUCAUGUGUGGGGUAGUUCUGCUCGUGAUCUUCAACUGACGAGAGGCAUAAGCAACCACCUUACCUUUCUGCAUCAAAACACAACCCAGUCCUUUCUUGGAAGCAUCACUGUAAAUCACAAAACUUCCAGAUCCAUCUGGUACAGUAAGGACCGGUGCAGUAACUAACCUUUGCUUUAAGUUCUGAAAACUGUCCUCGCAAGCUGGACUCCAAACAAACGGAGUUCCCUUCCUUGUCAACUGAGUCAAGGGAGUAGCCAAACGUGAAAAAUCCUCCACAAACCUCCGGUAGUACCCUGCUAAACCCAGAAAACUACAAACCUCACUAACUGUAGAGGGUCGAGACCAACUGGUAACCGCUUCUAUCUUUGCAGGGUCUACUGAAACUCCCUCACUAGAAACCACAUGACCAAGAAAAGCCACCUGCUUCAACCAAAAUUCGCACUUAGAGAACUUAGCAUACAGUUUAUUGACUCGAAGAGUCUCUAACACCUUAUGUAAGUGUUCCUCAUGUUCGGCUUCAGUCUUGGAAUAAACCAAAAUAUCAUCAAUGAAGACUAUCACAAAAGUGUCUAAGAAAUCCUUAAACACCCUGUUCAUCAAAUCCAUAAAUACAGCAGGUGCAUUAGUCAAACCAAAAGACAUUACUAUGAAUUCAUAAUGUCCAUACCUCGAAUGAAAAGCAGUCUUAGGAAUAUCACGGUCUCUAAUCCUCAACUGGUGAUAACUUAACCGUAAGUCAAUCUUAGAGAACACCGUGGCUCCCUGUAACUGAUCGAACAAGUCAUCAAUUCUGGGUAAAGGAUAUCUGUUCUUGACUGUUACUUUAUUCAAUGCUCUAUAGUCAAUGCAAAGACGCAUCGACCCAUCCUUCUUCUUCACAAACAAUACUGGUGCACCCCAAGGUGACACACUAGGUCGAAUAAAGCCUUUGUCAAGCAAUUCCUGUAACUGUACCUUCAGUUCUUUCAACUCAGCAGGAGCCAUCCUAUAAGGGGCUCUAGAAAUAGGAGUAGUGUCUGGCUCCAACUCAAUGGCAAAAUCAACCUCUCUAUGUGGCGGUAGUCCUGGAAGAUCUUUUGGAAACACAUCCGGGUAUUCUCUUACCACAGGUUCUGAAGUUAAAGAAGUCUCACCUUCCCUAGUAUCCACCACACUUGCCAAAAUACUCCAAGUACCCUGGUUGAGUAGUUUACUAGCUUUCAUAGCUGAGAUUACUUUAGGCAGUACUACUGUUCCUACCCCCUUGAAUUUAAAACUAGAUGCAGUAGGGGGACUGAACACAACUUCCUUACGAGAACAAUCAAUACUAGCAUGAUUAGUAGCUAGCCAAUCCAUACCUAAAAUUACAUCAAAGUCACGCAUAUCUAAUACCAACAAGGUUACGUCCAGCACACGACCAGCUAUCUCAAUUUCACAUGCUUUAAUCUUUUCCUUAGACAACAUAAAUUCUCCAGACGGUGUAAACACUGACAAAACAUAGUCUAAGAGUUCCACCUCUAAGCAUGCAUGUGUCACAAAAAGCGAUGAAAUAAAUGAAUGAGAAGAUCCCGAGUCAAACAAGGUCAAGGCAAAAUGCCCUAACACUGGUAAUGUACCUGUCACUACUGUGCCGACCUUCUCUGCCUCUGAUCUAUUAGUGGCAAAGAUUGUACCCCGCUGUGGAGGUCUCUCUCCCUGACUGCUCGAUCCAGCUCCAGUAGAUCUCAAGGGACACCUAUCAGCCAUGUGUCCCUCUUGCUUGCACUUAUAACAGACUCUCAUUCCCAUCAAACAACGACCUAGGUGGCGUUUCCCACACGUAUUGCAUAAUGGCUUCUCUCGAGUAGUGUCUCCUGCCCGCCAGAACUCUGUUGGAAAUUGCGAAAAGGAUCGCCUGGUCUCAAGUUCCUCUGAGGAACUCCCACAGUUCUCUGCUCUACUUUUCUCUUUUGACCCGAUGACGAUCCCUUAUCAAAGCUCCUUGGCCGUAUUUCAUCCUUCCCAAUGCUCAUAUUCACUGCCAGACGCAGUGCUUCAGCCUGGUUAGUGGGCUUUAGUGCUCGCACAAAGCCCCUAAUUUCAUCUCUCAAUCCCUUGACGAACCUAUCAGCUCUAGCUUGCUCAUUACUAACAAGCUCAGGGGCAAAACGUGACAGCAUAUCGAACUCCUGGUCGUACUCCUCGACUGUCAUAUAUCCUUGCUUCAACUCCAAGAAUUCCUGGCUUUUGGCGUCUCUAAGGUUAGCCGAGAAAAACUUGGUAUAGAAGCAGUCCUUAAACUGAUCCCAGGUAAUCUGCCUCACAUCUCCACCUAACAUGCGCAUAGUAGUCCUCCACCAGAUAAUGCCUCUGUCCCUCAGUAGAAAAGCAGCACACUGAACUCUGUGCUCCUCGGGACAUCUCAUGUAAUUAAAUAUGGUUUCCACAGAGGACAACCACAAUUCAGCUUUAGUAGGAUCCUCCAGUGACCCAUCAAACGUCUGAGGGUCAUAUUUCCGAAAGUCCCUCAAAUGUUUCGCCUCAGCAGAAAGUUGGUUCGGUAAUAUCUGCGGCUGUUGUGCAGCAAAUCCUUGUGCAGGAGGGGCUGCUGGUGCAGGGGGAACUACAGGUGCAGGUGGAACGACAGGUGCCUGCUGGUUCUGAGCUAUAGCCGUCAUAAGUUCUGUAAACCUCUGCUCCAUGUGAGCAGACAGUGCAUCAAACUCGACGUGAGUCACGGGUGCAGCAGGAAUUCGUUGUUCAACUUGACCCUCAGUAGGCUGAUUACGACCUGCUCCUCUACCUCGGCCUCCUGCUCCUCUACCUCGGCCUCUACGACCUCCUCUACGUACACCUUCCCUUGGCGGCAUAAUUCCUAUUAUCCACCAACAACACUCUUUAACAAAAUCUUAAUCAUAAGCAUAAGCAAGUCUUUAUCGUCAUGCAAUCUAGUUUAAUUUAGGCAAGGUCAUGCAAAUAAACCAUACAUGUAAGCAUCAAGCAUACCUGACGAGAGACGAAGGGUCGCGUUAACCAUAGGAACACAAAAACAUAGACUUACAUCGUAAGUCAGUCUACAGAACCUAAAACUUAGGCUUUGAUACCAACUGUAACGACCCAACUUCUCUAAGUAAGUCGAGAUCGUUAAUUUUUAACAAAUAAAGACUUUGAUUAAUAUAAAACAAAACGUAAGCAAUUUAAAAAAAAAAAACAUCUUCAAGUCAGGCCUGAUUUUUAAACAUUCAAGAAAACAUAAAAUAAUACUAUUUACAACAAACGUUUGUAAACUAAAUUUCAAUUCAUUUUAAACCUCACAAGAACCCAUAAGCGGAAGUAAAACACGUUUCCUAUGGCAUCACGCUUCCUUCCUGCCCCUCACCGGUUUGCCGCCUUUAUUACCUUUGCCUGAAAAUUAAACAUAAGAAGGGUGAGUAUUUAAAUACUCAGUAAGAGACCCUCUACUGGUCCCGUCAGGGGAAAAUAAAUUGUUAACAUUCUAUUGGGACACCCUGUACAGUCGCAGUCUUGUGAUCCCGUAGGAUACACAUCUCAGUCUAACGCCCCGAGGAACGUACAUAUCAGUCUAGUGUUCUGCAGAAACACAUAUCAGUCUAAUGCUUCCGAAGGUGCACAAUAAAUUGGUGAUCCCGUGGGACACCUACAAGGUACACAUCCCAAUACAAUCUAACGAUUUUCCCCUCAAUCCAUUCAAUCCAUCUUUCAAUUACUUCAAAACACAAAGUUCUUUCUUUCAACGUCCUAACAGUCAACUUAUUUUACUUUAGUCAUAUGUCUAUCAAUAAUAUGCUAAUAUAUCAGUCAAUCAAACUAUACAGUCAACACACCCCUCAGUUCAUCAGCACACAGUCAUACUUUAACGUAACGUACACCCAAUCUAAACGAAAAUCACAAGUUCACAUCUGCAUCUCAUACAAACACAAUUUACAAUCUUCGUCCUGUCCACAUACACACACUUAUAUAUAUAUUCCAUGACAAUCACGAUAUACAUUCGACGUCAAGUCUACUUCAAUUCAUAUACAUUCAUAUAUAUUUUCAGUCAAUCCACAGUAUACAUUUAACACAUACAAUCCACAGUCAUAAGUGAGUCUAGUAGAAAAUCUCUUACCUUCAAGUUAGUUAAGCUCCUUAACCACGUUGAAGUCUAUGAAGAACGAACCUAAACAUUAAGACAAUUUCUCAAUAAUUCUCUUCAACGCAUCAAUCAUUUAAAUUCAACUCAAUGUGAAUCUUUUUACAACCUACCCAAAUCUUCGCGAAAGAAAUCGAGCAGUAGCUUUGCAAAGAGACACGUGCGACGAGAGACCGUAUACAGACGGCCGAAGGUUCGCGCGGCAGUGCAGACAACGGAGGAGAAGGGAUCGGCGGCGGCUGGCUUGGACGGCGGUUGUGAGCGGCGGACAUGGCGGCUACUGGUUCACACGGCGGCUCGGGCUUCGACGAAGACAGAACCGGUGAUGGAGACAGUAGAUCGGCGCGCGGGACGACUGCUGCUGUUGGAAUUUUUUGUCCUAAAACUCGUAGUUUGUAAAUCAUAUUCUAUUCAAUAAAGUUGUUAUUGAGAAAUUAAAUAUUAUAAUCUUAAAUCCAAUAAAUCAAGUUCCAAGGCUAUUUUUUGAAUAAACUUGAACUUUAUGUGUAAACAUAAACGUGGAUCAAGUUCGAGUAUAUAGCCUAAAUAGUCUAUUAGUAUAUGAAAUAAAGGUUGGGCGCCUUAUUUAGAGAAACUAUGGAUGCGGCCCACUUUGUAGUACAAACGAGGUGAUCCUAAUCGUUCAUGUAGAGACAUGAAAGUGGGGGCAUCCUAUGUAAAAUGUUUACAUAAGACUGAACCAUGAAUUAGUCAUUUUUACGUUAUAACACCGUUUACUGUUUAAAACUGACUAUCUCAAUUAUUGAUGACCUAGGUAACUUAGUCUUAAUCCUGAGUUAACUAUGAACUCCUGUUCACACGAGAUUAUCCUUAGAUCUGCAUAGGUGAGGGCAGCUCAUCAGCGUUGGCCCAAUAAGCCUCCCAUUUCAGGGGUAAGAUCGGGUGGAUAGCUGGGAACAUAGGGUACAAGAUGGAAUUCACUCCUACCCGCUUUAGGGUUAGUAGAUAGGUUGCUCUCUUAAGCACUGAAUCCAAGUCUUGAACAAGGGGCCCCACCCUCUCAUUGGCCCGAGAGGGAUUAAGUUUAUAGGUUGAAACUUAAACCAAUUGUUCAAUAGUGGAUUAGUGGGACUUAAGGAGCAAGAUGUAAUCUUGGGGGUAAAACGGUAUUUUGACCCAGCCAAGGUUACGAGCAACCUGUGAAGGAUUAAACUUACUGAUUAUGGUUUUAUCAAAUGGACACAAAUAUAUCUAUAGUGAGGGGAGUGCAACUACGGGACUUUAUUGGAAUGACCCGUUAGUUAACGAAUGUUGAUUAACUCGGUUUAAAAGAGUUUAGCUAGUUAAUCUUGAAUCGUUGGAGCCCAUGAUCUAUAGGUCCAUUAGGUUCCUCUGCUAGCUCAUAUGGAUUAAACUUAGAACAGUGUGAUGAAAUAAGUCGAAUUUUUCGAAUUGGGAGAAGAAAGGAAAACCGACAUAUACAGUGAUAUAAUCGUCGAUCUUCUAAUUAGAAAUAGAGCUUUAUGUUUUACAUACUAUAAGUGUGAAUGCGGAUUCAUACUAAGAAGCUCGGAAUUGGUCAAAAAUAGUAAAAAGUCAAAAUGUUGACUUUUGACUUUGAAAAGUGAAACUUUGACCGGCCUUAUAUUCAAAUGUGAUUUGAAUUUUGGAAAAAUGAAUGCGGAUUCAUGCUCGGGAGGUUGGAAUUAGUCAAGACAGACAAAAUGGUCAAAAGUCAAAAUAUUGACUUUUGACAAAGAAAAGUCAAAGUUUGACUUUUGACUAGAAAUAUCUAAUGACCAUUUUACCCUUAGACUAAGUUAGUGGGAAAAUCCAACAUUUUAUUGGAUAAUCCCACUAACUCUUAGUGGGAUAUGUGGCUAUAUGAGAUAUAGACACCUAGCCCACUAAGUUCCACUAAUUGUUAGUGGAACAUUAGGUGUUGAGAUUUGGCAAAUGAAUUGCAUGCAUUUUUGCAUGUAAUUAGGCUAUAAAUAGAGAUGUUUUCAAAUGUUGAAGGACUUUUGCCUCUUUUAUCAUUUUCAUCAUCUCAACAAAAGAAAAAAAAAAACUUCCAAUCUCAUUUUAUCUCCAUUAUUUUCUACACCAAAAUUGGGUCCCACAACCCGGUUCUUUGUCUAGAGGAUAGCAGUUGAGUACUAGUGGUGGUCUCGGGUAGAAUUGGUAAGAAGACAUCAAACCUUUUGAAAGCUUCAAAGGUAAUACUUCUUAAAACCCUAAUUUGAUUAGUUUAUGGUUACAUGUUAACUGUGGCAAUUAGGGUAGAAAUUCGAUUCUUUUUCCGCUGUGCAUGACUUAAUUCUAUCAGCUGCAAGGUUGCUUUGCGGACCGGAGAUGGAGACGGCAGAUCGACGGCUGGGCUGUGGUGGGAAGAAAACGGAAGAGAAAGGAUCGGCGGCUGGGCUACGGUGGGAGGAAAACGGAAGGGAAAGGAUCGGCGGCUGGCUGCGGCGGGAAGAAAACGGAAGUCGCGGCGCACGGCGAAAGAAGGAAAUAGGGGCGGCGGUUGCUGGGCUGCGACGCAGAUCUAGACUGGGCAGCGGUCACGUGGCGGCCGACGGCUUGUGCGAACGGAAGAAGAAGAGGAGAAGGUCGGCGGUUACUGGGCUGCGAACGGAGAGAAGGGGAAGGGCGCACGAGGAGGAAGGAGAAAAGAGAAAAGAAAAGAAAAAGGAAAAAGAAAAACAAAAUAUAUAUAUUUCUUUUUCUUUUCUUUUUAUUUAAAUUAAAUAUAAAUAAAUAUAUAUAUAUAUAAAAAUAAAAACAAAAAAAAAUAUAUAUAUAUAUAUACCUUUGGGGCAUUACAGUGACUCUGAGAAACAUCUAACGAAGUUAUUUCAAGUUGCAAAGGAAUGUCAACCUUCCAUCAUAUUCUUUGAUGAAAUGGAUGGUUUGGCACCUUGUAGAACAAGCCAACAAGAUCACACUCACAACUCGGUUGUUUCAACAUUACUUGCUUUAUUAGAUGGUUUGAAAUCUCGUAGUUCUGUUGCCGUUAUAGGUGCUACAAAUCGCCCGAAUGCGAUUGAUCCAGCUUUAAGAAGGCCAGGAAGAUUCGAUCGAGAAAUCUAUUUUCCUCUCCCAUCACUUGAGGAUAGGAUUUCCAUUCUCUCACUUUACACUCAAAAGUGGCCAAAAACACUUGACUCGUAUCAACAUUUGCUCCAUUGGAUAGCUAAAAAUACUUCAGGAUUUGCUGGUGCUGACCUUCAGCCUCUAUGUACUCAAACAGCCAUCAAUGCCUUGAAAAAAGCUACUUGUGAUCCUCAUCCAACUCAGCUUCCUGUUGUUGUAGUAGAGGACAAAGAUUGGUUGGAAGCUCUAUCAACUUGUCCACCUCUAUGCUCUCGUAGAGAAGCAUUGGCAGCAUCGAAUGAAACAGCAUCUUCACCUCUUCCUUUUCACCUUAUCCCGUGUCUCAUUCGACCACUAUCGAUCCUGCUUGUUUUACUUUAUAUGGAAGAAUCCAUAUACUUGCCGAAGACUCUUCUCAAAGCCGCAACCAUAGUUAAAAGGGUGAUAGAUUCUUCCUUGGAAAGAAAGAAAAUGGUUAGUACUAAGUGGUGGUUCCAUCUUGACGAUUUUAUUCAAGACAGUUAAAUUGCAAAUGAAAUUGAGAGAAAAUGGCAAGGUUCUAGAGUAAAUAUACUUGAACCUUCUUUCUCUGUUGAUUCAGGUUAAUUUAUCUCAGAAGAAGACACUACAGAUCAUGAAAACUCAAAGCAGAGACAUCAUUUGACUUGGGAAAUAGUUUCGGGUUUCGCAUUAUGAUUGCAGGGAAUCCAAGAUCUGGACAGAGACAUCUUGCUUCAUGCAUUCUUAACUGCUUUGUUGAUCAUGUUGUGAUAAGAAAAGUUGAUAUGGCUACAAUUUCACAAGGAUAUGCUACUUUGGGACAAGGAAUAGCAUACACAUUCGGUAACACCUUUCUGUAUUCAUAUAUUAUAUAUCAUUAUAUUAAAUUGAUUUGAUUUCUAAUGUUAAUUUGUUGUUCGUUUAAUAACUACUUAUAUGACAGCUAAUUGUUUAAGUAGAGAAUCGUGUUUAAUAUUCAUGCCAAGAGUGGAUCUAUGGGUAUUGAGUCAGUAAAUGAUGGUCAAAUAACUUUGGAGCAUGAUACACAUUAUUAUUCAUCAGAAGAACAAUGUAUUAGAAAUGCUAUAGUCCAAAGAGCAUCAUCUGCUUGGUCUGUAUUCGUUCACCAAGUCGAAUCUUUCUCAGAUUCUGCACCCUUCAUAUUCAUGUUAUUAAACUAGUCCCUUUCUUCAUUCUUUUUGCUAAUCAUACUAAAUAAAUAAGUUAAUACGCUAUUGUGUUUCUUUUUGUAGGCUACAUCUGAAAUUCCAUUCUUACAACUUCCUCGAGAAAUAAGACAUUUCUUUCAAAAUGAUGUAUCGAAUUGUAAAAUGUUGUGAGCUCGAGCACACAAAAUACCUCGAUUCUCCAUUCAGAUAUGAUGAUGGGACUUCCGACCACAAUCUCGUCAUCCAUCAAUCUGCAGCUAAACUAUCCAAUGACCUGCUGAAAUUACUUGUUCUAUUGAUUCACCAAAAUAAUCAUGUUAGGGAUACAAAUGUUUGCAACAGCAACAACCCACCCUCUGAUUUCAUUGAAGAUCAAGCUCUAAAACAUAAACAUACGAAUUUGAAUUCAGAAAUAACUAACGCUGGAUAUCAAAUUCUACAAAAUCCUCAAUAUUGUGACCUCUGUUGGGUGACAUCAAACUUGAAAGAAGGCCCUUCAGCUAACGUAAGUAAAUCUCAAUGGCAAGACUGGAAAUUCAACCCUUGUGUUCUCCAUCCAACUACCCCUUUGAAUGAUGAUAUUCAUAUUCAGACGGAAGAAAAAUUUGGGAUGGUAAGAGGCUUAGUUGCAAUUGGUUUGUCUGCAAUUAGAGAUGUUUAUACAUCAGUAGAACAAGUGUGCUUCGAUUUUGAAACUGUUCUCACUGCCUUAGUUGAAAAGGUCAAUGCAAAAGUAGCGAAAGGGCUAGACAGGCAAUACUCAGGACUUAUAUCGCAAGUUGCAUCGUUAGAAGAUCAUGUUUAUUGUUGGGCUUACGAACUACAAAGGUACCAUUCUCUCCACUUAGUAAAUUCAUUUACAUCAAAAACUUCAUACAUCUAAGAAUCCUUUCUUUUUUGUGCAGGAAGUUGGAGCAGGAUUCUCUUAAGAUGGGAAUGCCAAAACAUGGCACUUUUGCAAAAAUUGAUACCUCCAGUCUCCCUACCACUAGUACGUGCUCCAUCAAUUGUUGUCGGGAUUGUCUCAACAUUCUUCAUAUUGUGGCAAAGGAGAUUGUUAGGCAUGAAUUUGGAUCAAAGAGAUUUGAUUGGUCAAACAGAAAGUAUACAUGAGACUGUUAUGUCAAUGAUUAAUCUUUUAACAGCCGUGAGAAAAUUAUUUGUUGAUGAAAAAGGCUGUCAAUACAUGAUGAAAUAGGAAGACGAGAAAAAUACGACAAACUGCUCGAGUCCCACAACCUAGCAUCAUGUAGUUGCAACAACAUUUUUUGUUGCCAACGUUUGAAAUCAACACCACCAAAAUUUUCAAGUUUCUCCCCAUUGGCAACACCAGUUACAGGUGAAUUAAAGUUUGUUGAAGUCAUAUCUUCAAAACAAAUAAAUUUAAACAAAUAAUUAAAGAUGAAAUUCACAGUUAAUAUGCUUACCGUGAUAUUUGAAACAAAAAGAAAUAAUUAAAACACUCAAGUUAAUUUCCUUAUUGAGAUACUUGAAUAACAAAAAAUAUUUAACACAUUCAAGUUAAUAGGCUUAAUGUGAUAAAAAAAAAAUCUAAACAAUAUGUAUAUAUAAAACAAACUAAUUUGUAUAUGUGUGAAAUAAACUAAGGCAGUGAAGGAAAAAAAAAAAUCCAAACAAAGUAAUCUUUAUUUAUUUAUUUUUUUUUAAUUUCGUUUUAAACUUAUACAGAUAUGAUUUUAAAGGUGUGAUAAUCUUUAAAAAAAAUUAAUAAGACUUCAAAUGCAUAAAUUAAUCAUGUUAAUUGAAGAAAUAAAUAAGCAUGUAAAAGCAACCAUACAUAUAAAUUUGUCUUAAGAUUGUUAUACAGAUUAUCAAAUUGCUAUGUAUAUUAUUAUCACAGUGAACAGAAAAAUCAUACACAAAUAUAGAUCUGAGCUAAACGAAUUCAUGUUGUCUCUUUAUGACAAAUUUACUCACCCUAGUGCUUGAGAAUUUAGAGUAAUUGCCUCCCAGGAUAGAACAGAUCAACUUUCUUCUAAGUGUAGCACCUCGUAUAGAAGAUCUACGAACAAAACCUUGUGAAUCUACCGAACGUCAAGAUUCUGGAUAUGGAUAGAAAUUUGUUUAUAGAAGACGAAUGAUUUUUAUAUAUUCUUUUCUCUCAACCAAAAUGACUUAUUUAUAGACUUUUCGUGGUCAUUCGAAAAAUCAUGUCAUUUAGUUAAUAACACUUUUCAUGAAAUGAUGCAUCCAUUCAUGAAGAAUCAUAACUAUUUAUUCCAACAACUUAAAGUAAUGAGCAAAAUACAUUUUAGCUGAUGAUGAACGAACAUUCGUCUGCUUUUACUAUAAUUAAUGACAUUCUUUUGUCCAUUUAGAAAGGUAAUUUAUUGAACGUAUGCUCCAAUAAAUUUUAGUUUUCUCUUUCUUUUUAGCAUGAUGUAUAAGCUUCUUUUGAUAUGUUGAUCUAUAAUUUGGGAAUUUGGUGUGCUACUCAACAAUAACAUAUCCUCUUUAUCUGGAUAAUUUUGGACCAAGAAGUAAAAUUGUGCCAAGGAGCUUGGUUAACAUUAAAUCAGUUCAAGAAGGAUAGUUAAAGACUAAACAACACAUAAAGGUACAAGAGGAGGUACAAGGAAAGACGUGUUUGUUUUAAAACAAAGGAUCUGUAAAAAUCUCAUGCACUCUUCUUGAAGAAAACAAAUAAAAACAAAGAUAAAUACUUUGUAAGAUAUAUUGCCAAGAGGGAGAGAAAAUAAAUGGAACUUCUUGCUUUUAUUCAAUUUAAUGGACUAAUAUUUAUAGUCUAAAAAGGGAGUAAAACUUAGUAACCCACGAACUUAGUGCUUGCUAAAAUUUUGGAGAUAAUUAAAAAAAUAAAUAACCAAAACAAUAAAUAGAAAAAUAACGUGUGAACUAAUUGUUCCACCCAUUUAUGAAGAUCAUGGCAGAUUAAUAGCUCACACUACCCCCUUAAUUCUGACAUGAUUCUAAAUUACGAACACCAAGUAGCUGACGCAUAGCAGCUAACUUUACUCCCGUCAAUGCUUUAGUCAGAACAUCGGCUUGUUGUUCUCCAGUGUUGAUAAAUUCAACGAUAAUCUGUCAAUUCUCAACACACUCUCGAAUGAAAUGUAAACGUGUAUCUAUGUGCUUGUUGCGACCAUGAAAUACGAGAUUCUUCAUGAGAGUUAUCGCGGAUUUGUUGUCCACGAAUAAUGUUACCGGUUUGGCUCCAUUUCGACUAUCUCGCUAACAAUACAUGUUAAUCACAAUGCUUGGCAAGCUGCAAUGAACUCGGCUUCACAAGAUGAGAGUGCCAUCGUCUUUUGCAAAUUCAAUGAAACCAAGCUUUCUUUUAAGUAGAAUCUCAUUCCACUUGUGUUUUUCCUCCCGUCGAGAUCAUCGGCUAAAUCACUAUCAGAGUAACCGAAUAUAUCAAAUUCUUUGGGACCUUUCGUAUAAGUGAGCCCAAAGUGAAUUGUUCCUCUCAAAUACCUAAGUAUUUGCUUGACCACCUUGUAAUGCAUGGUUGUAGGCCUUUCCAUAUACCUACUCGCCAUUCCAACAGCAUAUAAAAGAUAUAGUCUUGUGUUCAGUAAGUAUCUAAGACAACCAACGAUGCUUCUAUACUCCGUAGCAUCAAUUGGUGCUCCUUCCAUGUCUUUGUGAAGUUGUGCCUUGGGUUCCAUCGAGUACUUUGUGGCAUUGCAAUCAGCCAUUCCAAACUGGGACAAAAUUCUUUUCGCAUAAGUUGGUUGUUUGAGCCGGAUUCGAUCCUUCUAUUGUUCAACUUCAAUUCCUAAGUAGUAAGAGUGAAGGCCUAAGUCGCUCAUUUCAAAUUCUGCCAUCAUUUGCUGCUUGAUCUUAUUGACCAUUUCAGUGCUACUUCCUGUUAUAAUGAGAUCGUCAACAUACACUCCAACAAGAAUACAUUCUUCUCCUUCUCUUCUUGUGUAGACUGCUUGCUCUUGAGUGCAUUUUCCAAAACCAAGCUCUUUGAGACUUCUAUCAAGUCGAACGUUCCAAGCUUGUGAAGCUUGCCUCAAUCCGUAGAGAGCCUUCGACAAUCUAUACACCUUGUGUUUUUUAUUUGGAACCUAAAACCCUUCGGUUGAGUAACAUAUACUUCCUCUUCCAAUUCUCCAUUUUGAAAUGCUGACUUCAUAUCUAGAUGAUGUACCUCCCAAAUUUGGUUUGCAGUGAGUGCAAGAAUGACUCGAACGGUGUCAAGUCUUGCAAUCGGUGCAAAAACUUCUUCAAAGCCAAUGUCUUGUCUUUGUACAUAGCCUUUAGCAACCAAUCUUGCUUUGCGCUUAACAACUUCUCCAUUAGGGUCUUUCUUCAAUUUGAACACCUAUUUUAGACCAAUGGGUUUGUGUCAUGGUGGAAGCUCAGUCAGACUCCAUGUGUGGUUUUUCUCAAUGGAUUUUAAUUCGUUCUCCAUUACUUCGUACCAGCAGGCCUCUGUAACAGCUUCUUGGUAACAAGUCGGUUCUUCAGACACUACCAUCAUCACCCUAUUUUCUUGUUCAUCAGCACCUACAACUUCCUCUGUGUUGGCGUAGAUGUCAGUGAGAGAUCUUAGACGGACCGGUGUGUUCAUCGAUGGAGGAGAUGGACUGGUCUUUCUAAUUGUGGGUAUCUCAGUUGCAUGUGGUACGACAUUUUCAACCUCAGUUUUUGCAUCUUCCAAAUUUUCAAACUCGUCAGAAUAAAAUUGGUCCAUCACCUAAAACUCCGUAAUCUUCUUACCGUCACUAACGACUUCAUUCCAAGCUCAUUCAAGAUUCUCUUGAAAAAUAACAUCGCUACUAAUUUGUGGUUUUCCACGGCCUGGGUCAUAUAAGCGAUGAGCUUUGCAUCCUUCUUCGACACCAAAAUACACCACCGGUGACCUUCAAUCGUCGAGUUUCUUGAGGUGAGAGGUUGUGUUCUUUACAUAUGUCACACAACCAAAGACUCUCAAGUGUGCUAGAUGUGGCUUUCUCCCCAUCCAAGCUUCAAAUUGUGUGCGUUCUCCAAGAGCCUUCAUUGGAAGAUGGUUUAACAAAUAAACCGCGUGUCUCACUGCCUCUCCCUAAAAUAUUACAGGCACGUGCAUGCUUUUGAGGAGUGAUCUCGUCAUCGCCAUUAUGGUGUGGUUACAACGCUCUACAAUGUCAUUUUGUUGUGGUGAAUAUGGAGCGAUGAGAUGUCGUUCGAUUCCUUCUUUUUUGUAAAAUUGGGUGAACUCUACAAAUAAGAACUCACCACCUUGAUCCAUCAGGAGCGUUCUGAUCUUGUACUCCAUCUUGUUCUCCAUUAAGAGUUUGAAUUUCUUCAAUGCUUCAAAUGCGUCACUUUUUGCCUCCAACAUAUACAACCACAUCCAUCUCGUGGAAUCAUCAACGAUCAACAAAAAAUACUUGUUUCCAGCAAGAGUACAUGGUGAAAUUGGUCCGCAUAUAUCAGCAUGGAGGAGUUCUAACGGCUUCUCUACUCUAUAUGUUGAUUGAUGGGGGAACGACAAUCUGGCUUGUUUGGUAAUCAUGCACGCUUCACAUAACUUGUUUGGUUGAGUCACUAGUGGUACUCCAACUACAAAUUUCUUCUCUCUUAUGAGCUUCAAGUCAUGAAAAUUUACAUGGCCAAGUCUCACGUGCCAUAACCAUGUUGGAUCUUCUAGGCUUGUCAGAAGGCAGACUUACUUGAGCGUCUUCAAAGUUAUCUUCUACAAGCAAUUUUGAGUUCGCUUCACCGACAUCAAAAGCGUGUCACUCCUGUCAUACACUUUCAUGACAUCUCCUAUCAUUUGCACCUUGUUUCCAUUUUCUGUCAUUUGCCCGAGGCUUAUGAUGUUACUACAUAACUUUGGAAUGUAAUACACCUCUUGGAGAGCCUUCUAAUCACCGUUCUUGCACUCGAACAUAACCGUUCCUUUUCCCAUGAUCUGAAUGGUUGAUCCAAUGCCAAAGUUCACCCUCCUAGUGAAGCUUUCAUCUAAUUCUUGGAACUUCUCACGAUGACCGGUCAUGUGGUUACUAGCACCGUUGUCAAGAUACCAAACAUCAUUAUUUUCUCCAUUCUUGUCAUUUCAGUACAUCUCUGGCAACAACCGCUCUUUGAUGAGUAGUAUGGCAUCCUCCUGAUCUCAUCUAGUGCGUGUCCCCUUCUGGGACACAACCAUUAUCAAAGUUAGUUCUUCUUCGAUGGCACAAGUUAGAUGAGUUUCGUCGUCAUGACCUUUUCUACGACAUUCCGAUGUGUAAUGUCCCAUCUUGUUCCAAGUGAAACACUUAAUGUGACUUUUAUCACGAUUUCCAUUUCCAGUGUUGCUAGUGCCUCCUGCACUAUUUUGACGCUCAGUGCCACAACCACGUCCUCGCCAUCUUCCUCGAUCGAUACUACCGAAUUUGCGCCCUUUGUUCAUCGAAGAGUUGUCAACACUAUGUCUUUUUUGUCUAGCUUUCCAUUCGACAUGGGUAAGUAGGAGUUGUCCAUUGGUGUUGUUAUUGUUUUCUCGGAGUCGUGUUGUUUGUUCCUCGUACACCUUCAUUCGUCCAAUUGCUUCUUCAAAUUGCAUGGUUUCGAGAUCUUGAAAUUGCUCGAUCCCGACAACAAUGGGAAGAUAUUUGUCGGAGACGGAAUCGAGGAACAUCUUGACCAAUGAUGAAUCCUCAAGUGCAACUUCGAGAGUGGUGAACUUGCUUACUAAUCUGCUGAUUUUUCCUGUGAACUCAUCAAUCGUCUCGGUUUUCUUCAUUCGAAGAACAUUAAACUCACUCUUCAAGGUUUGAACACUUGCCAUCUUCACCCGCUUACUACCCAAGUACCUUGUCUUGAGACUAUCCCAUAUUUCCUUGCGGGCUUCUUCUUUGCGAUUUGUAGAAGCACGUCUUCUGGGAUGCAUUAGAGAAUGCAUGCACGCACCUUCUUGUCCCUCUUCACAUCCACUUCGGCUCCUUCGCUGGCUCUAUUGCUUCCCAAACUCCUUGGGCGUCGAGGAUUGCUUCUGCCUUUAUCGCCCACACCGUGUAGUUGUGUGGAGUUAACAUCGGGUAGAGAAUCGACAUUCUGCCACUCUCCUUUGUUUGUUGCGAGACGCUUGCCAUUUUUGUUGGAAUCUAUGAUGAGAAGAAAAUAUGCUUUGAUACCAAAUGUUGGUUUUAAAACAAAUGAUCUGUAAAAAUCUCGCGCACUCUUUUUGAUGAAAACAAAUAAAAAUAAAGAUAAAUACUUUGUAAGAUAUAUUGUCAAGAUGGAGAGAAAAUAAAUGGAACUUCUUGCUUUUAUUCAAUUUAAUGGACUAAUAUUUAUAGUCUAAAAAGGGAGCAAAAAUUAGUAACUCACUAACUCAGUGCUUGCUAAAAUUUUGGAGAUAAUUAAAAAUAAUAAAUAACCAAAACAUUAAAUAGAAAAAUAACGUGUGAACUAAUUCUUCCAUUUAUUUAGGAAGAUCAUGGUAGAUUAAUAGCUCACAAGAGGAAGGAAUGGUUGAAGCUCAUUUCCAGCUUCUCGACCUUGGCUUAGCCCGAGGUCAAGCCAAGCGAAUCAGCCCAACACUAUGCUUUGUCUGAAACCCUAAAAAGUUGGUCCCAACACCCUUUAUUUUGUUUUAAUUAAUUUAAUUUGGUUGAGAUUUGGUUGUUGAGAUUGUUUAUUAUGAUCUCCCUCUAUAUUGGGGAGGUUUGAAUUAUUAUUUUAAGGUUCACUUUGUUUAGAUAUUAUAUAUGGUUGCAAUGUCAUUGAUAGAAAACAUGAGAGUUCUUGUGCGAUUCUACAUUGUUGAAAAAUAUAUUAUGAUGAUUGGUAAACAUUCAAGAUUCACUCUCAAGAACUAAUGUGUGAUGAUACAACAUUUUGAAAACAAGAGAUCGAUUAGCUAUUCAAGGAUGCUUGAAGCUAGGAUUGCAAGUGGUCAUUGAUUAAGGGGGAGUAAUCUUAUUAAUGUUAUGAUAAUUGUUAUUGUACAAUUUAGUUCUGAUUAUAUAGUCAGUUCAUGGUCAGUACGUUGGUUUUUGUUGUUAUACCCUCAAUCAUAACAUUGUAACGAUCAAUUACUACACGAGCAAUAUAAACUCUUAUCAUGGAUCUAAGACCUCCCAUAUGUAGAUGUUGUGUCAUUGAACUGGGUUAUCAAAGUUUGAUGUGUUUUCCGUACUUUUAUGUGCUUCCAUAGUUGUUCUUUCUGUUAUUAAUUCACGGUACAACAACAAUACUACAAUAACUAAGUGUGUGUUUUCUCAAUUGGUUUCAGAGCGGGUUGACGUUGGUUCAUUGACUUUUCAAUGGCGUUGAUCAGAGACGGUGGUUUAACAACUCGCAGCGUAAGGUGUCAUGAAUGUGAAGUAUUUUCUGGUAGUGAGUUCAAGGAAUUUCGGAGAGCCCUCAUUAGUAUUGUUACUAUAGAUGAAUCUAUUGAAGAUGGUUGUUCCAAUGGGCAAGCGAAAUCUAGUGCAUAUGCUAAGCAUCGAGGAUCAUCAUCUUGUGUUAUUCAUAUGGCGACGAUCUCUUCAGAAAAUGGGAGGAAGAUCAAAUUUUGUUGAAACAACAUCAAGAAAGAAGUCAAAUACUGGUAGAAGAAAAUUAUUGUUAUUUAUCAUCCAUUACAACGGUAAAGUUAGAAUUACACAAGGCUCGCCAUGAGUAUGAUUCCUUGUCCAAGAAUGUCAAGAUGCUCACAUCAAGUACUCAAAGUCUUCAAAAUAUGUCAGACGACGAAAAAUCGAGACCAAAUAAAAUGGGUCUGGGUUACUCUAUUAGUAGCUCCGUUGGUACUUCCACAACAGUAUUUAUAAAAGCAUCCAGUAAAAUUGAUCAAUGUACAAACCCAUUACCUGUUGAAAGAGAAAAUCAUAUUAUCAAGAAAAGAUGGGUCUGUCAUUUCUGGGGCAAGCAUGGUCACAUACUAUCAUUUUGUUACCGUCUACAUGGUUUUCCCUCAAAUAGAAAAGUUGUCCGCAAAAAUAAGUCUUGGAAAACUCCCAAGACUGUUUGGAGACCUAAAACAAGCAACGAUGCAAAUAGGUGCAAUGUUGCACUUACGUCUAUUCAAACCUCAAGAGUUACUGAUUGGUACUUCGACAGUGGCAGUUCCCGACACAUGACAGGUAAUGCUAACUUCUUCUUUGAAUUAAAGGAAUUUCGUUUUGGCUCGGUAAUGUUUGGUGAUGGUGUGAAGGACAAAGUUAUUGGAAAAGGAAACAUGAGUAAACCAGGAUUACAAAUUCUAAAAAAUGUUAGACAUGUAAAUGGAUUAUCAGCAAUGAUUAGCAUCAGUCAACUAUGUGAUGAAGGUUUCGAUGUUAAAUUCUUAAAAGGAAGAUGUCUUGUGACUGAUAGGGAUGAGACUCUCAUCAUGAUAGAUGCACGUUUUUAUGACAAUUGUUACUAGUGGACUUCUAAUGUCUUUAAAUUUGGAUGUAGCAUCCCUAAACACUAUAAGUGUGCUUUGAUAUUGUUUAUAGCAUAGUUUGGGUUAAUGACAAUCCAAAUUUUCAUGUUUCCAUGAUUGAAUAUUGGAAUUUUUGUUAGUUAAAAAGCCCUAUCAUCUGCAUUUGAACAUGUUUUUACUUCCAUUUUUAUUGAUGUAGCCAAAGUUCAUUUUGCAGGAGGCAUAUUGUAAAGCAUUGGAUAGGGGCUUCUCCACUACUCCAUUCAACACCAAUCUUUGUGGUAAUUAAGCUCUCUCUUUGUUUAAUCUAUGAAAUUUUCUUUUCUUCUUGUUAAAAUUGGUAUUUAAUUAUUUUGUUAUUGUGUAACUUGGAGCCAUCAUGUUUGUUUUUGUAUUUUUUGCACACUAUAUGAUGACUUGUAACUCUAGAGCUUGUUCCAAAGGGAUAUGAGAGUUUCAACACUGAGAUUGGUGCACAAAUAGGUUUGUCUUUAUAAGACGUUUGAGACAUGGCUAGUGUUCAGUUUUUACGGUUUUGAACAAUUUGGAUCCCGAGAACAUGUUGUGCAUCAACCAAAUCUUUCAUUUGAAAUUGCAUAGAUAGCCAUUUCUUGACGUCGUUGAGAUUAUUCACAUCAUUUCCAAUGAGUAGAAUAUCAUCGGCAUAUAGAACUAGGAAUGCUACAAUGGAGUUGAAAACCCUUUUGUAAACACAAGGUUCAUCAACAUUUUGUCCAAAGCCAUGAGAUUUAAUCGCGGUAUCAAAUCUUAUAUUCUUAGAUCUAGAUGUUUGCUUCAAACCAUAAAUGGAUUUUUUAAGCUUACAAAUUUUUUGUUCUUGACCUUGUUCCAUAAACCCCUCUGGUUGAGUCAUAUAGAUACUCUCCUCAAGAUUACCAUUCAGAAAUGUUGUCUUGGCAUCCAUCUGCCAAAUUUCAUAAUCAUAAAAGGUGGCGAUGGACAAGAGUAUUCUAAUCGACUUGAGCAUAGCAACUAGAGAGAAAGUUUCUUCAUAGUCUACUCCCUCUUUUUGGCUAUAACCUUUUGCCACAAGUCGAGCCUUAAAAUUUUGUACUUUACUGGCUUGAUCUUGUUUUCUCUUGUAGAUCCAUUUACAACCAAUAGGUUUUAUAUCAUUUGAUUGAUCUACUAGAGUCCAGACAGAAUUGAAAUACAUAGACUCCAUUUCGAGGUUUAUGGCUUUGAUCCAUUGGCCACUAUCUACAUCAUUCAUUGCCUAUUUAUAGGUUAAUGGAUCCUCUAUGCCGUCAUCAGGUAUGACGAGUUGAGUUUCUGUUAAACCCAAAUAGCGAUCAAGCUGAUGAACAACCCUCCCACUAUGUUGAGACUCUCUCAACUCUUGAAAAGGAUGUGAUUGAACAGAUUUCCAAGUUUUAUCAACUACUUUAGUUGAUGAACUAGGUAUAUUUGUAGCAUUUGUAGAAAUCUCACUUAAUACUAGUUUACUGCGCGGUUGAUAAUUCUUGAUGUGGCCUUCCUCCAAGAAUGUAGCAUUUGUCGAAACAAAUACUUUAUUAUCUUGAGGAUUGCAAAAGAGACCACCCCUUGAUUGGGUAACCAACGAAUAGGUAUAAUUUCGAAUGAUGUUCCAAUUUCUUAGGAUUUUGUACCAACACAUGUGUCGGGCAUCCCCAAAUUCUAAAGGGACGUAAACUUCCUUUACGCCCUUUCCAAAGCUCAUAAGGUGUUUCUGAAACACUUUUAGAGGGAACAUUAUUCAAAAUAUAGACAGAUGUCUCUAAAGCAUAUCCCCAAAAAGAAUCUGGCAAUUGAGCAAAGCUCAUCAUAGAGUGAACCAUGUCUAACAAGGUUCGGCUUCUUCUUUCUGAUACACCGUUCUGUUGAGGCGUACUAGGUGCAGAGAGUUGUAACUGAAUUCCAUUUUCUAUCAAAUAAUCUUGGAAUCUCAAGUCCACAUACUCUCCACCUCGAUCUGAUCGAAGUAUCUUUAUUGUUUUUCCUAAUUCAUUCUCAACUUUAGCCUUGUAUUCUUUGAACUUUUCAAGAGAAUCAGACUUAUGAUGCAUUAGGUAAACAUGACCAUACCUUGAAUAACAAUCAAUGAAACUGAUGAAAUAUUCGUACCCUACUCGAGCCUUGACAUUCAUUGGUCCACAAAGGUCCGAAUGCACAAGCUCUAAAGGUACUUUGGCUCUAAGACAUUUUUCAGUAAAAGAUUCACAUGGAGAUAGAGAGUUAUCUUCUAACUGAUUUAAAAGUUCGCUCUUAAUUAAUCUCCCAAUUCUAUUGAGAUUUAUGUGACCAAGUCUUAAGUGCACCAAAUAGGCGUUAAAAAGAAACCUUUUGUUUUUUAUUUUGAGUUUCGAAUGUCCUAAACAUUUCUGUAUUUCAGUCAAAAUUUGGUCUAUUUGGUCUGAACUUUUAUAAGUUGUUUUCAAGUAUAGUAGAGCAUAUUUGAAUACCUUUACUGAAAAUGAACGUUUCAUUAAUUUCAAAAGAUAUUUCAUACAUAUGUUCCAAAAUGCAAGGGAUAGAUGUCAAGUUCCUCUUUAUUUGAGGUACAUACAAAAUAUUUUUAAGUAGUAGAUAUCUAUCUUCUAAAAACAUCUUCAAGUCUCUCACUGGUUCAACUGAGACUACCUCUCUCAUUCCAACCUUGAGAGUAGUCUCAUGUUCUACAAGCUUCUUCCAAGAACAAGAUUCCUGAAAUGAGAAGCAAAUAUGAUUAGUGGCUCCUGAAUCUAGUAUCCAGGUUGAAGUAUCAUAUUCGACUAAGUAUGUUUCAACAACUAGUAAAUCGUAUUUACCUUGUGCUGCUUUUUCUGCUUUUUUCUCAGCAGGAUAUUUUGAACAGUUUCUCAACUAGUGCCCAUUCUGGCCACAAUGGUAACAUUUACCUUUUUCUGUGGCUCUCUUUCCCUUGUUCGUCUUGGGAGUCUUCCUCGUUCCCUUCAUCUUCAUUUGAGCUUUAGGCUUAUAAGGUCCACUUGUGCUUUUAGAGGACGAUCCUUUUGAAAAGCUUCUUUUUGUGGUAGCAACAUUUGCUUCCACUUGUUUUCGAGUUUGGAACUUUUGAAGCUCAUUCAGAAGGGUUGUCACGUUAAACUCUAUCUUGUUUAAAGACACAUUUGUCUGAAAUGGAAUGAAGCUCUUUAGAAGAGACUCUAAAAUAAAGCUAACUUGAUUAACCUCUUCGAUGGGACCACCAUUUACUUCGGCGAUCUUGAAGUGCAUCAUCAUGACCAGAACAUGUUUUCUAACAGAGGUCCCUUCCUUCAUACGCUUAGUGUAAAUGUAUUUGACUGCCUCGUGUCUUAAGGACCAUUUUGGUUGCCCAAACAUUUCCUUUAAUGAAUCCAUAAUCUCCUUAGCCUUAGCUAAGGAUUCAUGUUUCUUUGCCAAAACAUCAGACAUGCUGACAAGAAUAUAUACACGGCCUUUUUAUUUGCUUUUACCCAUCGAUCAUAUGCUUCCCGACUAGUUCAAUUAGCAUUAAAGGCAGGGUUUUGAGGACAUUCCUCAAUUAAGACAAACCUUAAAUCGUCAACCACUAAUAUUGUGUUAAGAUUUGAUUCCAUGACGCAUAAUUAUCGCCAUUCAGUUUUUCAGAAGCUAAAAGUUAAACUAUGGAGCUCUUCAUGCUAAAAAAUAAACAUAUUCAUUUUAGAAACCAUAAUCACUAAAGAAGCCAAUCAUUUAGCAAAUACUAAUAAUGUACCGAUCAUUAUAGUUUUACAACGAUAUUCCAAAGGUUUAGAAUAAUCCCCAACGUAGAGCAGUCGAUUAUUCUUCCUUUGAACCAAGACAAUCUUGAUCAGAUGCUAACUCCUGAAUAUCUUAUAUUGCUAUAGCAUUUAGUUAUCGCUAUUUCGGUCGAAAAUGUACUAACAACUUAAUAAUUUUGUAAGUGUAACCCUCCAUUUUCGAAUCUUAGAGACUAGAAUCAUUAUGCUGCCGAAUGGAAAAGUCAACAUGAAAACUAAUCAAGGAGACCCUAUCCACAUUUAGAGUUCACGGUGUUCCGAAUCCUAUAACACAACCCUCCGAAGGGAACAUCGCUCUAGGACAAACAAGCAAGCGCAUUUAGGAAUCUCACUGUGUGGCCUAAUGGAAGAGAUUGUGGGAUGUGUUGUCACAUAUCCCUCACCCACUUACUAUGAACUACUUCCCUUAUUCACCUUGAUAUUGAUCCAUGCAAACACUCUCCGAAGGGAGUCCGCUCCUAUGCACGACGCAAAGCCCUACAUAGACCUUAUUAUGUGAACUCUUAGGGACGCUAGAGGUUAAAAGUACACUACUUCUCUCUAGAUGUUCUAUAAUGGUUUUAAGGGUAUUUAACUACUUUAGGAUUUUAUUUAGGCUAACUUAAACAAAUCCUAAGUCUAGGUGAAACAUCCGAGCAUAACCAUUAUAUCUGAUUUUAACCUACGAUGUCUAGGUCAUAAACUAGUUUUACUACCUCACAUCUCUCACACAUGCUCAUAAAGCUAGGUUAAAUUAGGCUCAAUGAUUACGAUCUCCAGAUAGGAGGUGUUCCGUAAACUAUCAACUUAAGAACCUCCCAACCUUAGUCAUCUUAUAUGAUUUGUUGACAAGAUCUAAUCAGGUGAGCCUCUUAUAACCAGUUUUAUAAGAUAUCGACAUAACUCAACAAAGAAAAUAAUAUUUUCUAACCUAGGUGAGCAUGCAUGUUAUCUUUGUUAUAGAUUUUAAAUGUUUAAUUCAUUUAUAACUAUUAUAAAAGAACUAUAAAACUAUAACAAACAACCAACAAACAAAUAAUAUAUAACAAUUAUAGAAAGAAAUUAAUUAAUAUGAAUUUUAAUUUAUUUCUGAAACAAAUAAUAUCAUAGAAUUUCUUAUCCUCUGGGGUGAGAUUGGUUUGUGGGAACCAAUUAAGAUGGGAAAAAGUUUAGAGGGAAACAAUUUUUGGAGUGAGCAAAAACAUUGACUUAAUUGAUUUUGAUUAAAGAAAACUAUUUUUCUUCUACAUAUUUAUAACUUCAUUUCCUUAAUGGAGUAGGAGAGAAUCAUGAGAUUCUAUUAAUUUAAAAAAUAUUAAAUUAAUAGAAAUUUCAAAUCUACUAAUUAAUUAAUUAAUACUUAAUUAAAUCAUAUUUAAUUAAUAUUUCAUUUAAAUCAUAUUUAAUGAAUAUCUCUCCAAUAUCUUAUAGUUUAAAAUUAAAUUAAAGAAAUCAAAUUUAAUUAAAUAAAACUAAAAUAUUAAUUAAUUCUCCAAUUAACUAAUAGCUAAAUUAAAUAUCUUAUAUUUAACUUAAAUUAAAUUUGAAUCAUAUUCAAAUAUAAAUUUUUCUCGUAACCAAUAAUUUUCAUAUGAAUCCAAUUCACAUUAAAUUAAUAUUUUAACUCAUUGAAAUAUUUUUUCUCUCAUAAAGUAGUUUUGAAUCAUAUCCAAAACUAAAUUUAUAUAAUAAAGUUUGAUUAAACUUUAUAUUAUACUAUAUCCCAUACAUUAGACUAAUUCCCAAACUAAAUGUGAACAUUUAGAAUUACAACCAAUAUAAAUAAAUCUCAUUACCCUUUACAAGCUAGGAACGGGACCUAAUGAACCUACAGAUCAGAAGCUACAAUGAUAUGAGAUUAAUUGGCUAAACUCAUUAACCACAUUAAUCAAUAUUCGUUAGCUGUGUGUGCACUCCAGUAAAAAAUCAUAGUUGAACUCUUUUAAUUAUUGAUAUAUUUGUGUAUCCAUGGAUAUAGACCAAUAACAGUAAGUUAGCCCUUCACGAGUGUUCGUAACACCAGCUAGGUCAAAUUACCAUUUUACUCUUAGGUUAUCUCUAGUUCUUAAAUACAUGUGCUCCUCUAAUGAACAACUUGUUUAUGGUCCAACCAAUAAUCAGAAACCUCUCUCGUGCUUAGAGAGGAUAGGGCCCUUUGUUCAAGUCCCAAAGACACCAUUUAAGGGAACACUCAUCUACUUACCCUAAAGUAGGGAAUGAGUGAAUUCCAUCUUGUGCAAUUAUGUUCUCAUCUCUUCACUCGGUCUUAUCCUCAAAAUAAUAAGCAUAUUGAAUUGGUAUGUCAGGCACUCUCACCCAUACAAAUUAAAGGACAAUCCCUCGCGAACAAGACUUCAUAAUACACUCAGGAUUAAGACUAAGUUACCUAGGUCAUCCUAAUGAAAUAGAAACCUAACUAGUUAAUGAAGCUACACCUAGUGGUUACUAUUUCACAGUCAGGUCUUAUGACUCGUUGCAUAGGAUACCCUCACUCGCAUGUCACCUACACGAAUGUGUUAGAUCAUUGUGUUUGUACCAAAUACAAAGUGAGCCAUAUCCAUAUUGUUACCAAGAUAAGGUACCUAACUUUAUCCCUAUACUAUAAACCGUUUAAGCUGAUCUUGAGCAUUGAUUCUUGUAUGUCUCUACAUGAUGUUCAAGACUCAUCAAACAACUUAGGAUGUUAGUUUAUUAUAUUUGCGUUAAUAUGACAAACUAAUAAUAUAAUCAAUAAUAUUUAUUGAAAUUAUAAUAAUAACAGUUUAUUAAUAACGGUCAAUGGAUUAUAUUUACAACCUAUGAGUUUUAGGACAUAAAUCUCAACAAACUCCCACAUUGACUAAAACUCUAGUCUCUAUGGGAUUUACGUAAUAAAGUAAUAUUUUAACAUUCAAAACGGUAAAAUGUACAAGUAUAUUACAUAAACGUAUAUUAUACAAAAACAGUAAACUAGGGUAUCUCCAUACCCAUUGCACAUUUCCCACUUGCCUUAGAUUACCUAAUGUACACUAACUCGCAAACCUAGACUUUCUAGAUGACCCUCAAACACUUUAGCUGUGAGAGUCUUCGUAAAUGGAUAAGCAAUAUGUCCUACUGUUAUCAAAAUAUAAAGUGAUGGACAUGUUCAUGUUUAGAACAAUAUCCAAAUCAUGCAGAAACCUCCUGUGCCAAACUGCUUCUUUUGUUACUUCGCAAGCAGCGACAAAUUUAGCCUCCAUAGUAGAGUCUACAAUGCAUCCUUGCUUGAUGCUAUGCCAUACCACAACUCCCCUGUCUAGGGUGAACACUAAUCCCUACAUGAAUUUUCUAGAAUCCUUAUCGAUUUGGAAAUAAAAGUUAAUGUAUGCUAUAAGAAUCAAAUCCUUCGCUCUAUACACAAGCAUGUAGUCUGUUGUUUUCCUAAGAUACUUAACAAUAAUUUUAAUCGUCAUUUAGUUUUCUAACUCUAGGUUGAAUUGAUAUCUACUGACUAUGCCCAAUGUGAAGGAUAUCGUCCACAUAAAGUACUGAGAAAGCUAGUUUACCUUUGUUGAUUUUCUUGUAUACAAGGUUCAUCAACAUUUUGGUCAAAACAGUAAGAUUUAAUCAGAGUAUCAAAUCUAAUGUUUCAUGAUCUAGAUACUUGUUUCAACCCAUAAAUGGAUCAAUUUAGCUUGCAAACUUUUUGCUCUUGACCUUGGGUUAUGAAUCACUCGAACUGAGACAUAAAGAUACUCUUUUCAAGAUUGUCAUUCAUAAAAGUAAUCUUGAUAUCCAUUAACCAUAUUUCAUAAUCAUAAAAAGUGGCUAUAGACAAGAAAAUCUUUAUAAACUUUAACACAGUAACAUGGGAAAAGGUUUUCUCAUAGUCAACCCCUUCCCUUAUCUAUACCCUUUUGCUACAAGUCUAGUUCUAAAGGUUUGUACCUUUCCAGCUGAAUCUCUCUUUCUCUUAUAGAUCCAUUUGCACUCUAUAAGUUUCAUCCAUUUAGGAGAUUUACAAGCUCCCACACUAAAUUGAAGUACAUAGACUCCAUUUCAAGGUCCAUGGCUCCCAUUGGUCCAUCUCUGCAUCAUUCAUUGCUCAUUGAUAGAACAAUGGAUCCUCAAUGCCAUGAUCUGGUAUAACAACCUGAGUUUUAGUUAACCCCAAGUAACGAUUAGGUUAUGAUAUAAUCCUCCCACUACUUCGAGGCCUUCUCAAUGAUUGAGAAUGAUGAAAUUGACCUAAUGUGUUGGUUUCAUCAACUCUUAAUGAGGGACCAACUUCAUCAACCCUUGGUGAUUCAUUAGUAGCUUCACUUAAUACUAAUUUGCUUCGUAGUUUAUGAUUUCUCAUGUGGUACUCUUCAAAGAAGGUAACAUUUGUCGAUACGAAAUAUCCUGUUUUCUUGUGGAUUAAAGAAUAGACCGCCUUUCAUUUUGUUAGGGAAACCAACAAAUCGAAUAUGAAUUGCAGUCUCUACUGCAUACCCCUAAAACGAGCUAGGAAAUUGAGCAUAUCUCAUCAUUGAACGAACCCUGUCUAACAAGGUUCUAUUUCUCCUUUCUAACAUACCAUUUUGUUGAGGUGUACUUGUUGUUGAGAGUUGGGAUUGGAUUUCAUGUUCUAUUAUAUAGUCCUGGAACCUCAAAUCCAUGUACUCUCUACCUCAAUUAGAUUGAAGUAUUUUAAUCUUUUUACUUAAUAGAUUUUUAACUUCAACCUUAUAUUCCUUGAACUUUUCAAGAGCUUAAGACUUAUGCCCCAUUAAGUAUAAAUAACUAUACCUUGAAUAAUCAUCUACAAAGGAGAUGAAGUAUUCAAAACCUCCUCUAGCUUUUACAUUGAUCGGAACACAGAGGUCUGAAUGUAUAAGUUCUAAGGGCUCUUUGGCUCUAUAACUUUUUCCAGUAAAAGAUCUUUUAGUCAUUUUUCCUUCAAGACGAGAUUCACAGGAGGUAAUGAUCCAUCUUCUAACUCAUUUUAGAAGUUCAUUCUUUACGAAUUUCUCGAUCCUAUCGAGAUUAAUGUGACAUAAUCUUAAAUACCAAAGAUCGUAUUGGUAUUAGGAGAACUUCUUUGCCUUUUAUUUUGAGUAUUAGCAGUUUUAAACAUCUCAUGGUUUAAAAACGUUUUUGCUUCAUUAGGUCUUAAUACAUACAAGUAUUUUUUCAAGCUUAGCCGAACAAAUAUGUACACUAUUCUUAGAAAUGAAUGAUUCAUUUGAAGAAAAAAAAUAACUGAGUACAAUUUUUCAAUAAGCAAAGAAAUAGAAAUUAAGUUCCUCUUAAUCUUAGGAACUAUGUUCAAGUUUUCUAAACACAAAUUUAUUUCCAAAAGAUAAAUGACAUCUUCCAUUCCAAUCUUGAGUGUCAUCUUACCCCCCUCGAGCUACUCAAAGGAACUAGUUUUCUACAAAGAAGAGCAAACAUGACUAGUGGCUCCUAAAUCAAGUGUCCAUGCAUUUUGGUCAUUUUCCGCUAACCAUGUUUCUAAGCAAGUAAAUCAUAUUUACUUUCUUUUUCAUUCUUCUUCUCCCCAAGGUAUUUGGGAUAAUUUCUCUUACAAUGUCUAUUCAAAUUGUAGAGGAAAGAUUUCCCCUUACCGACUACCUUAGCCUUCCUUUAGCCCUUAGUAACAGUAGCAGGACGCUUCCCCUUCCCUCCUUUUUGAAUUUUUUAGAUUUUCUUAAACCAAGAGGAUAAAGGUGCAAAUUUGGAUUGUAAUGAUGAACCCAUCUGAAACUUGUUGGAACGGGCAACGUUUGCCUCUCCUUCAUUAUGUUCCUUAAACAUCUCUUGGAGGGAGUCCAUGAUUUGAUGUGCAAUGACCAUGGUCUCAUGUUUCUUGCUUAGUAUAUCAGACAUAUUGCACAAGAAGGACAUUACUGACAUUCUGAGAUUCAUCUCGAGUAGGGAAAGAAGGACAUUCCUCUAUUAAGACGAAGCGUAGAUCAUCAAUAAUGAGAAUCAUAUUCAGGUUUGACUUCCACGUCGAAUAAUUUUCACCGGUUAAUUUUUCGUUUUAAAACAAUUGAACAAUUGAAGAAGACAUGUUGAAAUAACAAAUAAUCGACCAUAUUAGUUAUCUUUGUCUUAACCAAUUACACAAAAUAAUCCAAUCAAUUCAACAGAAAAAAGAAAUCAAAGAGCCAUAAUCAAACAAAUGAUUUAGUUUUUGCUACGAUACUUCAGAAGUUUAGAGCAACAGUUAUCGAAGGGUGAUCAACUACUCCUUUCCUGAAUUGAGACAAUCUCAUAUAAUAACUAAUACUAGAAUAACUCAUAUUCCUAUAGUUCUUAGCUACCCUUGUUCGAUCAAGGAUUCAUUAACUAACUUAAUUCAUCUCGUAAGUGUGACCGUGCCAUUUUCAGAUCCCAGAGGUACACUUCAAUAAGCUAUCGAAAGGAUAGACAAUUAUUGAAGAUUAACCUAAGAAACCUUAUCCAUUUAUGGAGUUUGUGUUGUUCCGACUUCUAUAAUCAAGCCCUCCAAAGGGAUGGUCGCUCUAAGAUGACACGCGAGCGGAUCAUAGAAAUCUCAUGGGGCAACCUAAUAAAAGAGACUAUAGGAUACGUUGACACGCGUCCUUCUCCCACUUAGUAUGAACAAUUCCCCUAUUCACUUUGUUAUUGACCCAAACACUUUUCGAAGGGAGGUCACGUCCAGAACUAUACGAAGUCGAGUAUGAAUCUCACGUGUGAACUCUUAGGGACAUGAGAGCUAAAAAUUAUAUAACAUUUUUCUCCCUCUAAAAUGUUUUAUUAAUUUAGGGUUUGUUGUACUUAGCUAAAUUCCAGCUAAAUGAAUCUACCUAAGUCUAUCCUUAUUAUAACUCUUAUAAUAAAACUUCACUCUAAAGUUUCUAGGUGUAUUAAACUAUUUAAUUUACCUAGUGACAUCUCAUGCUAAUAGGAAUAAGGUUAAUCCAAUGUCGGUUCUGGGUCAGUUUCCAAGUAGGAUGUGUUCCGUAAAGUGUUAACUUAAGUACCCCCAGCCUUAGAUAGAACUUUACCGAUAGAGUUCCCUUAUAAUCUUAAAUCAUAUGUACUCUAAAGUUUCUAGGUAUUAAACCAUUUAAUUUACCUAGUGACAUCUUAUGAUAAUAGGAAUAAGGUUAAUUCAAUGUCGGUUUCGGGUCAGUUCCCAGGUAUUAGGUAUUCUGUAAACCGUCAACUUAAGUACCCUCAGCCUUAGACAUAACUUUACGGGUGGAGUGACCUUAUAACCUUAAAUCCUAUUUGUCCUACUUAAUUUCAUUAAACUAAAAUAAGACAAUUUUAAUCCUAUAAGAAUUAAUGUGAUCUUAAGUCAAUUUAAUUUAAAACAAUUUAAAAUUAAGACAAAUUAAUCCUAAGAUCCUAGGUUUGCAUGCAACUUUUUAUUAUAGGUUGGCGGUUUCUAAUUAUCAAAUUUUAUAACAACUAUAAAAUUAAUUUAUUAGUCAUAUAAUAUGCAUAUUGUAGUUUGAUUAAUAAAAAAAAAUUAAAUAAUAAACUAUGCAACAUACAAAACAUUACAUUAAUAUAACAAUUAUAUUAAACUACGGAUGUAUUAUGCUCGAUGCAAUUUGAUUUUCAUCUUAAUUAAUAUAACACUUAUAUUAAGAAAAAUACAUGAAAAUCAAUGAAACAUACACAAUACAUUAAUUUAAAUAUAAAAAACUAUAUUUAACUAAGUAAUGUCAUGCAUCAUGCUUGUCCAAUUUCAUAUAUUUAUCAACAUACUUUAAAUAACUAAUGAAAUUCAAAAUCAUGCACUAAUACCAUAUAUUAUAACAUUUAUAAUAUAUAAAAUAAAUGCAUGAACAUGCUUAGAAAAUCAUGCAACUAAAAUAUAACACUUAGAUUUAAGAAUGAUGCAUGAUAAUUAUAAUCCUAAGGUGGUAUUUUAAACUAUAUGACAUACAUUAUGCAUAUAAUUAAUUUAAUCAAACAUCACAUGUAAUAAUAGAUUAAAUAAGACAAAACAAGAGAAAAAAUGGAACAAAAUGCAAACGACACGAUCCGGUUAAACCACCAUCAUCGACAUGGGAGCAUUUAUAAAAGUAGAAGGAUGUGAUCCCAAAUAUCCUAGGGUUGCUUGGAAACAUUAUAGAAUUUCAUAUGCUUGUGCUUACAAAAGAAUUGGUACAACUAAUUUAAAAAGACAUUUAGAGAAAUGUAAGAAAUAUGUAGAUCCAUUGGAAGAUAAUGUUGAAGGAGAGAAAUUCUUAAAGUAGUUUAAUGGCUACAUCCUUCAUUCAAGAAAUUUAUAGAACAAUGCUUGCUAGUACGAUUAUCUUGGAUGAAUUGCCAUUUAAGUUUAUAAAUUUUGUCGCGCAUUAAAUCCAAAGUUUGUGAUUCCAUCAUGAGUAACUGUUGCAAAUGAUUGUUUUCAGAUGUAUAUGAAGGAGAAAAAAAAAUUAAAAAGUGUAUUAACUCAAUGUAGCCAAAGAGUUUGUUUAACAACGGAUACACGGACUUCUGUGCAAAAUAUUAAUUAUAUGGUUAUAACGACUCAUUUCAUUGAUGAUGAUUGGAACCUUCACAAAGUAAUUUUGAACUUUUGUCAAAUAGCUAAUCAUAAAGGAGAUACAAUAGAUAGAGCCAUUGAAAAGUGCUUAGAAGAUUGGGGUAUUGAUAGACUCUUUACUAUAACAGUUGAUAAUGCGAGUUCAAAUGAUGUAGUUAUUGCAUACUUUGUUAAAAAGUUUAGAGGCAGAAACAAGUUGGUGUUGGAUGGUGAAUUUAUUCACGUUAGAUGUUGUGCUCGUAUUCUUAAUUUGAUUGUUGGUGAUAUCUUAAAAGAUUUGCAUGUAUCUAUCAUUCGAAUUAGAAAUGUUGUGAAGUAUGUUAGGUCAUGUCCUGCUAAACUGCAAAUAUUUAAAGGUUUUGCUAAAGAAGAUAAAAUGUCAACAAAAAAUUGUCUUACGAUGGAUGUUCCAACACAAUAGAAUUCUACUUUUACUAUGUUGGAUGGAGCAAUUAAGUGUGAAAAGACGUUUGAAAGAUUAAAGGAGCAUGACCUUAGUUAUUUUCCAAAUGAUGAUAGUUCUACUGUUGAAGAUUGAGAUAAUGCAAAAGUGUUUGUAAAGUUCCUAAAAACUUUUUCAGAGGUAACAAUAUGAAGUUUUCUGCAUCUAUGUUUGUGACUUCAAAUAUAUUUUUUCACGAACUUUGUUUAAUCCAAAAAAUAAUUCAUGAAUACUCAUUGUAUGAGAUUAAGCAUGCAAACAAAAUUCAACAAGUACUGAGGUAUAGCUACAAGUGAGAAGACCAAUUUAUUAUUAUAUGUUUCUGUAAUUCUUGACCCUAGGUACAAGCUGGCUUAUGUGAAUUGUUGUUUUAAUGAAUUUUUGGAGGAAGAUAGUGCAAACAAAUGGACUAAUAAGGUUGAAGGAGCAUUUCAUUGAUUGUGUGAUUAUUAUUUGAUAAUGUCAAUGUCAAAAGAAAAACAUUCACAAACACAAUCGUGUACUCCUAUCGAAGGAUUUAGCUUUCAAAGUCAAAGUGAAAUGCCUUCUAUCUCAUCUAAUGCAUCUUAUAAGACACAUGUUGCUGUUCUUGAUAGAUUUAAACAAAACAACAAAACAUGUCUUGAUGAUGCUAAAACAGAGGUGGCUCGUUAUCAAGAUGAGGCUCAUAUAGAAGAUGAAUAUUUAGACUUGAUAAAUUGGUCGAAGGUGAAUUUCUCUUGAUUUAAGAUCAUUAGCCAAGUAGCCAAGGACAUCUACAAUAUUCGUAUAUCAAUUGUGCCUUCUGAGUCAGCCUUUAGCACUGGAGGAUGGGUGUUAGAUUCUUUUUUAAGUUCAUUAACUCCUCAAACUGCAAAGGCACUCAUUUGUGCUUAAAAUUGGAUUCAAUCUAAACAUUGGAUGACAUGACUAAAUAAAUCGAUGGGGUUGAAGAAAUUGACGAAGGUAAUAUUCUUUUCGAAGUAAGCAUUUAAAAUUUAAAAGGAUCUCAUUAAGAGCUACAGUUUGCCAUUUUGAUCUAUAAUUCAUAAACAUAGAAAAGGAGAUAGAAGCUGCAUUUGAGAAUCUAAAUCAUGACUCAAUGGUCUAAAUCCCUACUCUCAAAUCUUUGUUUAUAUUUUUUUUGUGUUAAAUUGAUAACUUGUUAAAUAUUGAAUCUUUUUUUUUUAGAAUCUUGAAGCACAAUGAUGUAUAAACUUUAUACUCCUGUAGUCCCAUCACACCAAGUUCUUUGCUUCCCUUCAUUUUCACAUUUGUAUUAGAUCCAUUUUCACUAUAUUUAUCUAGAGUGUUCAUGAAUAACUUAGUUAAUUUAUAAUUAAAAAAAUUAUAACUUGAAGCACUAUAGGCUUAUUUGAGUACUUGGAGUUUUGGAUAAAAUAGAAUCUGAAAGCACACGUUGUUUCAAAUUAUUGUUGGCUAUAACUUGAAUCUUCAAAGCAUCUCCGUCAAUGGUCAAGUGUUGCCUAUCAGUUUGGUUAUCUUUGCGAUAUCAAGUAGCCAAGGAACCAUAAUUGACUAUGACACUACUUUGGCAUACCUUGCUAAGGAAGCUUAUAUCGCGCUUUUGUUGUUGUGACUGUGAGUCUCACAUUCAAAUGUUUCUUAUUGUUCAAGUGACCAAAUCCCAUUAUGAUGUUUCAUUAUUUAUCAGCAUAGUUCAUUGUUACACAUCUUAUCUUUCAUUAUAAGAUGGUUGAAUGUCACGUGGUUAUUUUGAUCACUAAACCAACGUGCGGCACAAAGGUGUUGGGGUUGCACCAAUGUAAGCCUAAGAGCGAUUAGACUUCUUCGAACAAUCUAAAGAAGAAGGAAGUUCGUAGGCAAGGAGUAGGCAAAGAGUUGUAGACAAGGUGUUUGAUGAAAUGCUUAAGAGAGCUUUGUUGAUGAAUUCCCAAGGAUUCUAUGUUGUCUGUACAAAUGGACCCCUUUGGGGUAUUUAUAGAGGUAUACAACCGACUUACAAGCCCUAAACCACCUUACAAGGUCGGCAAAAACAAUCUGGAAAAUUCUCGAGCGCUCAUGACACUGUCCGGAAGCUUCUGGAGGCGUCUGGGGUCGUCUGGCACGCACGCAUCUGCAUGCGUCUGGCGCCGCGCGCCUUCGUGCGUGCUUGCGAGUCUACUCGGCCGCUCGCGAUUCUUCUGGAAACUUCGAGAGGUUCCCGGAUGCUUCUCCAUGCGCUCCGUGUUCGCUUCCCGCAUGCGCGCUAGUGCCGCGCGCGCGUUCGACUGACCUUACACGCGCGUCCGUGCCGCGCGCGCCCAUCUGCCGUGCGCGCCUGCCUGCCUGUCUGCCGCCCUUGCGCGCGCGCCUGUCUGCUGCACAUUGGCGUGUCAUAGGCUUGGCGUGAACUUGUUCCUCGUCCUUGGGUCUUUGGACUGCUUGGGACUUGUUUGGCUCCCCUUGGGCAAUGCUAAGGAGCGUUAAUUUGCGAAAAAAUUAUUGGGUUAUUUUUGGGGCGUGACACCCUCCCCUACUCGAUUUCGCAACGUCCUCGUUGCGCUUUCUUUAAAUCUUUUGAUUUCAUCUUGGAAUUGCCAUAGGGUGUUCUCCUUUUCCCAACUUGCUUCGCUUUCGGGUAGUCCUUCCCAAGCAAUCAAAUAUUCAUUAUAACUGGGAACUCCUCUCCUUCGUAUCUUCCUCUCUGCUAAGAUCUCCUUGAUCUUUCUGUUGAAGUCUGAGAUCAUGCCGGUAGGUGCACGAGAGGACUCACCUCUGCUUGGAUCCUCCUUGUCUUCAUAGAAGGGCUUUAACAUGCUCAUGUGGAAGACAUUAUGGAUCUUCAGUCCGGGAGGAAGUUCCAAUCGGUAAGCUGCUUUACCCACUCUCUCGAUGGUAGAGAAGGGCCCUUCAUAUCUUCGGAUUAGGCCUUUGUGUACCUUGCGUAGGGAUUUAAACUAGUUAGGUAGCAGCUUUACCAUUACUUCUUCCCCUACUUGGUACUCUCUGGGUCUCCUUUUCCUGUCCGUCCACUUUUUCAUUUUAGUGGCGGCCUUUGCCCAACAUGCCCUCGAUAUGUCGCAUUUUUCAUGCCAUUCCUUGAUUUUGUUAAGGAAGUCACUUAUGGGCAUGUUGGUUGCUAUAGCGGCCAGUUAUGUCUUCUGGCUCAUGACGUUAUUGACUGAAUCGAUGUUUUCUGAUUUUGCCUCGAUCAUAACGUCCUUGUGUUCUGCUGGGACUGUUAGUUUAAAACUUGUCUCCCUCGAUGGUAUUGCUUGAUAUUAGGUUUCAGCGACUCCUUCCUUGUUCAGCAUGGCUGACAGUCUGAUCGCUGGUUUUCUCUUCUUUAGUGGGAUGGUCGUUAUUUGAUCAUCCACUAUCGUCAGGGUACAUCCGGAGGAGUCAACGAUUGCAAUUACUCUAUCAAAGAACCCUAGGCCAAGCACAAUGUCAAAGUCAUCCAUAGGUAGCACGGUGAAAUCGAGCUUACCUUGCCAAUCGCCGAUCUUGACUGUUACAGCUCUUGCUACACCUUUGAUGGCUUGUGCUUCUGAGUUUACCACCUUGACAGUCCCUUUUUCGUUUGUGAACUUGAGGCCUAGUCUCUUAGCCUCACUCACGUUCAUGAAGUUAUGACUCGCACCGGUGUCAAACAUGGCAAUAGCCUCUCUCCCGUUUAUCUUUACAUUUCCAUGGAGUAGGCCUCCUUUAGUUGUUUGAUUGGCCUGUUUCAGAGCUCCAAUGUGUUGCAAGGAACCAAUCUGUGGUGUAUCAUCUCCUUGCUUGGACUCGAGCAAUUUAGCAACGAGUGCGUUCAUUGCUUUUCUAUUCGGACAGUCUCUUGUCCGAUGGGGGCCAUUACAAACAAAACAGGGAGAAGGUUUGGACGACUCACCUUGUUGAGUUUUGUGAUACUUGUCAUGUCUUUGGAAUGCCUUCUUUCCCUUUUCCUUUUGCUCGGAGUCUCUAUGCUUGUAGUGAUUGCCUUCACGUUUACUUGGACUAGGUUUUCUCUCCUUUGAUUGGGUUGUAUAAUCGACAAGCAUCUCAACUGCAGCUAUAGCGUCAUCCAAUGUUUGGACAUUGCGACGGUUUAGCUCAACCUUGGCCCAAUCUUUCAGUCCAUCUCUGAAUUGGAAUAGGGCUUCCUUCUCGGGCAAAUCACUAAUUUUAAGCAUAAUAGUGGUAAAUUCUUUCACAUAGUCGAGAAUGUUACCUGUGUGUCGUAGCCUUCGAAGUUUGGCUCUUGACUCCAUUUCAGCAUUGUGGGGAACGAAGUGCUUUCUUAGUUCGGCUUUGAAUUGUUCCCACGUCUGGAUGGCAUUCCCAUUUUGGUCAGCGUAUCUUCGACGCCACCAAAGUUGUGCGGCAUCCCUUAGGAAUGUCGGAGCAUUGUUUAUCUUGGCCUCAUCAUCUCGAACACCGACAGCUACAUAGUAUCGGUCAAGGCCAAAGAGGAAGUUUUCCACAACCGUGGCAUUCCUCACCCCAUUGUAUGUGUCAGGUUUCGGCACUUUAAUGUGAGUAGUGCCUUGCACAGCAGUGUGUGUACUGGUGGAUGCACCGUCUCCACCAAAGUGCUUGGAACGACAUUCCAUGCAAAGAGUCUCUACCUUUGCAUCAAGGGAAAUAUACUUAGAAUAGAGUUCGUGUAACUCACCUUCAACAAAUGUCUUCAAAGUGGUUACGGUUGAUGACAACUCCUUCAAAUCCUCUUAGACUGUCUUUCCAAGAUCGGCCACGAGCUCCUUGGUUGCGACAGAGAUUUCCGUGUUCUCCUGGAUAAGCUCUUCGUAAUCACCCAACUCUUCUACCGUGUGUUGGACAUCCUCGAGACUUUGUUCAAGGUUGGCAAGGCGAGUAUCGAUAUGCUCCCUUCCAUCCGGACCCUUAGAUUUCGAUCGUCGGGUCGGGAUCGUCGGUCCUUCCUACCUCGUGUGACAGGUCCUUCCGGAACCUGCUCAGUUGGGGCUGAAACGUGGCCUUCUUCGCUAGACAUGAUGUUCACAAGUCAAUUGGAAGUAAGUGGGUAUAGAAACCGUGUUCUGUUACCACUUCGACAACGUUUCAAGAACUAGAGUCUUGAAUCUUGGUCUCUCAGUAUCGUGCACUUGAUAGCAACGAUCAAGAGUAUGUCCCUUUGAACGAACACGCUCUGAUACCACCUGUCACGUGGUUAUUUUAAUCACUAAACCAACGUGCGGCACAAAGGUGUUGGGGUUGCACCAAUGUAAGCCUAAGAGCGAUUAGACUUGUUGGAACAAUCUAAAGAAGAAGGAAGUUUGUAGGCAAGGAGUAGGCAAAGAGUUGUAGACAAGGUGUUUGAUGAAAUGAAUUUCCAAGGAUUUUUUGUUGUCUGUACAAAUGGACCCCUUUGGGGUAUUUAUAGAGGUAUACAACCAACUUACAAGCCCUAAACCACCUUACAAGGUCGGCAAAAACAAUCUGGAAAAUUCCUGAGCGCUCAUGACACUGUUCGGAAGCUUCUGGAGGCGUCUGGGGCCAUCUGGGGCCGUCUGGCGCGCGCACGGGCCUUCUGGAGGCUUCCGCGCGCGCGCGCCUUCGUGCGUGCUCGCGAGUCUUCUCAACCGCUCGCGAUUCUUCUGGAAACUUCGAGAGGUUCUCGGAUGCUUCUCUGCGCGCUCUGUGGGCUCUAUGUCUGCUUCCCGCGCGUGUCCGUGCCGCGCGCGCCCAUCUGCCUUGUGUCACAUACAUAUUUUUCCAAAGUGUGUUUACCUUUGGUUAUAUUCUCCGAUUACCCCCAGUUUAUCUCAUCUUUAGUUUCCAUAACUAGUUUCGGUGUUUGCUUUUCAUUCUAAGUCAUAAAGCUUGGGUGUGACAUUUCGGCAUUUUCAUAUGCAAGCCUGCCAGAGAAGAAAAUGUUCAAAAUGUACUAUAGGGGAGGCAUACCAGUUGAAUCCCUGCUCAAGCAUUAGUUGUACUCUUUGCAAGCAACUCUUUUUCCUUGCAAUUGAUAGUCUUUAAUGCUUAUUGUAACGUCUAUUUCAACGUAUUUCUUUAUUUCCCGCGUUUUAUAAAUAAAAUUUCCCUAAAACGCAAAGGAAGGUUACGACAUACGUCGACGUUACCCACAACUCUUGGAUUUUGAUCAGCUGACUUGUUCGUUGAGUUAGAAGAAGUGUCGCACAAUCAUCCGUCUCGAGGCUGAAACGCUACGAUUGUGACAAGUGGUAUCAGAGCCAAAGUUGGCUGAGUGACAGUUUGGACAAAAAAAAUGUCGACUGCAAAACGAGCAAGCAAGACCCAUGAAGAACGGUUGGUGGGGAUUGAAGAGCAGAUGCUCCACCUGAUGGAAGUUCCUGAUUCCAUCCGAUUGAUGGAAGAACGGCUUGAGGAAGUUGCCGAGAGAGCUGAUGUUGUUGACGCGGUGUCCGUCGCUUGGACGGAUUACCCAUACAAGAUUUGUUGGCUAGAGUUGACAUGUUAGAGUCACAAAUCCAGAGAUUGGAAAUGUUCCCUACGAGUGUGGGGACAGUUCAUCGGGCUCUGUUGCCCGAAUGGAGGAGCGAGUUAUGGAGCUAGAUAACUCCCAGAAGGAUAUAAUAGAAAUGAUAAAUGGCAUGUCAGAGGACUUUCGAGCCACCCUGGAUGUCGUUAGAAAUGAAAUCGUGGAGGUGAACACGAAGGUGAACCUUAUGAUGCGAGCGUUGGCCAAUCAAGCUCCAGCUGGAGGAGCGAUUACAGUUGGUAAGAUAAAGAUCCCGGAACCCAAGCCCUUCUGUGGGGCAAGGGAUGCAAAGGCAAUGAAAAACUUUAUCUUCAAUAUUGAGUAGUACUUUAAACCCACAAACACCGUGGCGGAGGAAGCCAAGGUGACAUUGGCAACCAUAUAUCUGUCUGAGGAUGCAAAGUUAUGGUGGAGGUCCCGAUACAUUGACAUUUAGGAAGGGCGUUGUGUAAUAGACACAUGGGACAGUUUGACGAGAGAACUUCGCUCGCAGUUUUUCCCUGAGAAUGUCGAGAUUCUGGCUCGACGAAAACUUCGGGAACUAAAGCACACUGGAACCAUUCGGGAAUAUGUGAAGCAAUUUGUGGGGCUGAUGUUAGACAUAUCUGAUAUGACCAAAAAGGAAAAAAUCUUCAAUUUUGUUGAAGGAUUAAAGUCGUGGGCAAGGACUAAGCUGUACGAACAGAGAGUUCAAGACCUUGUGUUGGCCUAUGCAACAGUUGAGCGUUUGUUUGAUCUGUCUAGUGAGGCUCAAGAGACGAGACGUCAUCAAAGCUCUUCACCUAGAAGAGAUCGAAACAGCCGAUCAAAUUCUCCCGAAGUUGUCAGUGGAAAUAGAAGUCCUGGUAGAGACCGCAAGCCUUUCCAGUCAAAUACGGGGAACAAUGGGCAGAGGCCCAAUAAUCAGAGGACAUCCCACACUUCUAUCAGUUGCUACAUUUGUAACGAAUUGCAUCAGGCAAGAGAAUGUCCGGAUAAAGCUGCCUUCUAUGCCUUUCAGGCCUCGUUAGCUGCUGACUCAAACGACACGUCGGGUCAACCAGAGGAGGAAGUUGGGCAAGAAGAAAGAGUUCAGAAUGUUAGAGUGGGAGCCAUAAGACUCUUGUCGUCCUUUCAGAAGAAAGCGGGAGAGACAAGUGGUCGUACUAAAGGGGGCCUAAUAUAUGUUGACACUUGGAUCAACCGAAAGCAUGCAAAGAGCAUUAUGGUUGACUCCGGUGCCACUCAUAAUUUUAUAACGGUGGCCGAAGCCAGACGACUAAACCUUCAUUGGAAGAAGGAUACAGGAAAAAUGAAGGCCGUGAAUUCUACAGCUCUACCUGUCGUUGGGAUAGUGAAACGGGCAACGAUACAGUUGGGAGGAUGGAGCGGCUUCGUUGAUUUUGUGGUUGUAGGUAUGGAUGACUUUUAUAUAGUUCUCGAAAUAGAAUUCCUUCUCGAACAUCAAGUGAUCAUAAUACCUGCAGCCAAAUGCCUGGUGAUCACGGGGUCUAACCCCACCGUGGUGCAGACAGACCUUAGGCAACCCAAAGGACUGAGAACGAUUUCGGCCAUGCAACUAAGAGAGGGCCGUGUUCGGAAAGACACAAGGCGUGUCGUGGAGGGACGUUGGGAUGGGAAACGGGAUAGUUUGCCCAUGUCAGAAUCGCCUACGAGAAGUGAUCAUCGUAUGGCGCAGUCAGAGUCAUCUGGACUCCGAAGACAGUCAAGAAGACUGUCAAGUGCAGGAUUCACUAGACAUGCAAGAGAUCCGUAUCAAGCACAAGACUUCUUACGGAAGAAAGAGAAUGGAUAGUUGUGUGUCAACAACCGUGUCCUAAAGCAAGCCCCGAGGAGAGGACCAACUGUUGGGUCCGUGAGUGGGACUCAGCCUGUUGAAGCUUACGCUAAGGCGUAUGGUCUUGUGUCAGGUGGCAUCCUAAUGCAGAAUGGACACCCUGUCACAGCUGAUAGUCAGAAGAAGAGUGACACAUAAGGCAAUUAUACGGUGUUUGAAGAAGAAGCACUGGCCAUAGCAACCAGUCUGAGGGAUGGGAGACAGUGUUCCCAUAGAUCAACGGUUGUCAGAGAGAUGAACAACGACGUUGCCCGCCAUUUCAGUACUUGGCCGAAUCUGACUUCAAAUCAAGCAAGGAGACGAAGAUUCGUGCUCAAACUUGAUUUCGAGUCAGAACGUAGGAAGAGCAGUCAUGGGGUUCCACAUGUGUCGGCUCGUACACAAGCCUGUCAAGUUGAUGGCCCAAAGCGAGACACGUCAAAAGAAUCCAUGAAGGAAAACUCUAUCGCUCAUGAUGGCAUGAGUUUGACGAAUGUCGGCAAGUUAGCGCAAAAGAACAGGGGUCGUUCGUUGGAGGCAACACAACUGGGUGUUACAGCUAUGAAGAAAUCAUCAACUGACAAGAGUCCAACAAUGAGUGUUGGUGAUGGACAAUAUGUAUUGUCGCGUUCUGUUGAUUUUUCCUGUAUGAAGAAGGAGCCUCAGACUCGUAACCUUGCCAAGAAGUGGAAGCGUAGAUCAGACACUGUUCGAGCCAAUUUAGAGAAAGUCUCGAAGCGGCUGAGAAGAUGGGCAGAUGGGAAGCAUCGACCCUUGGACCUUCAUGUGGAAGGUCAGGAUAUCGUAACGUCGCGACCUGAACAGAUGCGAUUUCUGAAGAUACGAAGAUCUCCACCUCGUGAGAGCACACGAGGAAUCAACGGAAGUUGAAGAAGAAGACCCAUGGGGAGGAUACACAAGUUCAUGGUGAAGCAGAAGAGCCUCCUCAUGGAAGAAGCCUGUAAAAGACGUACCAAUACCGUGAAGCAUGGGGGAGUGUGUCAAGGACAUAUUUUUCCAAAGUGGGGGAGUGUGUCACGAACAUAUUUUUCCAAAGUGUGCUUACCUUUGGUUAUAUUCUCCUAUUACCCCCAGUUUAUAUCAUCUUUAGUUUCCAUAACUAGUUUAGGUGUUUGCUUUUCAUUUUAGGUCAUAAAGUUUGGGUGUGACGUUUCGACAUUUUCAUAUGCAAGUCUGCCAGAGAAGAAAAUGUUCAAAAUGUACUAUAGGGGAGGCAUACCAGUUGAAUCCCCGCCCAAGCAUUAGUUGUACUCUUUGCAAGCAACCCUUUUUCCUUGCAAUUGACCGUCUUUAAUGAUUAUUGUAACGUCUAUUUCAAUGUAUUUCUUUCUUUCCCGCAUUUAAUAAAUAAAAUUUCCCUAAAACGCAAAGGAAGGUUACGACAUACGUCGACGUUACCCACAACUCGUGGAUUUUGAUCGGCUAACUUGUUCGUUGAGUUAGAACAAGUGCCGCACAAUCGUCCGUCUCGAGGUUGAAACGCUACGAUUGUGACACCGUGCGCGCCUGCCUGUCUGCUUGCCGCCCUUGCGCGCGCGCGUGCCCAUGUCACGACAGGGCCGCGCGCGCCUGUCUGCUGCACAUUGGCGUGUCAUAGGCUUUGCGUGAACUUGUUCCUCGUCCUUGGGUCUUUGGACUGCUUGGGACUUGUUUGGCUCCCCUUGGACAAUGCUAAGGAUCUCUAAUUGUAUUCACAUCUAAAGUUUUUGCAUUUACACACUUUAAACAAGGACAAUUCGACAUCUGUGAAUGUUUCAACCCAUUUUUAAUAAACAUCUCAACCCCAAAAGUAUAAUCAAUUGACAUUCUAUUAUUUUUCAUCCACAACUUAUCCAUAUUAUAUAAGAUGCAACUUAAUCUACAAAAAAACAUAAUUAAGUAAUCUUAAACUUGUGAACUUAACUAUAAUCUACAAUAAUACUUAAAAUUUCUAAUUAAAACUAACAAGUUCUAUAUACACUUAAAUAGCUACAAAACUCGCAAUUGUAUCAAUCAAGUAAAAAGAAAAUAUCAAAUUAAAACCAUCUACAAAGACCAAACACAAACUUCUAACCAUCAUUAGAACAUAUAAUUCCAAAUGAAAGAAAUGAAACAAGAGUACAAUCAACGUACCCAAAUAUAUAAAAGAGUAUAAUCAUAGUCUCCCAGACUGUGUUGCAUUGACAUAUCAAAACAAUGGAAGAAGGUCUUAGAGUUAUAACCUUCGUUAAAUAAAUUUCCAAUCUUUGCUACAUUAACUAAAAUAUAAGAAUUAAUAAGAACUUUUUAAGAUUAAAGAAAUAGAAAUAAGAACUAAAUUUCCAAUCUCUCACUUAUGAUGAUGUGAAAGUAGAGAUUGACUAUUAAAAAUUUUGUUCUAUACUGAAUUAGCUGAAGAGUUAAGAGCCAAUUUGAAAGAGUAAUGAAUUUUUUUUCUUUAAUUUUAAAGUGUUAUUUUAUUCGUUCGAAGUCGCCUUUACUCUAACAAAAAGUUCUAUCAAACUCAGAAACUUAUAAGAGAAAAUUCAAUGUCAAAUUCAUACAACAAAAACUUCAACACAACAAAACUUUUUUUCCACUUUGGAGGGUAAAAACUUGAAAUGAAAUUUUCACUCCAAAAGAAUAUCAAAAUUCUACCAAAUCCAUCUCAACUGACAAAUCCAAGAGUACAUGACUCCAAGUGAACGAUACGUAUAGAUAUCAACAUCAGUGGUACAAAAGGAAACUUACCUCCUAGAAUAAAAGGAUACAAAAACUGAGUCGAGGUUUAAAACUGAAAAUAGAAACCAUAACAAAAUGUUUAAUUUUGUUUCAAGUUCAUGAAUGUUUUGAAACAAUAAUAUAAGAAAUAAUACCACACUUUUAUUUCUCAAAAAUUACCCAAACCAAAAAUUAGACCAAAGUUAAAGAAAUCACUCUAAACCAGUCGGCUGGGCUAAAAAUUAGACCAAAGUAAAAGAAAACACUCUAAACCAGCUGGGCACGAAGGAUUUAUGCGGCAAGUUUAAGAAACUACUCUAAACCAGUCGGCUGGGCAUGCGACGGUGGCGACGGCUGGGCACACAAUGGUGGCAACGACUGGGCACGGUGGUGGCGACGACGGUGGAUUGGCGUUGGGCAUUCGACGGUGGCGACGGCGACUGGGAAGGAUUGACGGUUGCGCGAUUUAGGUCACACAAUGAGAAGAGAAGGAAAUUCGAAGGACGGAAAGAGAAGAAAAGAAAAAUUGAUGGGGAAAGAGUAAAGUAAGAAAGAGAGGGAAAUUUAGUUUUUAGAACUUAAAAAAAUUAAAAAAGAAAUUAAAAAUGGGGAGGCCAUUAAUAUCAGUUUUUACAAAAUAAAAAAUAUCAAAAACAGUAAGAUGUCUAUUUUUACAUAACAAAAAAUAAAAAAUGGAGAAAUAACUAAUAUAUGUUUAAAAACGACAUUAAACCCAUAAACUUUUUCAAAAUGACCGUAGGGAGAAAAUUUCACUUUUUUCACCCGACACUAAAAUCCAUAUUCUUUUUAUAGUAUCAUCUAGAAUAAGUAUAGAAUUGAUUUGAAAUCGAAUAUUUUCAUGUUUAAAACUU